RNAcentral lists this long non-coding RNA (95266 nucleotides) under Solanum tuberosum (potato). RNAcentral describes it as "long non-coding RNA (STUB_LNC003953)". The record is from RNAcentral. Lineage: Eukaryota; Viridiplantae; Streptophyta; Magnoliopsida; Solanales; Solanaceae.
GUGGUUCUUCAGCUAUACAUUUGUACCUUUCAGAUAAAAUAAAAUAAAACAUGAUUCAAGAGGAAAGUUUUCGUCUAAACCCAUAAAAAGGAAGUGACUCUGAUGGAGUAGUUAAAUACCACUCUAGCCUUUUCAAUUUGCUUUCUCCAUUUGUAUUUGGUCCCUGACAUAAGCAUGUGUUAUUGUUAGAAAUUCAUCCACCUGAAGAGGAAGGCAUAACAAAGAAUCAGGGACCAUAACAAAUUUCAACCGAACAAAUUAACGCAUGUUCAAAUUACGUCAUAUAAGCCCAUUUGGCCUCAAAAGAGCCAUAUAUAUAUAUAUAAUCAAGAAGGCGAUCGAGAAGACAUGAGUUCCCAAACUGUAGUAUAAGUCUUUAUCGCAGAUGUGAGCUUCCCCUCAUCUUACUUCCCGCCACAAAGAGGGCAUGGAAUUUCGGAGUGAAUGAGUGCAACAAAACAAGGAAAGAGCAAGAAUUUAUCACGAUUGGGUUGGUGUGAAGUCUACCGCCUGUCUAGCAUAUGCUUUGCAUGAACAUCUCAAUGUCCAAGAUAAAAAGAACGAGGGGAAGAAUCGACGAGGGUCAGACUAAACGAAAAAAAAAAGUCAGGCUUGAAGCACUGCUGGAACCCGUUUAAGGGUCGCUAACAAAAGGUGAAAGGAGGCCGGCCGGAAGCGACUCGCUCCUAUUCUCGUUGGGAUUGGAUAUAAAUGGGAACCUUCGCUCUCUUUAGCAUUUUGGUUUAACACCACGCAGGCAGCUGGUACCUUCCCAGCUUCUUCAUCAGGUAACCUGCCAAUUCAACACAUUGUCAGCGGCAUUUUGCCUGUAAAAAUUCAUUAAUGAAUCAGUAUCUCCUUUACUUGAACACGGGUUUCGACUUCCCCUCCGGAGGACCGGUGUAGCUCGCUUCGCUUACCGCCUUCGUCUUUCGCCAGGGCUUAUACUUCAUCAAUGUCAAAGAUAUGGUGAUCGUGCCGUAAGACCUUGUUCCUUUCUACUUGACGUUCUUUAUUUUCCUCGGUUUUUACCCCACGGAGCGGUAGCUUGCUUACUUAGCGCUUGCGCUAAGGAUCUAAUCAGAGUCAAACUUGGAUUUGAAAAAAAAACCUUUCCCUUAUUAGCCGGAGUACAAGUGUACGUAAUUCUCCUUAGCUUUUUUCGUUGAGGUAAGGUAUAAGGUAAGCCUAUUAUAGUACUGCCCCAGUAAGAAGUUCGUGAGUGAGACAAAACGAUUCCCUCAAUACAGCUUCACUCCGUCAAGUAUAUAUAUAUAUGAUGAAAAAGUUAGUUGUAUUAUAUAUAGCCAUUGGAUGGGUUUGGAUGGCUUAAAUUUAGGGUGAAGAAGCACAAUCCAUAUGUUUGCCUUUGUAGCACAUAUGGAUAAGUUGAUUUUGGGAGACUUGAAUUGUUAAUUUUUUUUUUGCUUUUUUGGCCUAAUUUUGAAUUGCAAUUGUAGUCAAUUUCUUUGAAAAAUAGCCACUAUUUAUUAUUGUUAUAACCCUCAAUUAAUUGCUUAUUUUCCAACUCUACAUAAAUUAUUGUUAUAGCCCUCAAUUAAUUAAACCUAAGUCAUUGAUAUCAAUAUUAGACAUGUGAGUUGUGACAAUUGACACUCAUUCAAGAAAUAAUUUGGGGAAAUAAAAAUGAUAGUUAAAUCUUUUUUUUUUUACAAAUAUGGUUCUCCUAACACUAUAAGAAUUGAUUCCUAAAUAUUGAUAUGGUAAAAUAAAGGUAAAUGUGGAUAAAAUAUAAAUAGUACAACUCACAUAACAUAUUAUACAAUUAAGUACCGCAACGUUAGUCCUUUUUGUUGUUGGCUUAUAUAUAAGGUAAUAUUACAUUUCAAUCUCGUAUAAGUUGGUGUGUUGAACUGGAGAUUAUACAAUUUUAUUUUUGAUAUUCCAUCUGUUUUAAUUUGUCUAUCAUGUUUUAACUUGGCAUAAAAUAAAAUAAAAUAAAGAAGUUUUUUUAAAUCUCAUGGUAUUAAAUUAAAGAUAUGUUAAAUGAAUUAAAAUAACGUUUAAUCUUGUUGUCUUAAAUAUGUCAUUUAAAAAAUUGUCAAAAAUAAUAAAAAUAAUAAUUGAAAUAGACUAAAAAAAGAAGUAGAACAAAUAAAUUAAUUACUAUUUGGUAUUUCGUACUCCAAAUAAAUUAAUUACUAUUUUGCAACAUUUAUACUAAUUUAAUUACUUGACUUUUCCCCCCUCUUUUUUAUACAAUUAUUUGGUAUUUCGUACUUAAUAUUCGUAAAUAAACGUUUUUUUUAUUAGGGAUUUCUCUACCAAACAUCCUUUUCGACAUAUCAAACUUAAUCAAUCAAAACGUAGGACUUUUUUUUUAAUCUCAAUUCUCAAAUGUCUGCUUAAUUAUAAUGUAGCAUUAUAUUGUAUGAUCCGAAAGUUUAAUUAAUUUAUAAUUACUGGAUUAGUAUACUUGAAAGUUGUACUGCAAAUCUAAUUAAUGUAUCUAAAAGCCCAUGUUCCAAGGGAGGGAAAUCAUGAUUGUGGAUUAGAAAAACAAAUUAUAAUAAAGUAAGGUCAUUAGCUUUUCUUUUCUUCCAACUCUGCAUUUCCCAAUAAUUAACAUGAUCUGCACAACUUUUUUUCAACAAUUUCCUUCUUUACAGGUAUUAACACAAGUAAAAAAAAACCAUUACUCCAAAUAAACUAGCUAAACCCCAAUAGUGACAACCCAUUAAUAAUUUAAGGGCGAUCAAUUAAUUAUUCUUUCAUUAGAAACAACAAUAACGUAUCUAGUGAAAUUCCACAAGUGAGUUCUAAGGAGGGUAAAAUGUACACAAACCGUAUCACUAUCUUGUGGAGGUAGAAAGACUACUUUUGAAAGACUCUCGUUAGCAAAUCCAGAUACAAAAAAAAGACAAUGAAAAAAUUAUAGCAAAUAAUACCUAAGUAGUGCAAAGUUUGCCAUAAAAAAGCAAAACAACAAUAAAACAGUAGUGAUCAAUUAAUUUAAAAGCAAAACAACAAUAAAAACAGUGAUCAAUUAAUUUUCUAAUAUUCUUUCAUUAGAAACUUACUUUAUACAUAAUUAUAUAUAAGUUUUUUUUUUCAAUGUGCAAUAUUAUGGCUAUUGAAACCAAUUAAUACAAUGAAAGUCUCAAAUGUAGUGGCUAAGGGAGAACAAGAAUUACUUGGACUUCCCAAAAAGGCGUAGAUGGCGUGUAUCGGAUACUCUAAAAGUAAUUAAUGUAAUUUUGUAGGAUUUAAUACACUUGUUUCAAUAUUUUUAGAAAGUUCAAGCAACAUAAAUUUUAGAUCAUGAUCCUGACUUUUGACAGUUAUACUAGCAUUUUUAGAAAGCUCAAGCAACAUAAAUUAUAGAUAAUGAUCUUUAAUUCUCAACCUCGACAUUUUUUUUUUUUUUGGUGUGUGUAGAGUUGGCUGGACCCAUGAGUACCUAGAUUUUUUUUUAUUUUUUUUUUUGUGUGUGGCUUCAUCAUGAAUUUGAUGAUGAAUUGAAAUAGGUUUAAAUAAUUUGCAUUGUUUUGGGUAUAAUCUUUAAUGCCCCCUUAGAAAUUGAUCAACAUCAAUUGGUACAUGAACAUUUAAUGAACAAACCAAAUUCAUCAUUCUUCUUUUAUGUUUACAUACACAUCAUUGUCACUCUUCAAUAAGAAAAUCAUGAAUGGCUCUGGUGGAAUUUGCUGUUUUUAAUUCUGCAAAUUAAAACUAUGGAGAAUUAUUUUUUAUUAGGGUCCCAAUGUAGUUACUCUUUGGACCUUUUGCCUACAAUAAUGAAUAAGCAAUCUAAUAGUAGUAUAGAAGAAAAUUAAUUAAAAAAGCACUGAUUUCUUUGGUUUACCUUAAUUUCUGUAAGCUUUAUGUGGCGCAUAUAUAUUUUUAUUAGUAAGAAGUGACAUACAACUUAUAUUAUUAGAGUGGGUGACAUAAUAAAAGUCAGUAUGCUAAAGUCAAACACUCUAACUACUUGAUUAAUCGAAAUCAAGGAAAAUGUUUUUAUGAGUUUUUUUAGUUAUGCACACAAUAUUUGAAAGUUAUUAGUUCGAUUAAUUUAAAUUGCACUAGUAAAAUGUAAUAAAGAGAGAAAUGUUCUCUACCAUAAGUUUUUAUUUUCAUUCCUAGGCGAGAUCUUUGUUUUCCGAAGUGUUAAAAACUUGUGUUGCUUGGACUCUCAAAAGAGAUGCUGCCAAAUUUUUAUCAAAUAGUGAUAUUUUUCAUAAAUCUGAACAAUAUAGGUUGAAAUAUAUUUUAAAGAUUCACAAAGUCAAAGAAAAGAUAUUAAAAAAGAUAAAAAAGAAAAACACAAUUGUGAUCCUACGCGCUUUAUACUUUUCAGAUCUCACUUAUAAGAUAAUUUCAGUGAGUAUGUUAUUAUUGUCGUGAGCAUACAUGUAUGUACAGCCAAGACACCCUGGCAAUAUGCAAUAUAUUGUGGGCCUGCAAGCUAAGAUAAAGAUGUAGUUUUUAUGUAUUUAAUUGAGAUCUCUAUUAAUUUGCCAUCUAAAUUUCUUUAAUAUUAAUGGUGACAAGCUUCCCAAAAAUCUAGCUUUUUUGCUUCCUCUUUUUAUUUUAGAGUCCAUAAACUGAAGAAGAAAAUAAGGGGAGCAAAAGGGUACCCAAAGUGGGGCUUUUUUGGGGUCACCUUUUUUAUUUUUCACUGAAAACCAGGGAACAGAAUUCUUGAUUUAUAUUCUUUUGCUCAGUUAUGCUGGCAGAGCUUUUUUUAACUGAUUUUGCAGACUCAACAAAUGUUAAAGUUCAUGCCUUUGGCAUUUUCUGUCAGAUUAUAUUUGGAUAAACAGAGAUGGUACUGCCAAUUCUGCUCUGAUUCAAUUACUGGAGUUGUUUUUUGUCCUCUAAGCCAUUAAUGUUAGCUCAGAAUUGUGGGGGUUCUUUUUUUUGGUUUUUUCCAGCUGAAGAAGAAGUCUUCUUGAUUUGUAAGUUUACUGUUUUCUUGAAUCUUGAUGUUAUACAGUAGUAAAGUUUCUGCAUUUGGCAAGUGUUUAGUGGUAGCUUUUUAAGAAUGUGAUUUCAGAUUCUUGAUACAUGAUAAUAAGAUUGUUUUUUUUUUUUUCCUUUUGUUUAUUUUCCAGUAUUUAGCUUGGACCACAAGAAGUUGCUCUUGUCUCUUUCACUUUAUCAUGUUUUAUGUUCUUCCAAACUCCACCUCUUGAACUAAAAUGAAAUCUGGGACCUUUUUUUGUUUGUGUUUGUAACUUAAAGGGGUCCUUUUCCUUCUUUUGUUAUCUUGAUUUUUUCUUCUAAAUAUCCCUUUUCCCCUAAAUUUUUAGUGAGGAGGUGAUACUUUUGAAAUGAUAAUUAAGGAGUGGCUUAUGUUUAGGCAAAUGCCCUGAUGAGUUUCUGAAUUCUGACACUUUUUUUUUCUUCUCAAGGGAGAGAAGGUUAAUUGAGUAAUGGAUGAAAAGGGUGUCUUAAGUUCCUGUUUGAUUACAUCAGAAGGGAGAAGGGAGAGCUUAUGUCCAAUUUACUUUGGUGUUUCUUGUGCAUUUGUUGCUCUUGGGCUCUUACCGGAGCCCGAAAAAUGUGAUGAGAAUUUGUUAGAAGUGAGAAAUAAGAUGCUUCAAGGAAGUGCUCAUCUUUUGGGGUUGCUUGUGUGGAGAGUUCAGAGGGAUGAAGCAAGAAAUGAAAAGUCUGGAUUGUUACUUAAGUUAGCGAAUGCAGAGAAAAAAAUCGACGAACUGAAGGGGUUAAGAAGGGAGGAUGCUAAAGCAAAUGAGAAAGUUGUGUGCAUAUAUGCAGCACAAGAGCAGUGUUGGUUUAAUGAGAGGAAGAAACUUAGGCAGCAAAUUGGUGCUUUUAUGAAUGAGUUGAGAGUUGUUGAGAAGCACAAGGACACCCUUAUUGCUGAAUUGGAUAGCAAAUUGGAGGAGAGUAAAGUGGUUGUGCAGUCGAAAGAUAAGAUCAUUGAGGACGAAGGGAAAGCGCGUCAUGAUCUUGAAGAAAAGCUGAAAAAGGCUGAUUCUAUAGCAGAAGAAUUGAGGAACACUGCUAAAUUUGAUGCUCAAAGGCACUCUAAUGAGAUCUCCAAACACAAGACUGCAUUCAUUGAAUUGGUGUCUAAUCAGCGGCAGCUUGAAGCGGAGAUGGGGCGUGCGCUCAGACAAGCUGAAGCAGCAAAGCAAGAGGUUAAUUCGGUACUUGAGCAAAAGGAGCAGGCUAUCUUGAUGACCCAAAAACUAUCGAUGGAGCUAGUCAAAAUGCGCAAGGAUUUGGAACAGAAAGAACAGAUUUUGUCAGCUAUGCUGAGGAAAUCCAAAUUGGAUACAACAGAGAAACAAAUGCUUUUAAAGGAGAUCAAAUUAUCAAAAGCCAAGAGAAAGCAAGCUGAGCUAGAGACUGAGAGAUGGAAGACAGCUUCAGAGUCUAGGUAUGAGAGACAUUCAUUGAGAAAUAUGCUGUACAAACGUAUGAAUCCGAAGUUGGAGGUUGUUGCCAGUGGGAAAGGGAUGCUUUCAAGUGCAAUGAUGCUACCAACUGGAAAAAGUAGAUCACAGAAGGCUGAUUAUCUUCUCGACGAGCAACCUGGGGGUACAAAAGAGCCAGAACUAUUUCCUCAUGUUCCUGAUAAAUUCUUGGCUGAGGAUGCUGAAGAAGAAAGUAAGACCAUAUUUGCGAUUCACAUGUUUUGUUAAUAGCAUAUUCAUCAAUCUUAAUUAGUGAUAAUAUAUUCGCGAUACACAUGUUUAUUCAUAGCAUAUUCAUCAAUCUUGAUUAGUGAUAAUAUGUUUCCUACUUUCCAUUGUACAGAAUUUCAAUAUAUGGAGUUGUCAUUCUGUUUAUUUAUUAUGUUAUUUCUUGUGUUCACUUCAAUCUUCUGUGCAGUACUCACAGAUGAUGUUGAGCACUUGGAGAAUUGGGUUCGAUCAGAGGCUGAAAAGUACAGUGUUGCAGUUGAGCACAGGCAUCAUCUGGAGCUGGAUGCUUUUGCAGAACAACUGAGACUCAAAGAUGAGAGGUUAGAAGCUUUUCGAUGGCGCCUACUCAGUAUGGAACUUGAGUCAAAGAGGUUGCAGUCACAUAUUGAAGUGCUGGACCAUGAUCUAGCUCAGCUCCGGCAAGAUAAUAUGAAGUUGGAUGCAUUGCUAUUGAAUCGAGAAGUAGAAGUACAAUCUCUCAAACAGCAACUCGCGGAAUAUUUUCACCUUCCUGAUUCCCAGAAAUCCAAUGCAAAUGCUUGUCCAAAAGAGCAGGACAAAACCAAUCAUACAGUUUGGUCCAACGUGACACUUAUAAAGACAAAGCCAGGUGAGAAAGAGCAAGAAACAAAGAACCAUCCUGAGGAAACCUCUCAAAAGGUAAAAAAUGGAAGAAAAGUUGAGACCAGAACAAAUAACCCACAAAAAGACAUAAUUUUGACUCUACAGUCUCCUACAAAGGAGAUUGGUGAGGCGAAAGAUGGAGUGUCACAUCCGAAUGCUUCUAAGGCAGAACACUUCAGCACAGAGGAUGCUCGGAAUGCUGAAACAUCAACUUCAGAAUGUGAUAGCGAAAUUAAGAAAAACAAGUCACUGUGGAGGAUGGAUUUACAUGCUCUUGGAGUUUCAUACAAAAUCAAGAGGCUGACUCAACAAUUUGUCAUGCUUGAGAGGUUGAGAGGCAAACAAGAACCUGCUGGAAAUAGUGAAAACAAUGAUAAUGGACGAUCUGGCACUAGAGGAUUCCGUGCGUUGAUGUCUUUACUGAAUAAACAAGUUGCUCGUUACGAGUCCCUUCAGGGGAAAAUCGAUGAUCUAUGCAAGCGGAUGGUAUGUUUCUUACUAAGUAUUAUUCUUAACUUGAAAAAUGAUCUAUUUUGUUGCUCGACUCAUCAAUGCUAAUGACCUCUUGUUGUGUAAUAUGCAGCAUGAGAAUGACCUGAAUGUAAAUUGUGAAGGUUCAGUUAUACGAAAAACGAAGGAAGAAACUAAGAUGCUUGAGCACUUUCUUGAAGAAACAUUUCAAUUACAAAGAUACAUAGUUGCAACAGGGCAAAAAUUGAUGGAAGUCCAAACAAAAAUUGCUUCUGGAUUUGUCGUAGCUGCAGAAGAACUUGAUACACCAGCAAGCUUUGAUGUCAAACGGUUUGCUGAUGGCAUUAGAACUCUCUUUAGAGAAGUUCAGAGAGGCCUUGAAGUUCGUGUAUCUCGAAUUAUAGGUGAUCUUGAAGGAACUUUGGCCUGUGAUGGCAUCACAUAUUUCAAGAGAUAGUGCUCACAGACGCAGAAUCUUGUUAGCCUUAAGCCUUAAGGUACUUUCCAGGUCUUCUUAUCUUAACUUGAGACAGAAAAUUUACAUGGUGCAGCAGCUUAUUCAAAGAAUGUCUUCAGUUUUAUGGAACCAAAUCAUUAAUCCAGUCCCGGAUAUACAUGUAAAUAUCCUACAAGUAUAAAUUCCAAUAAUUCGCGUACAUAGAGAGUUGCUGCAUCAUCUAUAACAGUAUCAGUGUUUCACUUAUAUUCAGCCAUUGUUAAUUUUUGCUUUACAUAGUUUUCUAAAUAAACGAAUUCCGCCUAGAGGGGGUACAACUUGUGCAUGAAUCUCUUGGAUUUACUUCUGAACAUGAUCAUAAUAUAUAACAUGAGGAAUUACUCAUUAAUUUGUCUUCAAAUGACAAAUUUAAACGUUCAUUUCGAUGAGGACAGGCAGGGGUAAAGCGAUGGGUUGAUUACUCAUAGUUGAUCAGUCAACUAAUAGUUAUUAUUAUUUCAGAAAGUCAUUUUUCUUCUCGAUUGUAUUGCCUUCAACAAUGAAAGUGACUUUCUGAGAUAACUUAAAAUUAACUGAGAAAUCAACUCACAAAGCUAACCUUAUUAUAGAAAGUUUACGAUAUUGCAACAAGAAAACUAACAUUGCUAUACUUUUUUGGUUCAUGUAAUGUGGAUAUGUAAAUCUUUCAAAUAAUCUUGUCAAUAUUCAUUUCUCCUUUGCCUUUUUUACAUAUGAAAUCAUGGUCCUUUUAAGAAAAACAUUAUUGACUUGCUAUAAUCUUGUUGAUAUGUUCUGCAACAUUUUUCAAAUAUUACAUGAAUGAUAACACUUCAACUCUUAUAUCUGUAAAAUUGUUACUUCCUCCGGCCUGUCAAUAUUUACUUGUUCACGUUGACUUGACACACUCCUACGUCACACAGAAUUAUUAUAAAUCAUCUAAAUAUUGAGAAAAUGAAUAACACUUAUCCAUAAGGAUAAUAUAAGUUAAAAUGACUUUUUAAACUGAACAAGUAAAAUUGAACCUAAUAAACUGAUAGAGUAAUUAAUAGCCGUCAAAUUAGUUUGAUUUGGUUGUCUUUCCUAUCCUAGAGAAAGCAACUACUAAAUUGUAGGUGGAAGUCUUUAACAUGUUUCCUUAUUUAGCCGAACAAUUAGAUAUACUCAUUCACUUAAAAAAUAAGUGUCAUCUUAACAAAUAUUACGUAUAUUAAAAAAUUAAUAAAUAUAAUAUAUAGUUUACUAAACGAUUUAUUAUGUAAUAAAUGUCUCUUGAAAAUUGCACACGGAGUAUACGGAUAUACUGGGAAAAAACAUACUAAUUUUUGUCUUGAAUUUUUAAGAUGACACUUAUUUUGAAAUGAAGAAAGUAUACGACUCUCAUAAAUCAGCGAUUUUGUGAAUGACCCAAAAAUGAGCAAAGGAAAACAAUAGUAAAAGGUUUGGUCAUGAAAAAUACUUAUUCGCACCUGAUAUAUAAUAAAUCAAAUAAUUUUUACCUUAAAAGUCAUAAAAUAAAGUAAAAUUUAUACUCUCACUUAACCAAAUAAUUUGGAGACUUAAUGGCCUUCAUAUAGUCUGCAUCUAGGUAGGGUUGUUGUGACCAAUAUUUUCUUCUUGGGGUCGACUAUAAUAAAUGAACAUGGACCUAAGAGUAACAUGCAUUUAAUUGCUUCAUGACCAACAUCCUGUAACAAUUUUUAUUACUCGAAAUAUAAAAGAGUACAAAAUAUCGAGAGAAUUAAUUCUCAUAUAGUUGGAGCCUCUGUAUGUAAUUCGAUUUUCUGGAAAAACUAAACCAAAUUAAGUUUUUCAAACUUAAUUAAGUUGGAUUAGAAUUUAAUUAACGGCACAGAUAUUUUGUUGUGGCAGCAGAAAUUAAACUGAGAUGUGACCAAACCAUAUUAAUUACUCCUUAAUGAAUUGAUUAGUCAAAUUAAGAUAUUUCUGGUCAUCCCAUGUGGGAAUGAAUGUCCUCUAUGGCUUAAGCCAUCUUCUUUUGUCCCUUCUUUUUGCAACACUUUUUUCGGUAUUCUUUAUGUGUUUUUUUGAUGGUUGCAUUGAGGUUCGAUUAAAUCUAAAUUUAUAUAUUAUAGAGUCAAUUUCUAAGUUUUAGGAAGGAUUUAAUUUUUCAUACUUAUUCUAUCUUUUAUCUUGCAUAAAAUUAUAUUUAGAUUUCCUCAUAAUUUAUACAUGUAUUCCCUCCGUUCAACUAUAGUUGUCCAUUAUACUAUUUUGGGAUGUACAAUAAUAGUACUUGUCCACUUUAUGAAAUCAAUUGAUAAUUUUAUUUUAGUUCCUAAUUUACCUUUUUUCAUUAAUUGUAGUCAUUUCUCUGUUACAUUUUUCAAGACAUUGUAUAUUCAAAAGGAUAUAUGCAAAGUCAAUAGUAAAUAAGUAUUGUUGGACAAAGAGAGUAUUGGUUAUGCGAUUUCUAAAUUGCAAUUCAAAUACCAUAUUAAUUUUACAUGAAUAAUUUACCCCCUAACAAGUUAUCAAACAUGAAGUAUUAUUUAUGCAGAAUUUAAUAUACUUGCAUAACUCAUCUCCAAAUCAAUUACCAAAUGACCUCAUAAUUUUUGUCUAAAUUAUAUAUUUAUAUUACAAUAAAAUCAUAUGUUUAUUUCAUCAAACACGUAAGAAUUUUUUUUAUAUAUAUCAAAACAUUUCUUAGAAAAUCAUCUUUCGUGUCAUAUGAUCAUCUUAACAUUGCCGGCAAAAAAUUGAAUGCCAUUUGAAUGUUUCUUUUUCACCGUUAUACCAAACCUUACCUCCAUGACCUUUUCAUAACCCUCUUAAAUAAUCUAUAUUAUAUAUUAUAUAUAAUAAUAUUAUAUUUAUAAUUUUCUUUUGUUUAAUAAAUAACUAUAUAAUAUAAACUGAACGGUUGAUCUUCAUUACCGACUGAUGAGUAAGUCAUUAUGUGACCGUUGAAAGUCGUUAUCAAUUCUUUGUUUUGCUUAUGACUAAUUCAACAUCUUAAAAAUUGGCCCCACUCAUCUUUAAAUACUUCUUUUCAGUGUUAUUUGUCGUAUCUUUCUUUUACAUAUUGCUUAAUAAAAUACUCCUUAAUUAGAAUAGAUUGUGAAAAAAAUAAUUAAUUUUAUCUUAAAUUUUUAACAUAAUUUGAGAUUGUUUUCAGAAAUUAAAGAUGUAAUACAUAAAUAUACCUUUAAAUUUGAUCUUAUCUGAUAUAUAUGUCCUUCAACUUUGGGUAUGCACAAAUAAACACACGUGUCCUAUAAUUAUAUGUGGACACUCAAAGGACAUGCAUGCUUGUGUUAUGCAUUUGGGAAUCAUGACAGAUAAUUUGAGACUGAACGAGUAAUUAAUAAUAUUAAAUGGCCCCAUACCCUUAUAGUUAGGAUUAAGCUAAUCUUCAACGAAAUAUCAAUAUAUAUAUCCGUUACUCGUGAAUAAGAAGCGCCAGAUAAGAGGAGCGUUUUUACAACCCCUCAUUUUUCAUGCUUACACAUUUAAUUUUAUACAAAAUAUAUAACAUGAAGUGAGUGAAGAGUUUGGAAUUGUGACAUCAAAAAAAAAAUUGUAAAAUUUUCUACAAUAUGGCCUCUCAUAUUCAUCAUGAUGAUCAUACAAGUACUACUAAUUCUUCUUCAUAUUCUACUCCAAAACUUUCUUUAUCUAAACUUCCAAACAAACCAAUUAGAAACAACAUCAUGAAUAAUAACAACAAUCAUGUACUAGCUAGUAGUACUACAUAUGCAACUCCACCACUUCAUCCAACACUUACAAUUCCAUUUCAAUGGGAAGAAGCACCAGGAAAACCAAAAGUUACAAAGUCCAAAACAGCAAGGUGUCUAGACUUGCCACCAAGGUUAACAUUGUUGUUGAAUGAAGAAGGUAAAAUUACUAAUACGCCCUCCCCAACGACCGUGCUGGACGGUCCUUGUAACGUGGGGAGGUGUUUUUCGUCGAUUGACGAAGCAUCUCUUGAGAAGAAAGAAGAGAUUAGGAGUGGUAAUAAUAAGGAAAAUAUUAUGAUGGGAUCAUGGAGAUGGGAAAACUUGAAGGAGAAUAAUGAUAAUAAUAGAGGAGUUGUUGACAAGGGUAGUUUCGACUUUUCAGGUCCUCUUAAUUGUUCUACUUCAAGUGCUUAUGAUUUUGAUACACAUCAAAAGAAAUUCUUAAGGUUUACAAGGAAAGGAAGCUUCUUCAAUUUCUCUCGUAACAAUUCUAAUCUCUUGGUAAGUUUCCUUUAAUACCCUUUCUUAAUCUUGGCCUAAAUUAUGUAUGUAAGUUAAUUAAUUAUUAGCAUUAGAAAAGGAAAAUGUAUUCUUCUUUCAUCUUACUGCCCCAAAGAAAAAAGACAGAAUUCUUCUCAUCUGUCCUAGCCUUGGUGGACAGAGUAACCUGAUACAUGUUGUUGGUGGGAGGUGACACAUAUAUCGUGAAAUUAGUCAAGGUGCAAAAAAGAAGAAAAAAAGACAAGUAACUUCUCUCGCUAGACAAUAAAAAUUUGUAAAUCGCUAAUUUUUAAAACAUACUAUUAACUAUUUAGCGACAGAUUAAGACGAAAUUCUAGCCUAAGAUGUUAGCUAGGAAUUCAAUAUUAACAGUCACUUUUACUUAUAUUAUAGUAGUAAGUCAAAUCAGUACCAAAAAAAUAUAUUUUAUUCAUUUCAAUUUGUUUAUCGUAGCAUGACUGAAUUUUUGUUUUGCUUGAGUGGCUAAUCAAUUAUAAUCUGUUUAUAAUAAAUAUAUAUUAAUUAUUGUGUAUUGAUUUACAGGGAGGAAUUUACGAAAGCUUUAAGCAAGUGGUUCCAUGGAGAUGGAGACGACCAAAAAACAAAAGAGCUAUAUGAGCUAUAUAUUAUAUGAAUAUAAGGAAAAUUUUAUCCUAUAAUUAUUUCUCACUUUUAAUUAACAUGGAUUAAUUAUAAAUUGAGUCAAUUAUCUAUAAUGACUUUAUUAUUAUGUACUUGGUUGAUUAUAAUUAGUUCAUGGAAUUACUAAUCUGUAUUUAGGUGCAAUGUACUUGGAACUUGAUUAUGUAUAUAUAGGUUGUAUACGCCAUGUGAACUUAUCUACUAUUUCUACUGAGCACUUACGCAAUGAAAUUAACAUUUAUACAUGCACUGUAUAAACUUUGAGAAGUCUUUCAAAUGCAAGUAUACAUUUUUUAAUUAUAUUUGGACUUGUAUUUGUACAUAAAGUAUUAACUUAAUUCAUAUUCACAAGUUACCUAAGUAGAAAUAAUUUUUUUUAUAACUAUAUAAAUAUAAUAACUAUUUCUUCGUAUUAGUUGUUCACUUUCUCUUUUACGCUCUUGAGAAAUCAUAAAUAAGAAAACUUUUAUGAAUAUUUACAAAUUUAUUUACACCUUAAAAAAAGAAUUAAUUGCAAGGAUAAAGUGAAAAAACGUAAUUAAUUCUAUUUUGAUUUUGUAAAUUAACAAGCAAUUUUAAACAACUAUUUUUGCAGAGGGAAUAGUAUCUUUUGAAACAAAUAUUAAUGUGGAAUCAAAAACUCAUCUUUUCAAAAGAUACUUGAUACAAUUUUAAAAACUCAAGUUUCAAAAGAUAGAGAGGGAAUAACAUGUUAAAAACUCAAGUUUCAAAAGAUCUAUUUUUUUUUUAUACAUUUUGCAGAAUCAAACAACAGUACUAUACCAAAUGUAUUUUCAAAAAAUGAAAUUUGGGGGAGGAUAAAAUAUUGUACACCUACUUCAGAGGUGGAAAUAUUGUUUAUGAUACGUACUCUCUUGGCAAGAACAAAUAAUCCCACCCAAAAAAGAAGUAACUAAAAUACAAUUGAAAAAAAAUACAUGACAAUCACAACAAUAGUAACAAAAUCAAACUAUGUUGUAUAAAUUAAAACAAAAAAGUAGUUAUGGAGACUUGAAGGGAAAUUCUUAGCAAGACUUUUUGUAUUAAGAUCACAACCAAAAGGGGAAAAGAUUGUUAAGAUAAAUAAUCAAUGCCACAUGGCUAGAUUUAGACAUUGAUCAUAUACCUACAUUACUACUAAUUGUGCUUAUGAAAUUCUAGCCUAUGGUAAACUAAAGAAAUCUAGCUAAUAAGCCCUAUGGGAAAUUAAGGAAAUGAAAUUAAUAAAAAUCAGCAGCCAUGGCCAUGGAAGCCCUUCUUUUCUUGUAAUUAGCCUUGAAACAUGCUUGUCUUAGCUUCUUUGUUCUAUCAGUUAGUUCCAUUUCAGGCACUCUCUCAACCAUCCUUUGAUGCUCUUCCAGCAUUUCCACUUCACUUGUAAGUCCCAUUUCCUGCAUCAAAUAGCGUUACACUUUCAGAUGUUAUAUAUACCAACUUUCUCUAUUCACUAUAACGGAAGACUAAAUAGGGACACGUAAAUGUCAGAUCUGUGGAUAAGAUUAUGACACGUGUAUGUCUGUUAGUAUAAAUGAUAUAUAUGCUCUAGUUUUUAGACAGCAGGGCACCAAUGUCCUAAAAGUAUGACGAAGGAUAUCUGCAUAUCAUUUACAAUAGUUCGAGAUAUAUUUGUCCUUUUUCCCAAUAAUUUAUAUCAAAUCCGCGAAUCAAAAAUGUAAUUAUUGGAAAAAGUAUUGGAUACUCAAAUAUAUGAUAGAUAUACCAGUAUAAUAACUUAUAUGUUGUUCUAUAUAUAUACGAAUCUAGGGUACUACUAAUACAAUUAUUAAGAAUAACAUAUUAUAAGGAGUAUAUAUGGUCCACAACCAAUAAAGUAAACAUGAUAUGAAUAGGGCUCUAAUUAACUCUUAAUUAGUUCUAAUUAAUCAUAUUUAUACUUAUUAGUUAAAGAAAAAACGUACAUAGACAAAAUUAAGCACGUACCUUAACGCUAUGAAUUAGAGUUUGCAAGCUCUUAAGUUUACGAUGAGGCCAUCUCAUUAUAUUAAGUUCCCUACAUCUUUUCUUCAACACUGUCAAUCCAACUCUCAACUCUUUUGCUGCUUUUGUUAUUGGUACAUGAAAAUACCUUUGUAUUUCUUCCAAUUCCAACGUAUCGCUCUUCUUAUUCCUCAUAUUAUUAUUCCGCUUCUGAAUAAUAUCCAUCGAAUCACCACGAAUUUCAUAAAAAGCAGGAGUAGUAACCUGAGAUUCGCCUAAAGGGUCAUGUGCCACGUUCAGAGGCAUGGCAUUGAAAUUUGCAUCAUGAAUAAUGAGGGUAUUAUUGUCUUCUUGAAAUGGUGAUGGUAGUAAUUUCAAGUCAAAUGAGCCCAAAUCUUGGCAUAUUUCUUCAAACUCUACAAGCCCAAAAUAUGGCAAGUGGUUGUUUUUGAGAUCAUUGGGUAAUUGAAAUGGAUCAAAUUCAAAGUUCAAUAAGCCUCCAUUGGACAAUCUUGAAUCUCGUUGCCAUGUUCUAUUGAUAAAAAAAAAAAAAAAGAACAAUACAUUAAUUUUUAAUCAAGAAUUAAUAAAUAUAUAAAAGAAAGACGCAACCAGAAAAAAAUCAUGUUGACAGCGCCACCCUCAAAUGGGAGUACUAAAAAAAAAGAGAAGAAAAGACAUAGCUCCAAAAAAUGUACAAUACAUAUUAAGAAAAAAUAGUUUACUACGUUUUGAAUAAAUUAAAAUUUUAAAUACAAGUACAACAUUUGAUCAACACUACUGAAUUUUGUUGAACAUGUAAACAGAACUAUAGCUUUGAAAUUCGCCUAUCGUGACCUUCUUAUCAAGAAUGUCCUCUAAUAUUUUAUUUCUAGAUUAGCCGAGCCUAGCAAAAAAUGUACUAUAUACCAAAUAGUUAUAACAAAAGAUCGCGAACAUAAUAGUUAACUUGCUACGUUUAUGCUACUUACCCGAAGGUGGAAGGAGGGUAUUCUUCUUCAGAAUACAACCAAUCAAAGUGAUCAUUCUGAUUUUCCAUCUUUAGAACAUCAAGUACUUGAGAUUUCACAUCCAUAUUUGGAAGAUUUUUUUUUUAUUUUUUUAUGUAGAGAGUUUUAUAAAAAAUUAAUUGAAAAGGCCAAUGAGGGGUGUGUAUAUAUAUAAAUUGGGAAAUGGAAGUAAUUAAUUAAUUUGGAGUUCGUGCGAGAGGAUUAUGGGAGUUACAAUGUAUAGAAAUUAUGGAUUUUGAUUAAUGCGCACGGCUUUUAAAUAUGAAUUAGUGUAAAAAAUGUGCCUAUUAAUUGUUUUUGAUAAUUACAUGAUUAAUUGUGGGACACUAAUUAAUGCACUAUUCAUUCUAAAUUUCAUCUACAUACACCACAUACAGUAUGUAUGCGUGUGAUUUCGAUGUGUGUGUGUUUACACUUAGCAAUAUUAAUCGAUGCAUGCAUGCUUAUCUAAAAUGAGGUUCAUAAUUUUAUUUGACUAAAAAAAAAAGAACAUUUAAUAAAGGAUUUAUCCACAAAAUUUAUCGCUAAAUAGUUGUAGCUAAAACUAUUUUUUGAUAACUCAUUGCUAAUCCAUCGUUAAAUUGAAAUAGAUUUUUCUUGUUUUGUUUAGUGAUAAAAGUCGCCUGUCUCCCAUUUCAGUUGUUGUUUUUUAAGUAAAAAAAUGAAUGUAAACAAAACUUAACUUAUAUACAUAGAUAUAUUCUAUAUGAAAAUUUAUGUUGUUAGUGAAUUUUAACUUGUAGAAAGUUACCUAUGAGAUAUUUUUCUACUUAUUAGUUUCAUUUACUAUGGAUAAUUAUCUGUAAUUACUUUUUUGAUAAUUUGAUGGUGUAAAAAUAAGAUUUUACAUUAUCAUUAUAGAAGUUAAAUUCAACAAAUGCAUCUACUAGUUUCCAUUUUAUGUUUCUAAAUAUUAGAUUAUUACUGAGGGUAAUAUAUAUAUACGUUUAAGAAAAAUAAUCUCUAAAAAUUUUUUAUCAUUUGAAUUAAUUACAAAAAUCCUCCUUUUCCUUCUCUUUCUUAACAUCCCGGAUAUAUCACUCCACCUCUAUCAGAUACUCUACAUUACAAUAUUGUUAGUGUACGAUGUAUCUUGUACAAAUGUUAUUGUUGAUACAUAACCCCAAUUAUUUCAAACCUAAAUUAGUAUGAAUAUGGUUUAUAGUUAUGUAUCUGACACAUAAUUCGUGUCUUGUUUGCUAUGUAUCAGAAGAAGGAGAAACGUAUUUGUGAGUUCUGAAAAAUCUGAGAUUAUUAUAAUUUGAAAAACUUUCGAAUUGAAGAAUGAUGUAUGGAUAAUAGUGAAUGGAGUCAACAUAUUGGGAUUAACGUAGAAUGGAAGUUACAAAAACAAUUACUCCUACUAACAAGUAGGAGGAGAGUAUAAUUAGGAAUAAUUAUGAACACAAUUAAUGAACUCAAAUGCGCUCACGAAAUACAUUUAUGUUUAUCUGCUCACCCUUGUGUUUAGGGUUCUGUAAUGGGCUUUUCUUUGCUGCCAUCCAUCAAGACCUGUCCAAUAAAUUUAGGCCCAGAAAUUAGGCCCCAAACCCAGAUUUUGCAAGUUUUCAUGAAUAUGGCCUAUAUUUCUGGUUUUCCUCUUCUUCUUUUUCUCACUCGUAUUCAGUACUUCGCAUUGAAGCUCGACUAAAUCUGAAUUUCACGUUGCACUGAAAUGGUAGUUGUCGAGUAUAGUGGUGAGUUGGUGACCUAAUGGUGUCUGGACGGUGCUGUUUUGAUAUUUUUGAGUGUUGACAUUUUGGUAAAAUUCCACAUUGGAUACAUCAUAUUACCCUUUAAUUCGAGUAUUGAUAUUUAGGGGUUGCAUAUUGGUCGGUUCGGUUUUGAAGUUUAUCAGUCCGACUUAUUAAUUAUUGAUUUGUAGACAUGUUAAAUCGUUAUAGGACCAUUUAAAUAUUGACUUAUCGAUUUAUUGGUUAUUAAUCGUUAUCUGGUUCGGUUAUCGUUUAACCGUUAAGAUUGACACAAAAAAUAAUGAUUGAAAGUUGAUAGAUUGCAUCUUGCUCAAAAGCAACACUAACACAUUAUAGAAUAAUUAAAACUUGAGAUUAUCAGAAAUAAAAAUACAAAACUAAAUCUUAAGUCAAUGACUUUAUAUACUGAAUGGUAUAAACAUAAUUUAUUAAUUUACUAUCGAUUUAUCAGUUAACCCGUUGAGAAAAAAACCUCAAACAAAUAAUCCAAUAUAAAGAAAAACCAAAACCAUUAUUUAAACCGUUUAAUUAAUAACCCAUUACCCAUAAAUUAAUUAUUUAAAAAAAAAAUCAAAUUAUCAAUUUCGAUCCAAUUUUAAAUAGACCUAAUUAAUACUUUGAUAAGACAUUAUAGAAUAUUCAACUGGCCGUAGUUGUUGUAAUCAACUGUGUUCUUACACUAUUUUUCAUAUCAACGCAUUACUCAAAUGGGAUGUAGGGACAAAGAAAGCACAAUAAAAUUUGGUUGCUAAUUUUGACUUUUGGUUUGGUGGCAUGACAAGAAAAAAAAAAAGCAAUUUUGGAGUCUUUCUUGUGGGACCUCCACCAUUCACGGCAUAAUUGAUUUAUUUACUAUAUACUCCCUCCGUCCUUUUUAGUUGUCCACUUUAGAAAUGACACACAGAUUAAGGCAACAAUGAUUAGCACAGUAAAGUUACAAUUUUACCCUUAUGACAACUUUUCACUUCAAAAUUACAACCACUUAUUUGAAUUCAAGUGAAAUAAAUUUGAGGGAAACAUACUCCCUCCGUCCCUUUUUAGUUGUCCACUUUAGAAAUGGCACACAGAUUAAGGCAACAAUGAUUAGCACAGUGAAGUUACAAUUUUACCCUUAUGACAACUUUUCACUUCAAAAUUACAACCACUUAUUUGAAUUCAAGUGAAAUAAAUUUGAGGGAAACAACAUACACUUUUACAAUUUUCAAGAAGUGUAAAUAAGGGUAUAAUAGGAAAAAAUUUGUUGUCCUUUCUUGAUUUGUCAAAAUGGACAACUAAAUAGGGACAACUAAAAAAGGAAAUAUGGACAAGUAAAUAGGGACGGAGGGAGUACUAAAAUGACUUUACAUAGUUUAGCCAAAAACUUUAUUCAUAUUAUUUAUACACACUUUGGCUUAAUCAUAAUCACUUCUAUUAGUUAUUAAAAUUAGUUACAACUUAGUGUUUUGACCAAACUUUUUGAAAGUGAUAUCAACAAUCGGAAGUAUAAUAUUUUAGUUCACCCACUGCCAUACAUUAUUUAUAGAUAGUGCUCCUUUUUAUUAUAUUAAUUAAAUGAUAUAUAUUAUUUCAAUUAAAUUUUUCAUAGACAUUAACAUUAUAUACGAGUCUUGGCAUCAAUCGAUAGGUUGAUGAUUUGGAUUACGUUGAAUGGUAAGUGGAAAUAUUAUUGAUCCUCUUGAUAAGGUGAGAGCUGGAAGAAAAAACACGUGAGUUAAAUUUUAACUAAUUAAUCAAUUUAAGGAUACUCGAUAAAAUCGAAACGAUAUCGAAGUUUAGAAAUGUUCCAAAUUUUGGAAAAAAUACCAGAUUUUACUUUUAGCUACCACACACAACAUGUCUAGUCAUGUUUAUAGGCAAACAAUAAAUUAUAGUACGAAGAUAAAUUCUUUUAAUUUUUAAAAAGAAUAUUAUUUGUUCUGUUCUAUCGAAAUUCUCAUAUCAGAUCUCAUAAAUCAAGUUAUUUUCCCAAUAAAUAAUUGAUAACUACUCCAAAAUAAAUAGAAAAGUUAUACGUUCAUUAAUAUUUAAUAGGAACGUAAUAAAAAGAAAAGAGAUACUUUUAUCGGUUUAUUUUCAUUUGUCAUUUAUUUUAAAAAUACAUUUCAUUUUCAUUUAUUAUUUUUAACAUAUCAAAAAAAUAUAAUUAUUUUUUUCAUCUUUAUCCUAAACAUAAUUAGUUAUUCCUCAAAUCAUUUUCUAAGAUCAAUUAAUAUAUACAUUAUGACAAAAUACUCAUAUCAAUCAUUAUUUCUUAAAGAACAUGCAAAUUCAAAUGGACAAGUAAAAGUGAGCGACGAAAGAAAUUUUGGCUCGUUAAAAAGGUCUAAUGCCUUUCGAGAAAUGGAGUUAUUUUCAAAUUUAGUCCAACUUAUAAUUCAUCUUAAUAAAUUAAAUUAUACUUUGAUUAUUGUAUUUUUUUUGUUACUUAACAUUUAAAUCAUAUUCUCUAAUUGUUGUCAUUAUUCCUUUCUUUUAGAAAAUGCUAUGUAAUUUUUUUAAAUAUUAGUAUUUGUUAUGACUUUUUUACUUUCAUAGUCAUUUUUUUUUUCUAUAUGUGCUCUGAUUUGCUUUCUUAAAGUCAAGGAUUUAUUAAAAAUAAUAUUUCUAUCUAUAUACUUAUAUAUUAUCAUCCAUCCUAAAAUUAUUUCACUGUGAUAUUACACUCUUCUUUUUUAGUUUAAAUGUGGACCAAGUCCACAGCUUUAUUAAAAAACAUAAAUCAAUACCAAUUGGGUCCAAAAAUGGCCCGAUUGGAAACAACGAAACAAAGUAAACUACAGGAAGAAGAAAACAAACUAACAGAAAAGGAAAUAAACUCUAAUGUCUGAAAAAAAUUUCAACUUCUCCGAUGUGACAGUCGCCGGAGAAUCCUCCCAAAGUGACGACCAGUUUGUUACUAUUAUUGAUCAAAACGUCUUUGUAAUUUCUUUUGAAGUGUAUGACUAAAUUAAGUAAAACCAAGUGUGAUUAUUGACAGUAGAAUAAAGAUUUCAACAUAAAGUGAAACAUUUAAGUGUUUUAUUAAUAAUUAAUUACUCCUAUUUGCUUUCACUUUGCAUGCCCAAAUUCCCAUCUAGUCUAUCAGUAUUAGUUGAUUUUGCUACAAAACAAAUGGUUAAUAGAAAAUAUUUUUCACUCACCAAUCAAAUAUAAAAAAAUAAGUUAGAAAUUAACUGGAUUUUCAAGAAAACAAUUUUUUAUCAGAUAGUUUUUGUGGGUCAAUUGAUUUUAUACUCCUUCUAAAAUUAUUUUUAUUUUUAUACAUAACAAAUUUAAAAUAACAUACAAAAAUAAAAUGAAAUUACAUGAUCAUUUUCUUUUAUAUAAACUAUAUAUUAUAAGGGAUAUGCUCAUCAUUUUUCUCCUCUUUUAUAGCCACAAAAUAUUCCUCCAUAUUUGAACUUCUGUUACAAAUAUAAAAAACAGUCUCUUUCUUUAUUAAAUUAUUUAUAUAUACUCAAUAAGGAACCAAACUAAAAGACAUAAAUAGAAAUGAAGAGCUAUCAUUUUAAAGUUAUAAUAGAUACCAUGUCAUUUUAAUUUAACCUAAUUUUUAUUCUUAAAAAAUAAUUCUAAUUUUAAUUUAUUUAUAUCAAAUUAGAUCUGUUCAAAUCGAACCAAAAUCGAUAACCCGAAUUAAUAAUGAGUUAUUGAUUUAGCGAUUUUGAUAAUAAUUUUAAUUUUUUUUAUUAUCGAAUUAUAAGUUCUUAACGGUUUGAGAUUUCUUGACGGGUCAACUAAUAACUUGAUAGUAAGUUAAUAAAUUAUAUUCAUACCAUUCGGCAUAUAAAGUCCUUGGCUCAUUUAGUUUCAUAUUUUUUUUUUAAUUGUUUCAAAGUCUUGGUUAUUCUACCAUGUGACAGUGUUUGCUUUUGAGCAAUUUGCGCACAUUUCAUUUAGCUUAUCAACCUAUUUCUAAGUAAUUUUCAAUGUAUUUUUGUGUGUCAAAUCUUAACGAUUAUACCAAUAAUCGAUAAGCCAAUAUCUUAAAUGAUUCUAUAAUGAUUCAACAUGUCUAUAAAUCAAUAACCAAUAUAUUAAAUUGAUACACUUCAAAAUCGAACCAAACUCAUCGAUAUACAAAUCUAUUUCAGAUCAAAUGUUGUCACAUAAAUUUAAACCUAUUAUAAGAUUAAAGAAUAAACACGAGGACGACAUGAUCCACUAAAUAAAAGCAAACGUUGUAGUAAUGAUUAGAAAGAGGAUUUUUAAUUUUUUAUGUUUUUGCAAGAAUGACCCUAUAUUGUUUUUCUGUUUCCCAAAUCAGUACACAAUCUAUUAAUAUUCUCCAAAAUCCCCCUACCUUUUGAAAUUCUUGAAGACGUGCUCGCCUUGAUGAACGGCUGUCCCCAUUUUCUUCUCUCUCCCCACUUCUACUCCUUUGCCAUUAUCAAUUUCUCAACAAAAAAAAUCCUUCUUUGUCUUUUUCCCUUUUGUUUAGUCAAAUUCUUUUGUUACCAACAACUUAUAUUGGUCUCUUCAAUUGGGGGGCCUAUUUAUUUUCCCUCAUUUCUCUUUCAACAAACUCAUUUUUGUGUUAUAUAGCUUCAAUGUUGAAGUGGGUGUCGGUUUCUUUGCUCUACUAGGUGAAAAAAAGUAAAAAAUCUCAGGUUGGGUUCUUUUUUUUGAGUUCUUUUUUAGUUUUUGGUUUUGGGGUUUGCUCUAUUUGGUUGGUUAAUGAAAUAAAGAUUUCAAAUUUGGAAAAUGUGAUAGAGUUCAGUUGUUCUCUGCGAUCUUGUUGAUUUUGGGUAGAAGUUUCUUUUUUGGGGUUUGCCUAAUUGUGGGAUUCUCCUUUUUCACUCAAAGAUUGCAGCUUUUUCAUGUUUCUUGCUAUUUGAAGUGUCUUUUUUACUAUGGGUGCUGAAUGUGUGUAAGUUAAGAGUGUAAUUGUUAAGUUUCAGACAAAAUGAAUGGUUUGAUUAUUCUGGUAUAGUUGAAGAGAUAUUGUAAAGCAUUAUCCUGAUAUAGUUCUUUCUUUGUUUUUUUCCUAUUGUCUCUGUCUGGUGUGAACUGUUUGUUGAUUCAUUUAGCAGCUUUUCAGGAAUGUAGUAGUUGUGUUCUGAAUUCUAGCUGAACUAAUAAUUGUUGCAGAAGUGAAUUUUUAAAGGUUGUAGUGGCAAACAGUUACUGGUUUUGUUUAUAGUUUUUUUCUUGUCAUUUCCUUGAAAUGUCGGUAUCAUGGUUGUUACAGGAUAAGAAUUGGUUACCAGUAACUCAAUGGAGACACUAAAUUCACCAGCUACAAUGACCUUUCCCAGAGAGCCUGCCAACUUUGAUGAGGUUUCUAUGCAUCAAAGCAUGCUCUUUUCCGAUAGUCUUAAGGUACCUACCUCUUUUCCUGAGCUGAAAAUUGGUAUUUUUUUCUUCAAAAUAGGGUCUUAGAAACAUGAAAGCUAUGUCUCUUGGUUCGAGAUAGUUGUAGAAAUGACCAUCUUUUAUUUUCAUUCUGAAUAUUUGAUUCCAAUGUUUCAAAACUUGGAAGCUGCAUAUGGAAAAUAUCUUUUGACCAUUUUGCUGAAUUUCUAGAAAUCUUUGAUUUGAAACUUGCUAGUUAGUCAACGAAGGAGAGGUAAAGAAUCUGGAUUCUUAAUUGCUUCUUUGUUGACUUGGUACUUAAUUUCUUGCUAUUAUAUUUUCUGACUUGCACUGGUUUCUUCAGGAUUUGAAGAAUCUGAGGAAACAACUUUACUCAGCAGCUGAAUAUUUUGAAUUAUCUUAUUCUAAUGAUGAGCAAAAAGAUGUGUGAGUCAUCUGUGGACUUGUGGGAAAGUUCAAUUCCAUUUUCCAUGUUUGGUAUGGCUUUUAACAUAUUUCUCUUCUUACAGUGUGGUAGAUACGUUGAAAGAGUAUGCUAUUAAAGCACUUGUGAACACCGUGGAUCAUUUAGGCUCUGUGACAUAUAAGGUCAGUGAUCUCUUGGAUGAAAAAGUUGAUGAAGUUUCUGGAACAGAGCUGCGUAUCUCUUGCAUUGAGCAGGUAAUAACCUUUUCCUUUUUUGGAUAUCAGAACUUUAUGAAGACCAUCAUUUAAAUUCUGAUCUGAUAAACCAUGGCGUUGUGCUAAAAAAAGUGACCAUCAGUAAUCGCAUGUGUGACUAAUACUCUCUUUAGUGUCAUAUAUUGAACUUUGUUGAAAAAUACCUUUGUGACUUUAAGCGUGUGUAUGAAAUGGAGGAGAAAAUGUUUUCCAAUUUUACAUGUUUGGUCGGUAAAAAUAUUUUGGAAACGACUUCCAUAAUGGAAGUAGAGAAAAAAAGUUUCAUAAGUGACAUUCCAAGUUCAUGUCUCGUCCCCACCCACCCAAUGCCCCUUGACCAUCCCACCCCAUCCUAGCUCCAUAAUGUUCUUUGGAUAAUAUUUUUUAGCUUACUUACCAAACAGUCAAACACUAGAUAAUAAGUAAGAAACUCACUUGAUUUUCAAUGGAAAACAUUUUCCCUCAUACCAAACACACGUGUACUUCUUUGAUCUCCCUCCUCACCACACAAAUAUAGAAGAUCUUGUAACAAUAUUACUUCUUAUAGAUAGGUUGAUCGAAUGAACUCCACAACUGAAAUCAAGAUGCAUAUCAAGUUCCAUGUGGUUGAAGAAAUAUAAUUUGUUGAGAAUCCUUGCAAAUGAACUUUUACGGUUUUUUUCAAGUAUUGUAAAGGUAGUAGUCAUACUCUUAAGACUGCCACAUGCUAACACCUUCUGAAGAUCCAAUGCUUGAACAUAUCAAAUGCCUGCAAUUUUACUUAUAUUUUGUGUUCAAAGAAUUCUAUGUCUAAUAUGUUUUAUCGGUGAAGUGAAUGCACUGACACACACACAAAUGGUGAAACUAGUUAUGAUUUAUGAGGCUUUUCUACAGUUUUACAUUGUUGGUGUGAUCCUAAUUCAUUAGGCUUUCUUUGGGAAUUCAAGAAUUGGAUACAGGAUUUAGUUAAUCUAUUUCUGUCUUAUUUCUUGUUUGGCUUGUUGGACCUAAUUUGGAAUUUAGAGCUGGAGCCAACUGUGAGAAUGACUCAGACCCAGCAUAUUUGUGUAGAUAUAUGGCUAUUUGAUCUUGUUGCUCUACUAAAUGGAUCAAUAAUUGGAGCAAUAUAUUUUUGACUUAAACAGUCACAAUGCCUGGGAAAUUCCACCCCUAAGCCCCCUAACCCAUGGCCUUAAAGCAGAUUUCUGAUACUGAACAUAUGAUUACAUCUCCCAGAUAUUCUCGCUUGAAAAUAACAGCAUCACAGUCUUGUUGAUCCACCCUUGUGUUACUAUCUUUGUGCUUGGUUGUGAGGGUGUAGCUUGUGUUAUUCUGGUUCUUAUUCAUUUUACCUGAUUUUCUUGUAGAGACUAAAGACAUGCCAGGAGUACAUUGAUAAUGAGGGUCUGUCGCAGCAAUCAUUGGUUAUUCAUACUCCUAAGUAUCACAAGCGAUAUAUAUUACCAGGUAAUUAUGAUUACAUCACAUCAGUAUAUCUUUCAAAUCUGUUCCUUUAGCAGUAUUUGUCGCUCUCAAGUCAGAACUUAGAACAUUCAACUAUUUUUGAUAAUUUUUUUCCAGUUGGCGAGACAGCGGAUGGUGGUAACCUUACCAAGUUACAGUACCAAGGGUGUAGUCUUGACGAUCAAGAUGAUUGGAAUCAAUUUAGAAAUGGUAGAAUAUUAUGCAUUGCCUUCAAUUUUUGAGUUUCCAUUAACAUAUUUGUGAAAAAUGAUAUGACCGGAGCUGGUUUCUUUUGAUGCAGCUGUGCGAGCAACAAUUAGAGAGACUCCACCACCUGCAGCUGGGUAAAUUUUUCUUGCUUCUUGUUGUAUCCAGCCACCUGAUUUCUUUUAUGUUUUACCAUGCAUAACUAUGUAGAGAUUCAUAUACUGCAGGAAAGGAUUCUCCCCAUCACCUACUCCACGUCUUCUUCAGCAGUAUGGAAAAUUUUCGUUCUCCGGAACCACACCAAAAAAGGAAUUAGGUCUCUUUCCAUCAUUUUCUUGCAUUAUAAUAUCUUUGCAUCUUAGUGCGUAUAAUUUUCCACCUUCUUGGUCUCAUUGCUGCUUGUGAUUAAUUUUAUCCUUCUUUUUGUACUUUGGCUUAAUGUUCCAACAGACAAGCGGACAGUUUCACCGCAUCGGUUUCCUCUUUUACGAACUGCAUCUCUUGCUAGUCGGACAACCACCCCCAAAAGUUCUAGGCCAACCACCCCAAAUAAGAGUCGGCCUACUACUCCAAACCCUUCUAAUGGGAGACGGGUAAUUACUGGAUCCUAUAUAUUUUUCAUUUGCUUAAUAUGUUAAUAUCCAGAAGCAGCCUUAAUAACUCUUAAUUGCUGCUGAGUGCUGAUAAGAUCAUGCUCCUCUAUCCUGAGAUUCGGCAACUUGUCUUGUUCAUAUUAGACUUGUAGUUAUUUUCUUUUAACUGUUAAAUUGUGUUUGAGCAGUACGCUGCGGAGCCUCGUAAAUCAGCUUCAAUGCGACUUUAUGCUGACAAUAUAAACACCAAAGAUCCUGAGCAACAUUCCAGCAAAAGUAAACGUCUGCUUAAAUCUUUGCUCAGUCGACGCAAAUCAAAGAAAGAUGAAACGCUAUAUACAUACAUAGAUGAAUAUUAACAGGAACAAGUUCAAAGAAAAAUGUGACUAAAGGAGGGGUGGAUGUGGUGGCACUUGCAGCUGGAAACCAGGAACAUGAUCUUUUGCUUGUAUUGCAUUAGUGCUUCUCCAGUUGUUACACGGAAAAUCAGGGACAGGCUUUUUUAUUAGUGCACUGCUUACCUUUCCUCAAUUGUAUAUUAAAUUUUGGCAAUGUAUUGACAGUUUAUAAACACAAUUAUAAAGACUUGAUUAGUUGUCCUGGACAUCGUCUUGACAGAUCAUGAAGUAAUAUAGUGUCCGUUUGGACAAAAUUUGAGUUGAAAAUAUGAUUUCCUCAUUUGACAGUAAACCAACUUCAUAGUUCUCACUUCUCCAAUAUGUAGAUAUAAUGCAUAAUUGUUGAUAAGUUAAAUAAUUCUGAUUCUCUCAUUUUCUUUCACCCUUGCCUUUUGAAACAGCGAAAACAUAUUGAUGAAAUUCUUAUGGAAUGUUUGAAGCAUGAGGAAUGAGAAUAUCAUCUAAAACUUUGCUGUAUGCCAAAUGUUAUAUAUCAGUUUUUAGCUUUAUAUCAUACGAGGAUUUGAGUUGCAAGAGGUUGCUUGAGCAUCUUUGUUUAGGCCAAAGUAAGCACUCCAUUUAAUGCUUCUUGUAGUUCCAGAGUACAUGAUAUCAAUUAUAAAGAAUUAAAGAUGAAUAUAAUCUGAAGUUAAAUUAUCAGCUGGCAAUGAAUACCACUGUCAAUUACAAACAGGAAAUGGCUUCCUGUAUAUGGCACAUCAAUAAAUGAACAAUGUCCAAAAAUAUUCAAUAGAGGUCUCUAUUCCUUCUUUGGACCAAAUUCUUCAAUGGUUUUUGUUGUGAGUGUGAGUACAUCUACAAAUGCACUAAAUGAUGCACGAAGAAAUCUUGCUUCAACAGCCUCAAAAUUCCUGUAAAACAUCAGGAACAGUUCAGAAAACUGAAAUUUCGGCAAAGAAGAGUGAUAUUCUUCAUUCCUAAUCAGAGGAAGAAGCGUCAUUUUGAACAAGGUUUCCUUUGACCAAGAAAUUUGUUAUAAAGAUAACUGACUGGUGCCAAGUAUAUUUCAGCAAACAAGGAAGAGUUCACAAAGAACAGUUACAUCUGUUACCUGUCAAUUUAUGGCUCAGGCACGCAACCAAAACAUUGUUUUUAUCAUCCAAAAGAAAACUCUAGUGCCAUAUCAGUGCUUGAUUUCUAUAAAUGAUAGGAGUAAAAAUUAAGCAACUAGCACAAUACAAUUAUGUUCUUAAGAACUUGUACUUUUGGGUUCCUUUACAAUAUGAAGAUAUAUAUAAAUUUUGAUGAAGUAUGAAGAUUUCCAUAAAUUACCAUCAGACACACACACACACACACACGUACACACACACACACUCAUUUAUAUAUAUAUAUAUAUAUAUAUAUAUAUCCCAAACGUAUAAGAAAAUAUUGAAAACAAUGACUACUAACAGCAGUUGGAUCAACAAAAUGCAAAAGUGCAAAAAUCAACUGGUUUGAAUAAAUUCAAUGAGUAGAAGCAUGUGCUCACACUGAAAGCUUCCCGUUAGAUACAGACAUAUGCCUCUUCACUUUAUCAGGCUGCAACUGCAAUUAUUAAUAGUACGAGAGUUGGAGCACUGGUGAAUUGAAACAGAUGCUACAAUGAAUAAAAAACCUCAGUAUCACUAUACCUCCUUAUCAACAGCCAAUGCAGUAUAGACAAUAUGAGCAUUUUCUUCAGACCCAAGAUCUACUUCCAAGUUGCUGCAUAAAGUAUACCUCAUAAAAUUCACUCCUUCGCCAAGGAAUACAAAUCAAAAGUGCAUUAACAUAGAGUAUAACUCAUUAUUGCUAGGGCCUAGAUGUCACAAAUUUGCUACUCUGUUCUUCAGUUCUGAUUCUUGAGUUUAAGAAUGCAUGAAGUCCCAUUUCAUUGCCAAAUGGAACAGUAGACGGAGAUGUAUUUUUUGUUUAGUAUUAAUUCACAAAAGAACAGCAACAAAAUGGACAAGCAACAAUAGAAUACAUUAAGUAAAGGAAGAUAUGAAGAUAGGGUUGCAUCAAGAAGAGAUUAGACAAAUCAGGAAGGGCAAUUACACACAAGAUGUCCCGGAACCUGAAAUUUCUGCUCUUGCAGUUGAAAAAACCUGCUAGCAUAUAACAAUAAAACAAGAGAACUAACAAGCUUUCUCAGUGACAAUUCAGUAUGAGACUUUCCAGCUACUCUCCACCAACAAAGCUAAUACGUAACAUUCAAUUUACGCGAGUCUUGAGACCACAAGUUCAUUCCUAGGCCCUAGCUCACUGUCAAGCUUCUCUACAAGUGUCUCAAUACAUUAAAAAUAACAGAGAUAGCUUUACUAUGACCCAUUACUUGAAAACCAGCUAACCCCCUCAUCUACUACCCCUUAACCACCAAAAAGAAGAAGAAAACAUUAAAAAGGAGAAGUCUUUUUGAUAAGGAACCAAGUAAAACCAUAUGGGUAUGUUGAAAUGAGUGAUUAAAACCAAGAAAAAUAAAUUGCAAGAGCAUAAAUAAAUCCUUUUAAUAUACAUUUGUUCACAUAACAUAAACACAAAAGCAUUUUCUUGAUAUAAUAAGGAUUUCUUAGUUGUAAGAUGAAGAGAAAAUACCAGUUGAAGUCCCAUGGAGACGCCACACCAUCCAUUCCUUCCUGGACACAGUUUCUGUACAGCAGUUGAAGUUAUUGGUUGAUUAUUAGGGUUUUCGAAUUUUGGGUACUAAAAUCUAUAAACCCGACCCGCAAAAUGGUAAGUGGGUAUCCUUAUUAGUGUGAAUCAGAAAUAGGCCGUGUAAUAUAAUACUCUUUCCGUCCCUUUUUACUUGUCCAAUUUGACCGAUCAAGAAAUGACAUUUUCUUUUUAUCUAUUAUAUUCUUAAUUAAUUAAUUUUGAAAAAAGUAAAACUUCUUUAAUAAGUAAAUUGAUUUUUGAAUUCUAUUGAUUAAUAGGGGUAAAAUGGUACUCACUAUGUCAAUUAUUAUUUUCUUAAUAGGUGUGUCAAGUAAAAAAUAGACAAAUAAAUAGAGUCAGAGAGAGGGUGAAUUUGAGUUUAGUUAAGUCCCAAUAUAAAUAUUGGAUAUUGAAUGGACAACGCCUUAGCCUUUAAAAUUAUCGUGAUUUUUAAUUUUUGCUCCUCAAAUUGGUUGUUUUUAUCCAUGCUUCUCAUUUUGAUGAAAAUUUAUGAAUCAAAAUGCCUUAAUUAUAAACUAGUUUCGCAAGACAAAAAUUUAGAUAAGUUAUGUAGUAUAUAAUUUGUAAGGCGAAAGUUUAGAAAACUAUGGAAUAUGAUAUUGUGAGUUGUGAAAUUAAACUUAUGUAUUAUAAUGCAUAAUUUGUGUCUUGCUAUUCACAAAACAAAAGUUUAAACCGGAAAAUUUGCAAUUCUGAAAUAAAACUUUUUAUCUGAUGAUAAGAUAUAACUUGUGCCUUGCGAAUUUUGUUUUUUUCAGAUUUAGAAAUAUUAUUGAUCACUUUUUGUUUAUUCAAAGAGUUGAAAAUCAUAAAUUUAAGAGAUAAAGUUAAAGGCCGCAAAUGAUCCUUUUUGUAUUGAAAGGUUUCUUAUUAGUAUUAAAUUAAAAUAACGUUUUUUUUUUGGGUAUGUACCGUAAUUUGUCUAAAUUAGGACGCAAGUAAUUUAAAAAGAGGUUAUAAAAAGAAGGAAAAGAUAAUGUAAAAAAAUUGGUUACGUGUGUUUUAAUUGAUAAACUUGAAUCAAUGGAACUUCCACCGUCCAAUAAUAUUUUUUCGUUAUUAAUUUGACACACAUCUUAAGAAACAAUAAAUAAUAUGAAUAAUAUUACUAUAUUAUCCUUUGAACGUAUGAAAUUAAUGCUUUCGAAAAUGUAUUAGAUAUUGAAUAGUAUUUAAUAACAAGGGUAAAAUAGACACAAAUGGAUAAAUUAUCUCUUAAUUUUUUUAAUGUGAUAAAUAUUAUUCGAUAACUAUUUUUAUUAUAGUGGACAAGUAAAAAUGGACGGAGAAGUAUUUAUGACACCACUAUCCCAUUUAAGAGUCUGCUAAGAGAUUUAAGAGGUAUUAUUAAUCUUGUUUGGCUAGAAUUGUGUGUAUAAGAAUAUUCCACUGGUAUAUUACUCACUAUUGGCCCAUCUGCCACCUUAUUGUUAUUAUUGUGGGUAUAAUUUAGAUGCCAAUUUUAGCAUCUUUAUUUAUACUCUUUCAUUCAGUUUUUGUUACCCUUUUUCUUCUGUUAGCCAUACUUCACACCAAAAAAAACCAUGAGCUUAUGAUGCAUGUUGGAAAGUCUCUUUUCUUCUCCAAUAAAUAAGUUAAAUCAAACAAGGCAAGUUUCUUCCAUUCUUCCUUUAUAUGUGUUGUUAUUUUUUACUUUUUUAUUUUAUGAUGGUUUUGUUUGAGCGUGUUGUCACGCUUAUCCUUUCAUACUAGUAAUUUGCAGUAUUACUCUUGUAGUUUCCUUGUCCUUCUUAUGGUUUAUUAUUUGUUGUUUCUUGUACUUCAUUUGUCAUAUUAUUUUGUAUAUUCUUGUCUUUCUAUCGGUUCUGAUUUGUUGUUUCAUGUACUUUGUGUAUUAUUUUGUGGUAGUUACUAUUCUUCCCUUCUUCUUUUUUUCAAAUUGUUUUUAGCAUAUAGUAGUAUAUUUGCUUCGUCACAUUCGUUAUUUCUUUUACCAGACUGUUUUGUUUUGCUUCACUUUGAGGCGAGGAUCUACCGAAAACAUCCUCUCUACUUGCCAAGGUAGGCAUCCAUGUAUACUCUACUCUCUCCGCACUCCACUUUUGAAAUUACAUUAGUAUGUUAUUAUAUGGCGGGAUUACAUUAAGUAUGUUAUUGUUGUUGUUACACAUGGAUUAUUUUAUCGAGUAUCUGCUAGUUUUUGCCACCACAAGUACUAUAUUAGUUAAUUACCUCUGUUUGUUUCAAUAUUCUCUCCUAGUUUAAGGUUUGUUUCUUGAACUCUUGAUUCUUUUAAUUACAUAUAUAUAUAUAUGUUAAGAUCCAUACAUAGAGAGAGAAAUAUAGAUGAUUCAAGGUAUUUGUUUUUUGUUUGGCCAUUUAACUACUAUUACUUUGUUAAUUGGCUGAGAAACUCCACUUCUAGGAGAAAAAUAAACAGGUUUUGUCCAACAGUAUAUAUAUCAUAUAUGGCUUCAUGAUAAUAUUUGGUUGGUUGCCUGUAAUGCAUGUGAUUGGGCUUCUCAGCUUUUAUUUAUGAGUUUUAAGUUAUAUAUAUCAAGAAGGAGAAGAGGUGAGCAUAGUUUCACUUGCUUGGUAACCUCUUUCCCCGUCAGAGAUAAGAAAGAAUCCAAAUCUUGCAAGGAUGUUAGACUUCAACGUCUCUACACCAUUAGGUGAUCUUUAUCUGUUAUUAAACUCUUUUCAUGUUAGCUCAUCUCCUUGUUUGUAAACCUGGUUCUGGUUCCUUUUUUGAAGUUUCUGGUUUGUAGUUCUAAUUUUCUUGAUUUUGUUCGAUGAAACUACGUAUACAUGCCAGUUUUUGGUGGUUAAGUUUGCUGCCAUACAUAGUCAGGAAUAAUUGCAGAGUACAACAUCAGAAAUUGGUGUCUUAAGACUUAGCAUAAUUGCAGAGUACAACAUCAGAAGACUGUCAAAAAGGAUAAUUAUCAUUAAGGAAAAUGAACAAUGGUCUGCACUUAUCAAUACAAUGAAAUUCAGAAAAUGCACUAUGCCCUUAACCAACUACAAAAUAAAAAGUGGUUAAGGGCGGGCUAAAAUGUCUUGUUCUGAUCUUUUUGUCAGCACAGUGUAGCUUUGCCUUUUCAUGCAUUUCCUCCUUUCCCCUUCCUUCUGUAAUGUGAUUCGUGUAUGUGAAAAUGCUGUACAGUUUAUUCCACCGGUUAAGUCACCAGUGGACUGAAUUUGCCAUCAUAGGUUCAUGUGAGGGAUGCAUUUACUCUGACUGGUUUUACACGACUUACACCUCUUCGCAUAAACUCAAAUGCCAACAUAAACAAACCAAAAAAGAACAACAAGAACAUCUGUAGCCUUCCUAUAAUGUCGGCCAUGACAGAUGAUCUACUUCCUUCUGGAGAACUUUUUCUAGUAAGUGGAGUUAUAUUCCAUCCUGACAGAGACAAUCAACUAUUAAAGCAAUGCACCUUAACCAAUAAACUUAGGAAACAUUACAGGACUUUGUGAUAUAUGGAAGUUUAUGUAUCCUACAGAGACAUUAUUCCUCUAUAUCUUGUUCCUCCAAAUAGUCUUAGUUUCAUGCUGCUGCUUUCUACAAAAAAUAGGAACCAGUUAUUAAUACUUACCAGAGCUUUUCUUGGGCAAAUUUGUCCAGUCAUACGGGCUAAUCUUACUUGUGGAUGCCUUGAUCAACUCAAGAAGAGCGUCAUUGACCUAGAAUAUUUAAUAAUUGUCAUAUACUUCUUCCAUUAACAAUCAACACACAUAAGACUACAGCCACACAAAUCAUUUGAAGCCACAAAGAGUACUAAAACUUUGAGAAUCUCAUAACAUAUUAUGCAUUUUGAAUUCCCUAUUCAUAACUACCAAAAAGUUGAUUUGGCCUAUUUGUGACCACCAAGAAGAGUAACCCCUCCCCAGGUUCUUAGGAUGCUUUUCUUGACCUCCACCCUUAGUACGUUAUAUUUUUUUUUUUUGUUUUUGGUAACUAAGCAGAAUGGAUUUUUUUUCUUACUGGAUGAUUCUGUAUUUGCAUAAUAAAGACAUAAAAACAUACCUCUUCUGUCCUUUCAUGACUAACAAGAUGUCCUCCAGGAAGCUCUACCAUUCUAGCAUAAGGAUGUAACUUCUUCGCAAGCCUCUUUGCAUGGCUUAACUGAGCAAUGACAUCAUGCCUACACAGAAGAAAAUGUUGAUUUAUAUCUAAAUAUAAUGUAUCUGGCAAUUUGAGAUUGGAUCUCGUGGAUAAUGCAUUUACCUGCCAUGAAUUACAGAUAUUAGGAAUCCAGCAGAGCAGAUAGAUUCAAGAUCAGCCCGUGAUAUCUUAUGAGUCCAACAAGCAUUUAUCUGUCCAUCAAAUCCACAAUUUGACUGCAUCCCGGAUGCUGAUAUGCCUUUCACGUAUUCCUGGCACAGCCCAAAAAUAAGAGGGGGAAAAACACGUAAGCACCUUAAGUCUUGUUUAUUGUAGAUUACAUUUCAAUGGUUGAAAAAAAAAAAAAAAGAUGGCCUAAGAAACAUCUAGGUCACUCACUUGAUAUAAUAUUGCUCUUCGGGUCGUAGUUCCCACAUCUUCCUCGAGGUAUUCCUGCAAAGCACAAAUCACAAAUAUGUUAAGUCAUAUAUCACUCCCUAGUCGUGAUAAAUAUUAUCACUGAUUAGAAUUUAGAUCUUUUUUUUAGAAAUAAUAGAAUUUAUAUCAAGUGAUGAUAAACCAACUAAUCAGCAAUUGUACGAAAAGUAAGCACAUAAAACCAUCUAGAUACAUUUUAUGUUGUACAACAAUAGAUGACAUGCAUAUGAAACUUUGCAGUACAGGGGAACUAGGGAAGUGAAGCCUCAUAAUUUUCAACAUUAUUAAAUGAACAAUUAAUCAACCUUUGAAUAAUGGGUGUCUAAAUCAACAGCAGCCCUCUGUUCAGGAGUCUUUGCCUUCAAAAACCGGACAGCAAUUGAUAGAGUUUGACGAUCGAGCUGCAGGAAAAAAGACCACAUGAGUACUAGAAUCAACAAAAAAAACUCUUCAUUCCGUACAAGAAUAUAAUGAGAAACAGACAGAGGAAGCAUUGUGUUUGAGGUAUAACAUUAAUUUGGUUAGCAUCUUUUGAUACAAUUAGCACUCAUCAAAAUUACAGGAUCUUAUUCAUAACUAGCAUGUAUCUGUUCAAAAAAAAUUGUGCAUCUGACAUGAUGUUGCCAGUUACUAUUUUUUUUAAUCAAGUCAAGUAAUAUAAUUUUAUUGAUAAUGGAAAAGCAUUAGUACGAAACCAUCAAUCAAUUAUGUCUUAGUUCCAAAAAAGCUAGGAUCAAUUUAUAAAUAUCUUAAAUUAAAAGAAAUUCAAAUGACUCAGACAUUCAUGGCCAAUUUAACCUGAUAUUUUAUUUGAGCUGUGGAAGUAACCACUAAUGCUUGCAUUAGGGUAUGCUGUCUACAUCACAUCCUUUGGGGGUGCAGCCCUUCCCCUUCCCCUGUGCUAAUGCGGAAUGUUUUGUGCACCAGACUGCCCUUCUUUUCUUUUCCUAUUUCAUCAAUUGGGGUGCAGUUGAGUUGUAUAAAUGUUUAGGCUACACCACUGCUAAACUAAGAUAUAGUGACCACAUUAAUCAUUUUCAUUGUUGUCCCUUCAAUCUUCCAAUUUUCACUCUUCAAUGGGUGCAUUACUCAACCUUUUAUAGAUACCCACCAAACUAGGUACUUUUUUUUCUCAAUUUAUUUUUCCCAUAAGAGCUAUUAAACACACUGUUUUUCACCCUCACUCCUUUGAAAAAGUACUGUUUUCUCUUCUUAUACCACAUGAAUCAUCUCAACAGACUCAUCCCAGCCAUCUAUAACUCUUCGGAAUUGUUUCUGUGCUUCAGAGACAGCACAAUAUUAUUUAAUCACAUGCAUGAUGUUACUACCCAUCCCUUGAUCAGUAGUAUUCAUCUCCAUCAUACCUAAUUUCCUUCAGAUUUAUCAGUAGAUGAAUUUCUGACAACAUUCAGUGCUCAGGUCUUUGUUAAACAAAGUUGUCUUUCCAGAUAGUACAUUUUAACUAUGCAAACAUGACUUUUUUAUUAUUUGUCAGAUCAACUAUUUGGGUCUUGUAUGCUACCAAGUAGAAAAACAUUGUGGAAUUAGGAACAACUCCAUCAAAUGGUCAUACCGCCUAUUGAAGAAGCAGACUGGCCUAUAGCAUUUCACUGGAUUAAGAGGGGUCUCUCCUCACCCUCUGAGAAAAAUGCUGAGUACCUCCUGGCCUUUCCAGAGCAAAGGAGAAAAGGAUUACCUAAUCUACAAGUAUAAACUAUAGUUGUGAUAUGUGUUUAUCUCAUAUGUGAUAUGACAAUCUGAGCAUACAAACUUCCCCUUCCUUCCACAUGGAAUAUGCUACAACAGAAGAAUAAGAACAGUAUUCCCUCCUUUCUCAUACAGACAGACUGGAAUCUCUCUCUCCACACACACACACACAGAGUAGAGACACUCACAAAUGGACAAGAUGGGUACAUUCUUAAUAAUUAUGUACCACACCUUAUUUUUAUUUGGAUAACUCUGUAACUAAUAUCACCUUAUAAGCACCAAAUAAUUCUACCUUCUCCACUUAAAUAUUAGACUUUGGUCUGCUAAAGGUUCAACCCCGUAACGUGCGCCUAAUCUACACAUAGCAUGUUACACUUUUACCAUCAUACCAAAUCCCAGGGAGCUUGCAGUGUCCAAAUUCCACCUUGCUGCUUUCAUUACAUGACCACUGAUGCCACGCUGUGAACUUAAAAAAUGCUAGAAUGGCCUCAAUUAACGGAAUAUCUUCUAUUUUUUUACUUUCAGUAAGCUGAUUUUUGUAUAUCUUUCCUGGAAGGGGAAUGCAAUGCAAAGGAAAACCAAAACGGUCAUUCAAUUUUCAGAUAUAGCUGAACCAUUCACUAAAAUCUUUGAACAAUAUGUCCAAUGACCAAUAGUUGAAGAGAGGAUCUUACCCUGGGAAUACAUUCAUAGCCUCCUCCCGUGACAUUCAGUAAAGCCAAAGACAAAACUCUCUCAGGCACCAUUGCAGCCAAUUUGCAAGAUAUCAUAGCUCCUGAAUGAUUGGAAAAGAGUCCAAGUAAGCACAAAUGUUAUCAAAUAAGUGUUUUCCCAGCCAAAGAAUGAACUUGAUUCUCAAAUAUCUUGUUCCACAUUUUACACAAGUUGUUAAGCUGUACUGCAAUGAUCAGUUUCUAAAAUUUGAAAUGCCUUAAACUACUAUUCGAAAGUUUAACUGGAAUACUAUAUACUGCACAUUUUAUGCUUGAUGACAUACCAAGUCAUCAUCAAUAACGCCAACCAAAAGAACAGAAUCAGAAACUCACCCAUUGAAUGACCAAAGACAUGCGCUUUUUCCCACCCCAAGUGAUCCAUUAUAGCAAUUGCAUCUUUAGCCAUAAUACUAGUCCUGCACCAACAAACAUCCAACAUCAAUUUAACUUGCUAACUACUUAACUUUAGUUCUUAGCUAAGAAAUACUAGAAAAGUAGUUGAAGGUCUUCUCGUAUAUCUAAUUGGAGCCCCACCAACAACAACUAAAUUCUAUCUCGAAUUAGCUCGUAUUGGUUGUAAAUAUCCUACAAUAAUCAAAAAAGUUUUUCCUUUUCCUACUUUAUUCCUUCACUAUCAGAAUUUUCCUCAAAUAAGUUUGAAAAAUACCAAAAAACUAUGGAAAAGUAAUUAAAAGUACUGGUAAAUGGGACUUACGUAUAUUCUGACUUUUUAGUGGGUACAGAGCUUAACCCCAUUCCACGAUUAUCAAAAGCACAAACCUCCAUAUCCCCACCUUCACCGAAGCUCCGAUCACCGGCUGGCGAUUCAGAAUCAUUCGGCGUAAUCGUCCCGGCGAGCGCCUUGAUCUGUGGUUCCCAUGAACUAUGCGUCCCAGCCAAUCCUUUAAAUCAUUCAGAAACAACCAAACCAAAAUUCAAUCCACAUUAAGAAAAACCCAUAUAGAAAAAACAUUGAAAAAUGUCAAGAAAAACGAAGAAUACCAAUAAUCAAGAGAACUUUGACCGGGCCUUGACCAUAAGUUCUGUAAAAAAUCUUGGUUCCAUUGUUGCCAGUUGCAUCUACACCGUUCUGGUAUUUACCCACCUCACAGAAAGGCAUGUUUCGCUUUUUCCAAGGAUAAAAAUCAAGUCUUUACAGAUUUUUUUCAGAAAAAGAGCAAAAUUGGAGAAGAAAACGGAAUUAAAACUGAGAACAAGGGUGGAUUUUUUUUUUGAAAAAAUGUGGGUUCCUUAAAUCGACAAUCUUAAGGCUACUCGGUUUUGGUGUUAUUUAUUUCUAAAAAAUCAAUUUUGUGCCCAAUGUAUACGUGGCGGAUAAGGAACGGUUGGAUGGUAAAGUUAGUGUGGACGGUCGGCUUUGAGCAGCUUAGACUGGGAAGAAGUCAAAAGUCAAAGAAAUCGCUUUGUCAGUUUUUUUUUUUUAGUUGUUUUUAUCUGGUAUUCGGUAUCCAUGUUGAAAACUGAUUAAAUUUAAAUUUGUGACAAAAAGUUUUACAUUGUAUGUGUGAAUCUACACUUAAGGGCACUCAAACUCAAGACGUCUGAUUAACUAUGAAACAACUUAUCAUACCAUCACAAGUUCACAACCCUUAUUAGUGAAAGAAACCUUUGAUUUUGAAUCACCGUGGAACUUACGACUACAAAUAUAUCUAUUACUUCCUCCGUCCCAUUUUAUAUGAUGUACUUUGAUUUGGCACAAACUUUAAGAAAAAUGGAAAGACUUUUAAAACUUGUGGUCCAAAAUGAAUGAUAGAAAUUUGUGUGGUUGUAAAUCAUUUAAUUAAGGGUAAAAAAGACAUUUUAUAGGCAAAUUGUUACUUAAAAUAGAAAUGUGUCAUUCUUUUUGAGACUGACUAAAAAGAAAAGUAAGUCAUAUAAAUUGGGAUAGAGGCAGUAUAAUUUUGCACGCGAAGUGUGAGGAGGAUAAAAUAUAGUAAGAUUUAUUUUUAUCUCUAUAAAUGGAGAGAUUAUUUCUAAUGAACCAUCUCAAAAAAAAAUUAUCCGAACAAAGAUUGAAAAAAGAAGAAGUCAAUAUACAUAUAAUAAAACACAUGGGAGAAUAUAAUUUAUUUAUUUAUUUAUUUAUUUGAAGGAUUGAUAGGAGUAGUAGUUGAACAGUAAAUUAAGUUAUGGUGAUCAUUUGCUUUUCAACGUAAUUCUUAAUCUUUGACAAUCUUUUUUCUUUUUAAAUGCUUUGUAUAAAUAAUUUAUUUAUUCACCCUUUUUUUCUCACGUGCAACACAGAUUUUUAACGUUUUCCUUGUUUCUUUUUUUUAUUCUUAAGUUUUCUUUUUUCACCAGAGUUGAAAAGAAUAAAGAUAUUUAAGUUUUAGAGGUCAUAUUUGUUCCAACAACUUUGAAGCAUGUGGAUGAGAGGAAAUUUGAGUGUGUUUUGAUGUUAAAAGCUGAUUCAGAAAACACGCGAUUGCAUUUGGACAAAAUAACAACUUUUAUCCACUCUAGUACAAAAGACAGAAUUUCAGUAUAAUCAUGUUCAAUAAUAACAUUUUAUUAUGAUAAAUUUUUUUUUAAAAAAAUCGAUCAUUCAUGUUAUGUUAUAUUUCACUAUAACAAGAAUAACACAUCGAAUAAAACAACUUAUUAAAUUUGAAGAUAGGGGAAACUCUGUACCAUUUUGUGUCAUUAUUGCUUAUAAGUCCAUUUUAAAGGAGAACAUUGUAAUUCUUUAAUUGAAAACAAUUUGAUUAUAAAUUUUCUUAGACCCUUAAUAGCAUACUUUUAUAAUCACAUAGAUAUCAUAAUAUUAAUACCUAUGGACGAAAAGUUUGGGAGCAAUCUUUUUGUCUUAAAACUCCGUCGCAGUUCAAAUUGUGCCACGCAAAUUGGAAUGAAGGGAAUAUAACAUACAAAGAUUUCACAAACUUUUUAAUCAUCUGAACAGAGAAAGUAUAUACAGCUUGCCCAAAUAUAUUAAUAUCCUACCUACUGGAAUAAUCUCCAAAGCAUUCUGAUAUGAGAAAACACACAGCUUACAUAUGAUAUAAGACCUUAGCCCAACAAUAUUUACAAAAUGCCUUUGGGAUUGAGGCGUAGUAGUCGUAUACUUACAGAACGUGUAAUCCUAUCUAUCUCCGACUUGAUCUGAUAGAAAAAUGCAUGGAACAUACAUACGUGAAUUAAGCGAACCAGAAAGAUGGUUUAGAGAGCAGGAAAUAGCCAUCCCAUGGUCAAACCAAGUAGCAAACCAGCACCAGCAAGACUUAAACCCAAGGUAAAAGCUAUAGCAGACUUGUUUAUCUUGAAUUUUCCCUUUCCUGUCUUCUUCUUAAUAGGCUUAUUAUAUCUAAACUUCUUCAGUUUCCGUCCUUUGAUUGGGAUAACGGGGAAGCAAGUCGAAUAGUUGAUGGAAUCUUGCUCAUCUUUGUUCCUGAGCUGGAGGACAAGAGCUUCAAGCUGCAAAAUUUGAAGCCACUGCCGGUAAGCAAAGAGGUGAGAAGCCUGUCUGAAGAACAGCUUGAUCACGUGCUCCUUCUCGUUGUAGGCUUGCUGUGCCAGUUGUUCAGCCUCUCUUGCACGGGUUUGAGAAUGGCAUAGUGCUUCUAAUAGCUGUGUUUUGCUGAGAUCGCUUGAUCCUGGUUGGGUUUCUGAUGAGAGGACGUUGGCAAUACUUAAAUUGUCAUCACCACCACUGGAAUUAGAAGAAUACACGUUAGUGUUCUUAAUAAUUAGAGAAUGAGAUGAGAAGGAAACUAGGUCAACCACAAUACAUUUUGUGCAAUUGUUUAUGGAGUUUCACUAUAUUACAGAAAACUUCAACCUACGAAGAACUUCAUGAUCCCAGGACAUCCUUUAUUCAUUUACUUGAAAUGAAGAGAUUCUGCAAUGUUAGGUGAUUGGAAGAAAAAAAAGACCGAGUAACUAUAAGAGAUAUGUUUUAUCACUCUCCGGGAGUCAUUGUUGAUUAUUCCACCACAUUUGUCAACAGUAAGCCCCAACCAGCUUAUCAAAGUGGGUUGAAAUUGCAGAAAUGAAGGGAAAGAACAGUCUUUAUCUUUUUUUCUUUUCCUCUGUCUCCUUUGUACAGACACGAGAAAAGAAAAUCAAUUUAACUGAGAGAAUACUUCUAGGAGAAAAAGAGUUGAGGAUUCGACUCACCUGCAUUCGUGUCAAUGAAAUUUCAACAAAUUGAGGGCAUUGAGACUUUUAAGCUAUUAAUCCACAUUACAGUACUAAUUUACUACCUGAAUAUCCUUAAACUCUGCAAAUCCAUAUUUCAGGCCUAUAAUAGAUACUCUUUUUUUGUACAAAUAAGAAAAAUAGUUUUUUCUUUUCUCUCCUCCAUACGGUGGAGGAAACUUGCUUCCACUUUUUUUUUCAUGUGCUGCAUCUUGUUACAAGAUCGACGAACUAAGUUUACUUUAUUGUAUACCUCCUCCAUCCUAAGACUAUUAUUUCUUUGCUUAAACGGAAAAGACAGUAGCUAAAUCCAAAAAGUCAUAUUAGUGUAUAGUAAUGCUACUUCAAAUUAUUUUGAAUUCGACAUAGUACCUUUCACAUCUUUCAACCAUUAUAACUCACAAAAUAACUUCUUCAAACAUUUUUUCUUCAACCUCGGAAGAAGUCUUCCCAGGUCAUGUAAAAUUGGUAAACGAAAAUAUGUUAAAAAAAACAGUGUGGUGGAGAAAGAUAGUAGCUAGUACUUCAACCAGAAAUGAUAGUAGCUAGCUAUAGUUGGAUAAAUACCUUACUGGCUGUCCUGAACGACGUGUUAAGCACCCUUUGCCAACACACAAUAUCUUCUGUUGGCUUUGUGAAGGAUGUUGUCUUGGACAAUAAUCAGGAGUAACCAGAGAUUCCUUUUCUACCAUACUAACCUGGUUAGAACAAUUAUAUGACUCAAUUCCCAAAGACUGACGCCAUGAAUGAUCAGAAUACGUGAUACAUCCAGAUGAAUUGGGAGAACCUGAGGCAGAUAAUUCCUUAUCAGCUGUGCGCCACCAUGGUUGAGCCUUCUGAACUCCAAUCCAUUCAGAAUCCAGUUCAGAACAAGCCUUUUUAGUUUGUCCAGGAUCUAGGUCCAUGUAAUAAUCAAGUUCCAUAAAUCCUCCGGAAUCUGUAUAUAUUGGUGUUCUCUGGGAACCAUCGCCUACAACAUUUUGGAGCAUGUGCAAUUGGCUAUCUUUGUAAUUAUAUGCAGAGGGGUUGUAGCCUUUGAGGUGGUGGUCUAGCUUUGCAACAUCAUCACAAUAUGUUUGAGAAUAGAAAUCCUCAAUCAAUUGGUUUCCUCCGCAUAAUUUCAGAACAUGAACACUCUCCGCGCUCAAAACUUUGAGCUCUGACUCUAACAUACUUGAAGGUUCAUGUGAAUUAUCUUUCUCACAUUCAUGAAGUUCAAAAUCCUUGCCGCCCAAAAAAUCCUGUGACCCUCUUUUUGCAUUUCUAGAAUUGUGGUCGAACCUUAAUUGUGCUGAAGACAUUAGGAACAGAGAGAAUGUUGGAGCUAUCUCUUUAUUUCUAGAGAAGAACAGGUUGACAGUUCACUCUCAUAUGACCCCCAUCUUUGCAGCCUUUUACCGUAUGAUCCUUUCCUUGUUAUCCUGAAUAAGCAAUAGCAGGUUAUAACCAUAUCAGCAACAAGAUGAAUACAGGUUAAAACCAAGCAUCGAGAAGAAAUAAAUUAUAAUACAUUAAGAGGUUAUGGAAUAUGGCUUGGUUGAUUAUAAACCAAAAUCUAAAUUAAGCAUCAGAAAAAGCUUUGACUUAUCAACUGAAGUUUCCGCAACUGCCCACAAAUGGGGUCUAGGGAGGUUAGGAUGCAUUAACUUACCCCUACCUUUGUGAGGUAGAGAGAUUGUUUCCGCUAGACCCUCAACUCAAGAAAAAAGUCAUUGAAGCAAUGUAUCACAAAAAUAUGCCAGUAAAGUAGCAAAAUACAAAGCAAAUGAUUGAAGCAACACAUACUAAUACACAUUAUAGAACAAGAGACUAAACGACUACUAAAUAGCCCCUACCACUCCCACAUAGAGUGCAAUAACACUCAACUACUCACUAACCUUCUACCCUAAAUCUUUUAACCUCCAAACCUUCCUAUCUAUCUAGAGUCAUGUCCUCAGUAAGUUGGAGUUGUGUCAUGUCCCCUCUAGACAUGAAAUCAAAUUCACAGAAAACAAAAAACAGAACUAGCAAAAUUUUAUCCACAAAAUCAAAUCAAACCAGCUAAGGAAACAACAUACAAACCAAGAAAUGAACUCCACACAGCUUAACUCCCCAGUCAACGCAUAACAAACUAUGAUUUGCUCCCUUGCUUUACCCCUUUAAGAGUUUUUUCUGCUAAACAUGACACUUAAAUCUUGAAAGGAAUCAUAAAACCUAUAAUCACCUAACUUCAAAUCAUCACACCUAUAAUCAUCUUUACUUUACACCUUCCCAUAAUCAUACAUAAUCACUAAUAAAAAAAACCCACCUGGAAAAACCCUUUUCCAUCACACACCACCAAGAAAGAUUCAAUUUUUUUUCAGUUCAUGGAGUCUCUACAUGCUAAAAUCAAGAAUUCCCAAACACCCUUUAUCUAGUUAUGCAUAAAUAUCAGUCAGUCUUGUUCGAAUCAGGAAAAAAAAACAGUUUUUAAAUUCUAUGAACAAUCAAAAAAAGGCAAGUGGAAGAUAGUAUGAUGGACAGUUGAAGAAAUAAGUGAAGAAGAAAGUACCUGUUGGAGACAAUCAUGGAGAUGCUUCGAAGGAAAGAAAUACAGUAUUCUUCAUUCUAAAAUAUCCAUUUUUAUAUUCAACGUCUUACAAGGGAUUUUUAUUAAAUUCAGUGUCACUAUUAACUAAUUAAUAUUGCAGAUUAGAAUAAUUCCACGAAAAUUUGCCCAUGUUUAUCCAUAUAUCCUCGUACAUUUUAAUUUUUUUUCUCGAUCACUAUAUUUAAAAUUUGGAAUUCGAAUUUUUAGGUGUUAAUUAAGAAAGGAACGACCUAUUCAUUUACAAUUAUGCAAUGCAAUAAAAUUGUAGCUCUUUGGAGUAAGUAAAUUUAUCAUUUCAUAUAAUUUAUUUGCCGUUUCGUAUUAACUUUUAAAUUUAAGUAUUAUGUAUGAAAAAGAUAUCUUUAACCAUCCUAUUAUUUUCAAGGUAAUAAUGGCAUAUAUAAUUAUUAAGUAUUAGUAAUUGAUAAAAAGAUGUUCACAAUGUCAAUAUAAAUAACACAUCCUAUUCUUUUAAGCAACUAUAUAGACAAAUUUUAAAAAUCCUACUUUUUUACUCUAUCUUAUAUUUUACAUUUAAGUAAAAUGAAAAGAUCUUUUUAAAAAUAUAUACAAGCAUAGAGUAGGGCAUAAUUCUAGUCUCUAGUAUUAAAAAUAAUAAAACACCAAUUCCUCCACCACCUUAGUCUCUACUAAAUGCAUUAUUAUAACCCAUAGUUUCUUCAAUGUCCCCAUAUCUAAUUUUUAAAUUAUCAUCGUGGAUUAUUGUGAGAUAUUUCAAAAAAAUCUUGACCGGAAGUUCUUUUAUUUUCAAUUAAUAUGUUUUACGUCAUGCGAAUCUGAAUUAAUCAGCCCUUAGCAGAUACUAAACGGACCAAAAUUCCAAAAAGGAAACUUCCUAGAUUAAGAGGGCCCCUGCAUUGGUCCCCCUACUGCAGACUUUUCUCUGCAGUCAGCAUAAGAUUUUUCUACGUUCUCAAUUACGCUUUUUGGUAGUAAACGACAUUAUACUUGAAUAACUAAAAACUACUUGAUUUAAAAGUUGAUAUAAUUUAGGAGAUAGAUAGUAUUCCAAAUAUAAUGAUAAAAUCAACACAAUGUUUUUAAAAAAUAUGAUUCACUAUAUUUCUGUGACAAUCGAUUUACACAGAUAAUUCAGUUCCAAAAUAAGAAUAGCUCAAAUACAAGAACUGCAAUGAAUUUCAAGAAUCUGGACAAUGGGUAGUGCAAAAUGUAUGUCUUUGCCACUAGAAAUAAUUAGUAAGUGUAGGUUAAAUGAUGUCUUUUUGCUAUUCUUACAACAUUCACAUUGAUAGAUAUAGCAUAUGCUUCUUCAACCUUCAGAUUAGCCAGUUAUGUUGCAGGCUUGCAGCUGGAGCUUCUCUACAGAGCACCAUCUGAAUUUCCACUCCAAGUCCAAAAGAGCAUGUGCUUCUUCAACCUUCAGAUUGACUAAUUACCUUGCAGCUAUAAUUUGAAGAUUCUGUAUGCACCACCGAUGUUAUUUCAACUAAGUACAUCAAUGUCACUAUCUCAUGUAGAGGGAGUCGAAAGGAGUCAGCAGUGACAUUUUUCAUUGCCAUAAGAUGAUCAGGCUUGCUAUCAUUUUCCAGUGUUCAACUACAUUGUACAUUGUAGUCAAAUCAGAUAGUAGUUGGAAAGUGGACACUGUCCCAUUUGGGUCGACAUGUCCUAUCCAUUUCCACACCUAUAAGAAGCAAAGCAGUAGCAGGAUUAGUAGAUGGUAAGCAAGGCUCUUUUAACACUUUCAGACAAUGCAUCAAGAACCUAUAUGAUACCUUUUGGUAGUAUUCAUUUGGCGUUACUCUUGGAUAGAUACAGCUAAAAAGAAUCUUUCAUAUGCCUGUAAAUUUGUUAGUUUUGGCUGCCUUCCUUGUCCACCAUGGCAGGAAGAAACCCAAUCUUGUGCUAUAGUCCAGUGUCUCUUUUCCUUUUGUGGCAUGCAAACUCCCAAUAGAAGGACAUGUUUAUCUUGCAACCACAAUGAUCCGACACUGUUAAUAGCAUGAAAGCAAUUACACGUCAAACAUGCGGCCUUGUAGGAUCUUUAAUAUUGAACCAUUUGCUUAUAUUUAGUUCGGAGCUUUGAUAAUCUUCUUUCCAGAGGGAGUCCCUCAUGUUUCCUCCCCAUCUUCUCCAAGUAAUAUACAACUUUUUUAAGUGUUUCCAUGACUUCCUCACUGUCAGUACCAAAAGCUUUCUCUUGAAUUUUCAGUACCCUCUUGAGCAACUCCAGCAAUUCACCAUCAUCCUUUCCCAGCUGGGUCUGAAUGGAGACCAAACAGUCAAGAGCCUCCCCUGCAUACAUAAACUCUUUAGCCAAAAGGGGAGAAAUGAAAGAAAAGAACCUGAAAACACUAAACCAGCUACUUUUUUUUGGAUAAAGAUAAAGAGGGUAAACAAACAGUACAUGAAUGGUGAAACAGCUUUCAAACAUAUUGAUGGCAAACAUUUUUCACUAACAGAUCAAAACAUACUGCUUAGCAGUUAGCAUAAAGCAAUAGGGAAAAGGACAAGCUCACCAACUGGUAGAGAAUCUUCUCCAAAUGCCCUCUCCCGGAUUCGCAGAACCUCUAAUGCGUGUUUUUCGGCCUCCUCAUUACGGUUUAGAUUGUAGAGAGUAACUGCAAGAUGCAGCAUUGGGAAAGUAAUGGAUUGAUCAUCAGGUGAAACAUUCUUAAACAUAAUCUGCAAACUCAUCCUUAGCAAGCGCUCAGCUUCUGCAAAAAGUUUGGACUGUGAAUAAGAAGUGGCUAGAUUCACUAGAUGAGAGACUGAACUGGGAUGCCCUUCACCCUUGAACUUCUCAGUUAUCAACAAGCACUCCUCCAGUAGCAUACGGCCUUCUUCACCUCUGAAAGAUAAAUGAGUGUUAAAGCAGUACUCAAAAGAACAAAGCCCUACAAAGAAGCUUAAGGUUUGCACAAUUCUUAAGAACAAUUUGCCCCAAUUUUAUAUUAUUCUAUAAAAACUGAAAUGUGAGUAUUGAAAACCUUUUCAGAAUCGGUUGUAAUGUAUCAAAAUAUAACGGAAUUCUUCUUUUAAAAAGGGUUCGGAAAAAGUAAUUUACCAUAAGUAAUAUUCUACUUGAUUAAUCAAAGGGAAGAAAAUCAUGUAAAGGACCUAAAAACCCUCUUACACUAAAAGCCCCACACACACUCGGCCAAACCCUUAAUUUAUUUCAUAUAAGUUAAGUUGUGAAAAGUUCUAUCUAUUUUUAUUUCCAUGCUUCAUAUCUUCUUAAUGGAAGUAGCUAACAAUUCUCGAGCGCAUUAAUUUAGUCUAACUUAAGUCAUAAGGGCAAGUAACUUAAUGAAAAAAAGUCGAAAAAUGGAAAGUAAAGGAUAAAAAAGUUUAUCUGAUUUUAGUUUUCAAGGAAAUGUUGCUGAGUAGUAAAUAGGAAACAACUUUACUAAAUGCAACAAAAAGGGAUUUAAAAAAAAAUAUAGAUUGUAAGUUAGAAUUUAUUUUAAGAAGGCCAAAAUUUGUAACUCGUUAAAGUUUUAGAAUACAUUGACGUGAUCAAAAGUACUUAUCAAACAAUUUAGACAUGGGGGUGAUCCCAUAAUUUUAAUAAUCACAGGAAAUUAUGUUAUGUAACUAACCCUAUGCUUAAUUAAAACAUGAUCCUCACCUUCCAACUGCAUGAAGUAAUUCAGCCAAGUCUACUCUCAUCUUCUCCAUUAUGUGAUCAUCUAUGGCUAUAUAAUCAGAAACCUUCAGCCUGCGAAGAGCCUCUUUAUACAGAUCAAUGGCUUCAUUCACAUCUCCUGUAAAGCACGCACAUAUGAAAACAGUACCCUUUAUUGGAGCAAUUGUCAAAACAGGAAUAAUUUAAUGGACACAGAGCAUAGCAUCACAAUUUGUAAUCCUCCUACUUUUUGGAAUGAAAACCAGUUCAUUAUAAUCUAGCACUUGCAGGAAGCUGAAAGUUACAACUCACAAGCAACUGGAAUCUUUGGAACACAAGAAUGUCAAGUUCACCAUUAGUUAUUCAAAUUUACUUAGCUGUUCAAGCAUUAGUCCUAUCUUGUGCUGCUUUUGGGCAGGUUACUUCACUAUCGACCUUUUCGUUAAUUGCUUCAUUACUUGAGUAAUGGCAACCAUAGACAAGGAGAAGAUUAUGUGACACCAGGAACAACAAAGUAAGAAAAAAUUGAUCCGCCACAAGUAGGAAAAUCAUUAUAUUCACCUUUUGCACAUUUCACACGUGCAAGAUAACUCAUAGACAGUCCAACUCUGCCAUCCUUUUCUCCAUAUAACUUCAUGUACGUGGUCAAAAUUCUAUAUCGUAUGAAAAGAAAAGGGAAAAAGAAGUUAGUAUUGGUGACUACAGACACAAAGUGGUCACGAAGCAAGAUACAUGUAAGAACAGUGAUCACCUAUUAAAAGCAUUUUCUGCAUCAGUCACUCUCCUUUCCUUCAGAAGAAGAUUGCCCAUGCCAAAUAAAGGCACUACCAGUUCCUCACAUUCUUCACCCCUGCUAGAUUCAAUAAUUUUAACUACGCGAUGAUAUGUUUCUAUUGCUUUUUUGGUCUUUCCAGUAGAACCCAAAACUUUUGCCAUCCCUAACAAUGGAGUGACGAUAAAAGAACUGGUAUUUCCUGUAAUGUAAAAUAAAAGUGUCACCAAACUGCUUUCAGCCAUAUAGAAAAAGAAGCAGUGGCUUGAUAACAGUUAAGAAAGUUGCAAAUUUACAGAUUUUACCAAACAACCGAAUCAUUUAUUUCUAAAAAGUUAUGGAAAGCCAAAUCCAAUCCCAUAGUAAAUGAGAUAGAAUUCUAUUUUAAGAAAAUGAGCAGCACCACCAUCUCACACAAAUAUAGCCAGACGUAAAUAAGCAACAACUAUAAAGUGAAAAAAGAAUCUGACUUACCAUAUAGUCUCUCAACAACUUUGACAGCUCUUCCAUACACACAAAUGGACAUCUCAAAAUUUUCUAACUUUUCAUACAUAUUACCCAUAUGUGUGAGUAUCGAGUCCAGAAGAGGCUCCUCAUCUUUCAAGUCAUCAACAACCUCGCUCAACUGUCAGUACAUCAUGCCGCCCACCCAACAUACAGAAAAGGGUGACUAAAAUGAGGACAAGUAUGAACUCUAAAACAAUAAAGUUAUAUUAUUGCUUGAAAAGGGAAAGUUCUUAUGUCAAUAAAUGAUUUGUUCUUCACGGAGAAAAUUGGAGUUGGAACUUCAAAAGAAAAUGUUUGAAAUCAUGUCUCCGUGCACUGGUUCUCCUAAUUAAUUUUUGCAGCUUAUGUCUGUGCCUUUGAAAGGUCACUUGAUCCUUUCAUGGAUUUAUGAUACAGAAAGACUAGAAUCAGGAAUUAGCAUAUAUGACAAGGGAAGAAAUUACCACAUCCAACAGGGGUUUGACAGUCCUUAUGUCUCCAAGGGCCAUGUACCCUAAGGCUAUUACAUCAAGAAUAGCUGCUUCUUCUAUACCCUUGUGGCCUGCAUCAAUCUGUUCUUUGACAGCUUCAAAAUUUGCUAGAAGCAGAUCUCUGGCCUCAUUUUCCUUCCCUAUUCUUAUCAUGGCAUGGACUUCAUUAAAUAAGUCCCUCAGCUGCUCCUCAAGAAUAUUGAGGCUGCUAGGCAUGUUGUCCUUUAAAUCUGUAUACCUGCUGAAAAGACAUGCUGACAUUGUAGUUCUCAAUGGAUAUACUACACAAGUCUCCUAAAUCUAUACACUCUUAAACUAUUGAAAUGUUUAGAAUUCAUCGCAAAUUUUUUGAAGGAGAUAGUCUAUGUGAAAGGACGGCUAAUAUAUUCCACCAACUAAUGGGUUUAGCCAAUAGCAUCAAACUCAGAUAACGCUGGUAGAUUAUCCUCCAUCUGAAGGAAAUCACUACACCUCUUCACAAGUGACUUUUUGCAUAAACAAUGAUGGAGCUAAGUUGAUGUCAAAUAGGUGCUUAAAGGGGAUAUACCAAUCGGAUCUUCCACAAUGAGUUAAGCACCAAAAUAACAGAUGUUUCAUUACUUAACAAAAUAUAACAGCUUAUAAAAUGUUUCAGCUUUCAGAUCUUUUGGUUAUCUGUCCCAGACUUUGUAUUAUCUACUUUCUCACAAUUAAUGUUUACCAUGAGUCAAAUAGAAUAAAUAAUAUUAUCCUCUUGAAUUCUAGAUUGAAGAGAAGAUUAUAGAAACAGUUGUAUGCCCUAUUGAUUAAAUCGUCAACCAUUAUACGGAACUGGAUUGUAAUCUUAACUCAAAGUAGUAUACUUAGUAGUUAGUACAACUAGAGUAAUAAUAGGCAUUUCUGGAAUUUGCAUCACCCUAAAAUGUCAUGAGUCAGAAGUAAUGAGGUGCUUUCCUGAGGUAUGCCCAACGCCACACACCCCAAGCUUGCCUAAUAGUUUUGUGUCAAUGGAGUGCAAAAAACCGCGAUCAACUGUAUUCACCCUAAAAAUUCCUUAAGUAGUAUUGACCCUUAACUUCUCAAAAGCCCUUGCAGUGAUUCUAAAUACUAAGAUUUAGAAGAUGUGAAACUCAAUGGAAGUCAUAAUAUUGACAUAUCCUCCGCUUGAGAAUAAUAUGAGGUGAGUUUUGUUCGAGCCUUUCAUAAAAAAAUAAAAAAAUCUGGCUUCAUGUCUUCACUCCCACUCAAUCUUCAAGUCUUUAGUUCUCUGUCUUUCCUCAUCAAAUCUCUUCUUUUUUUCUAUUCUAUUCCAUCUAAUAAAAUUAAAUAGCAAUUUCUUUAUAAGGUAAAGUUCUAACAACAAUUAAAAGUUGCCCUAUGUACAUUAAUGGGUGAUGAGACCGAUAUUUUUAGUUUUUUUUUUUUUUUCAUAAACCAUCUGUUAGUAACAACCUAAAUACAAUUCUGUCAAAAUGCUACUAAUUCCAUUGAUGGAUUACAGUUAUUAAAAACUAUUUCUAAUUGUAUUCACUUAUGUAAAAGCACAAAACUAGCUUCCUAUUGAGAGCCUAGGGAAUGAUGACAUGAUUUUUGUUAAUUCUAUCAUGCUAGGGUACUCAACAAUCAUUUCUUCUAUCACAAGGAAACCAAUAAAACUAUCAAAAUGUGAAUAAAUCUGCAUUUAAAAAAAGCAAAGCCCAUACCUUUGAGACUCGAUACUUGAAUUAACUCCUUUGUUUUCGUACAAUUUGGAUGAGGUAGCCGAGACAACACAGCACCUCGUGCUAAGACGGGAACACAACCCACUAGUGGGAAAGCAAAGCUUAAAAUUGCAACUUUUAGAGGGACGGUGAUAAAAGGAGACGGACAAUAUGCCUAAAUUGGUGUUUGAACCUAUAAGAUUCAUCCUGAAAUAUGCAACCCACAAAACAAAAAUACUCAUUAAUUUACUAGUGGAAUUCAAAAGCUGGCCCGAACACCACGCUCGUAAAAAAAAUACUAUUGAAGUGCGAAAUGGAAUGGACGGAACGGGUUAGGUUACCUGCCGGAGUUGGUGAGUGGCAAAGGAGUUGAACGGAGCAGAGAAGUAGACAUUUGCAGUUUGCAGCAGCAGAGACACAGGAGAAAAUGAGGGAGGCAGAGAGAUUAUCCACAAAUAUGCAAUUCUAUUUGGGUUUUCUAAUUAAAUUAACCCCAGAAUUUCAUAAUUAGCAAUUUUGCAUUAUUAAUCACCCUUAUUGCUACAAAACAGCAAUGCUAAUUUUGUAAAACAUAUCAAAUCUAGAUAAUACUCUAGACUAUAGUGGUUAGGUUAUUUGUAGUAUGUAAAAUUUACUAGUAAAAUUAAAUAUUUUUAUCAUUUUUCUUAUUAUUCAUUCUCACGAAUUCUAAGUAGUUUGUUCAUAAUAACACAAAACAAAUUAAUUUUAUUUGAAACUUUUUAUGUUAGAAUCAUGUUUGAUCCUAAUUUUUAUAGUAAAUAUUUAAAAUUUAAAUGUACUUUUUUAUAUUAAAAAACAUUAAAUACAAUUUGAAGGGGGAAAAUUUAUUUUUAAAAAAAUUAGAAUAAAUUUGAAAAAGAAAAACUAAAAAAAAAAUGACAGUGAAAAUUAGAGUUUUAGGCUAAAAUCAUCCCUCAAAUAUAACUUAAACUGAGUGUACAUCCUUAUAAUAUAAUUUUGAACAAAAAACAUCCUUCAAUUAUCCCAAAACUUACUUUCUGUUAACUACUGUUCAAAAACUAACAUAAACAAAUACAUGUGCCAAGCACAUAACUUCCCCCAAAUCCCCAUAUAUUGUACGAUAUUUUUAUUGAUAUUUAUAUUGUUUUACCGGUCUCUUCAUAUUGUGUUUCUUAUGUUUUGACAAAAAGUGUGUUGUUUACUAGUGGUUUACCAAUUUUUCUAUUGUACUGCAAUUUGUUUUUACUGUUUUAUUCUAGUUUGGUGUUGUUUUGUUGAUUUUCUUGUGGUUUAUUUACUGGUUUAUCAAAAAAAAAUUAUUGUUUUUUCUAUUGUGUUGUUUUUUUGCUAGUUUGGUAUUAUUUUGCUGAUUAAUUUUUUGGCUGCUUUUGUCCUGAUUUAUCAGUUUUUAAAUCGUUUUUUCCAUUUUUUUAGUUGCCUUGCUGUUUUCUUGUGUGUAUUCUUUUUGUGCAAGUUUUGGUCCUAUUUUUCAGAUGAAAUAUUAGCUUUUUUGCUGGUUUUAAGUGUUAAAAUGCUCAAGGUGGAAAAAGAGAAAAAUAAAUGUUUUUAGGCAACUCAGAGUACUUUCAUUGCGCUUGACAAACAUACAAGAUACAUUUAAUACGAAAAAUUCAUGGCGAGAUUAAUACAACAUAAAACGACUACUUUUACUACAAUUUCAAAUUAUCAUCUUCUCUCUUUUCAAGAUGAGACCAAUCCUCCCUCUUGUAGGCUUACUUUUUUUCCAGACGCAAUGUAGUUCUAUGGGCGUUGUUUAUCAUUACCAACUCUCAGGGGUACCAAUCCUCUUUGCUCGCAUAAGAGAAUGAAUUUGUAUGACUCCAAGGCAUUAAUUCUAAGAGUUGGUAAUAUGCCCUCCCUGAAAGUGGGUUGUGUCAUUUUCUUGGUGUAGAAAAGCAUGGAGUUAAUUUUGUGUAACUAGGAUUAAUAGUAAAAUUGUAAAUGUCAAUAAUGUCGCACAUGAAAGUGUUUAUUCUAUUGAUUUCAUCUAGUUUCUUUGGUACUCCUGCAUAAUACAAUACCUAGGAACAAAAAUUCUGAAUUUUCUUUAUCAUUGCAUUGAAGUCUCUAUGGGUGACACUUUUAAUUAUAAGCACCCCAUCGACUGUUGAGAAAUCAUGUUUCUAGAGGCACCUCGCACAACUAAGAAAAAAUCUCUCUUCAGUCAAACAUGCUUGGUGUAUUUCUUAUUAAUAUGAGCCUUAUUGUCUCAUAUAAAUGCCUCUUGAUUGCUAAUUUCUUCUUCAAAUUGCGUCUCAAGAAUUUACAACAUCUUUUAAAUUAUCGAGUGCUAUUAGCUUCUUCCGAAAAUAUGAGCAGUUAAUUCCAACCCUCGGUUAGGGACACAUUGUCUAAGGAUAGACUGAAAGUGGGACAAUUGGAGCUGAUUAAUUUUUUGCACCAAAGCAUGAAAGAAAGUCUCAACUAUGAUGUAUGCUAUUAUUUAUGAAGAUGAAGAAAUCAAUCUAUAGCAUAUGGAGAUUUGGGGGGAGUCAUGUUUUUAUUUCUGUUAGUUUCUUAAUAGUAGUUAACAAAAAGGAUGUUUAGUCAUGUUUUGGGAUAGUUGAAGGAUGUUUUUUGUUCACAAUUUUACUAUAAGGAUGUACUCUAAGUUUGAGUUAUACUUGAGGAAUGAUUUUAGCCUAAAACUCGUGAAUACUGAGUUUUAGGCUUUUUCCAGAUUUCCAAUACAAUUUCAAAUUAUUUUCAAAUAAAAUCGGGAAAAAAAAACUGACCAAAUGGAUUUAUUUUAUUUUAUUUUGGUUAAAAGAGGAGAUAUUAUAUCAUAAUAUUAUGUAUCCAAUACAAACAGAGGUGGCUGCAUGAUGGCUAGCGCACGAGUUAUCAGGCCAUAUAACUUGGUUACAAUUCAAAUUACAUUGAGGCUUAUAGGCUUGUGGAAGAGGACUUUUUACUUUUUCUGCUUUUAGUAUCUUCCAAACAAAUCACGGUGGAACUCUCCAUUCCUCAAAAAGCUGAUCCAAUUUCAUCUUCUGGCCUUCUUUGGCUAGCUACUUUAUUCUUUCCUCGAGGCUCAGGCCUGAUUGGGGGUUCCCCAUCCUAUGAAUGGAUUUAUUGUUAUUACCUCCCUACACUCACUUCAUUGUUAUCGUCGAUUCAUCAAAAUAAAAUUGAAUUAUUGACUUAACAGUAUAUGUCAUUUGGAAAUCACUAUAUAUAUAUAUAUAUAUAUAUAUAUAUAAUGAUGAUACAAUAGUCAUAUAAUAAUUUCAUCACUAAAUCAUCAUGGUUAUUAUCGAUUUCAAAUCUAGGCUAUGCUAACUUUAAAUAUUAAGCCAGAAAGUAGACUGUCAAGUCUAAUUUCAAACGUAAGGUGAAGUUCAAAACAAACAUUUAUGGAUAUGCAUGUUUUUAAAUUCGUGAUUUUCUACUUUAAUCAAAUAAAAUUUUCGCAAUGAGUAUAUGUCUUAUUUCUUGCCUCAUCUUUACUUAAUACAGUAGGUUCGUUCAAAAAAUCCCAACGCCAUUGGGACAUAUCUUCCACGAACGGUUAACUAUUAAGGAUCACAGUUUAUGCAUAACUGUUGGUCUACACAAAUAAAGAAGCAUAAUAAACACUUCGUAACUCCUACAAAAUAUUAAUUGACACUACCGUUCAGCUUAUAAUAUUUAUUAAAUAUAUAAAAUAAAUUGGUACUACUUCUUUGCAUUGUGAAGCAUGUCAAAAUUUGCAUCACACUAAGUUCCCACUAUGUUCAUAUUCGAGGAAGAGGAAGAGUUGAACCACAAGGAGUCUUAUGUUUCCACAGCUCAAAUGCAACUUUACCAGUUAUAUCAAAGUUUGCUUCAUCUCAUAUAAAAUCUGUCCAGUUCACUUGGCUUACGCAGCCAAUACUAGACGAAAAUAUUCGGUAUGACAGAAGUCACGGAAAACAUGUUGUUUUGAUGAAAGAUGACUCGCAUCAAAUACCAAACACAUCUUUCUCUGGUGCUAGUAAGUUACAUGUACCACACAUGCCAUCAACUCAAACAUGACAUGUUAUUUAACACACUGAAAACGAAGGCAUUCUUCGUCCAUACAGAGACUGGCAUAGUAGCAUACUGUAAAGAUGCAGAAUUUCUUAGGUGGGGGGCAAAAGAGGGUUCCGUUAGGGAGGAGGCAGAGGUUGGUUAUCAAAGCUGACCAAAACAGCCACUCCCUACAGAACAAGUUUUGCAAGUUUGAAGCUCAUAAAUUAUGUCAACGUAAAGGAUGUUUUUUACUCCCCACCUCCUGCACGUCAUAAAGAGAAAAGAGGAACAAAAAGAAAAGGCAUUCCCUUUUUGUGAAAAAAUAAGCACCAGCCUGAGUUUGCACAAAGGCUUAACUACAUACAGUGCAGGACUGUUGAUAGUACAUUCCAAAUACAACACAACAAUUUGAGGGAUUAAGCAUACACAUAACAAUAUGCACCGAGUUUAUAUUGUACAUUCUUACUUGUCAGUGCCUCACGAUGGCCUAGGAUACCCUACAAUAGCGGACAAUUUCAGGGAAGUCGGCCUACAAAGGAAAAAUUGCAAGGCACCUCCAGGCUAGGAGCAUUACUUGCCACACAAACUUGUCACAGCGUUUCAGGGGCCAUCUUCUAGGGCUGAAUAAUGAAGCAAAGAAUUCGAUUAUUUGUACUAGCACACUCUAUUUUGUUCUCUUAACUCCCAAUUUCAGGGUCGACCUGAACAGAGAAUAAAGAUACUUACAACAACAGCAACAUACAGAGAAUAAAGAUACUUACUGCUUAAAAUAAAUCCUUGAAGCAGGCUUUGAGCUCUCUCUGCUUGCUCCGGAGUGCCUGAUAUUUGUAUGAUCUUAUCUGUUACCUCGGGCCUAUCCUCAAUCAAUUUAACAUUUGCUCCUGACAACUGUCAGCAAUAAAAAUAAUAUAACUGUGAUACUUGCAUUUAGCCAAAUGUGAUUCUGAAAUGAAGUGGGUGCGUUGAAGAAGCCAAAACUGACCUCACUAAUCUGAGCAAGCUUAUUUCUUGAUUUUGUUAUCAGUUUGGGUGCUGCAUGUGGAGGUAUGACAACUUCCAAUAUACUUCUAGUGACCAAUGUUACAUGCAUUCUGCAAAAUGAGAAAGUUAGGUUCAAAGACAGCAAACUAACAUGGUUUAAGAUAAAAUAGAAAACUGUUACCUAUUCAAUCCGCUCGGAAUAUCUUCACGACGCUCACUUUCAUUUUGCUUGGCUAUUUCACUGGCAGAUGCCCCAGUUUCCUACAAAAUAAACACCUUUUUAGGAAAUAUAGCAGGGGUUUAUUAAUCCAGGCUAUCCUGCUAACUUGAAAUUUCUCUGAGACAACUAUGACUAUUUGGUAUGCUAACUUUCCAGCUCAUUAGGAUGUCACAUUUAAGGUUGGGGAUUAGAAAAUUUAAGCUCAUCCGGAAACAGGCAAGAAAAGAAAUUAACUCACUUUUACUGGCUGUGCGAUUGGUUUGGCUGGUGUAUUUUGAUAGAUUGAAGUUGGAACAUCAUUAACACUGUAGUUUUGUUGAGAUGGAGAUGUGUUAUUGAAAGAAUUUUUGUCUGCUCCAAUAGUACUCCUAGCAGGGCUUGAGGCAGGUAUUGCUGGUGAGGGUAUAUCCUUUUGAAAGAACUCCCGAUAAGUAAAACUCCGAAGCCUCGAUGUCACUUCAACAAGAGCUUCUCUAGCUGCUUUGAUCUCUCCAACAAUCUGGAGAUAUGAAGAAUUACAUAGCAUGUCCAGAAAAAACAUAAGUCCAACAAUUGGAGCCCAGUACUACUCUAUCCAAUAAUUUGGAUUCUCUUAUACGCAACCAGGAAUUUAUACUAAGACCAUAACAUUUAGGAAAAUUAGUAGAAGCUGAUAAAAUUUCAGAGACAAGAUUCCCCUUGUUGCACACUCUGUGUAACUUGCAAAAGGAAUGCACUGCCCAAAUAUGCACCACCUCUGAUACACAUAUCAACUAAAGAACAUGAAAAUCAAAUUAGCUACCUUUUUAUCAUCAUAUUAGAAGCUUAAAAGACAAUUGUCAGACCUGUAUAACUUCAUCAGUCCUUGACACACAUGGUGGAAGUUCUUCCUUUGGUAGAAUCUUGACAGUAGCACCAGUUAUUUUCUGCAUAUCAGAUAAUAGUCCAUCUCUUCCUCCCAAACAUUCAACUUCAUCUGUUUGCACAACUAAACGAGUUGUAAUAACAUUUUCCUUCUCCGGAACAAGAUCAACAAUGCGGGUUUGAAUAUGCAAAAGAGCUUCCUGAGCAGGAAAUAGCUCAUCAUCUGGACCCUAAAAGACAAAUGUAAACCAGAUAUCUUUCAGAAACUUUUAAGCAGCAUCCUAGAAAGAUCAUUUUAUGAGGUUUAUGCUUGAUAGGGUGUAACAAAUUUCAUAAAUGAGGCUAAAAAGAACAAAGCUAAUGGAAUCCCAUUCUAGAAAACAGCAAACUGAAAUUAGAACUUUCAUAGUAAAAAAAAGGGUAAUAACUUACUGAGACCUGGACAAGAAAGAGUAGAGGGAGUACCUCAUCAGACGAAAUGAUUAUGACCUGUUCAUCUGAGCUGGCAACGGGAUUCAAAAUCUUCACAUCCACACCAAUCUCAUUCUGAAGCAACUCUAUAAUUCCAUCUGAUUCCCCAGCAACAGUAUCAACCUUGUCAACUGGACAUAGAAUUCGGAACACAAGAUCUUCAACAUACAUGACCUGCCCAUUAUCAUUGUUGGGAGCGAUUCCAGAUUCAAUGGCAUAUCCAGACGAGGAUGAGGAAUAGUUGUUGCUUCGACCACCGCUCAUACCAGCAGGCAGCCUUGAUCCAAAAGCAGACCCAUUUUCAGACGUCCUGCGAGCUGUACUGUUCAUGUGGGGAAUAAAUUCGUCAUCAGGAGGGCCGAACCGUUCAGGAGAAUGUGGCCGACCAGGAAAGUGACCCCGAUCACGAUGCUGGCUCUCCCUCAAGCGUGAGGAAAUAAUUUCUACAGCUUUUUUCACAGCAUUUAUUUCCCCAACAACCUGCAAGCAAACAAGUCUCAGACAUAACACAUAACACUGAGCUACUAAUGAUUGCUUUCAAGCAGGCAGUAAUUAUCCAAUACAAUCCACCACAUUUAUACAUUUACCACAAGCGAGUCCAAUAUACCUUAUACCUAAAUAUCAUGAUUUAUAUGACUCAGAAAUCAUCAGUGAUCAGACACAAGAAAAUUAGCUUACAAAUCAAUAGCAGCAGUAUUUUAACAAUCUUUAAUUAGAAAUCUCCUCUGUGUAAUACAUCAGAAGGAAAAAUUCAAGAGCAUUGUCUGAGAAUUACCUUAACGGCAGCAAUAUAUCAGAGGAACUAUAAGGAAAGUCAAAACAAUCGCAAGUACAAUAUCCUUUUACAUGUUCGAAUGAAGGCAAUGAACUGCAUAAAUGUAUCAAUUUCCAUAUUUCUUUGAAUUUUUUAAAAUCAUCACGUGAACUUCAAGAGGAAAAAUUAUAUAGUCCAAGAUGCAAAUGUUUUGAUGGUUUCAGAAGGAAAAUUGAGCAGGAUAUGCUCCAACAUAGAGAUGUGCCAUCAAAUCAGAAAGUACUAUGCUUGAAAGAAUGGCCCAAGAGUUUCGGUAUCACUAUGAUCACCAGGAGAUACAAGUUCCUGAUGGAAAUCAACAGUUAAUUUGUUCUAAUUGCUUUUAAAGCAAAAUUUGUUAAUGAUGAUUCAAAUUUAAAUGACACCUUGUUAAGCUCUCAGCUGAAUCAUUAAAAUGAAAUCUUUGACAUACAUAUUGACCUCCGACCAAUUGGUAAAUGCCGGACAUCAAAUACUUCAUUUAAAGCAUCUAUUCAAGGAAUUUUCACAGGUCAAAGCCCAUACAAUACAGGAGUAUCAGGCAUCCUGAUCGUUUGUUAAUAUGUACAUACACGAGAAGUAAUAUGCAACUAACACUAGACCAAUGUCUAUUUCAGAAUUGAGUAUGUGUGUCAGUGUGUGAUAUCACUGAUAUACACUCCAGCUGAUUCUAUCAUCAGCUUGUUGCUAUCCAUCCCUAUGCCAUCAUCACAUUUUAUAAAAAAGAAAGCACCAUGUCUUUUCAGAAAAAAAAGAGCCACUUUCUGGAUGCAAGCUCCAGUAAUGACAUAACCAGGGCCUCGGAAAUUUUCCUGUGUUACAAAAUGCAAUAAAUGUUACAGAUGCUGCUUUAGUGCAGCCUAAAAAUAAGUAUCUCCAUCCUUCCAUCACACCACUUCCCUUCAGAACAAAAGUACAAACCAGAGGAAGACCAGAGAUAAGGAUAGAGAGAGAGAGAAGAUUGGAUCUUCAAAAAAACACAAUCAAUCGCAAGAGAAACAGCUGAGUUGAUUCAUUAACAGGGUUCAUUGAAGAGAGAGUUGUCUAAGACACAGAAAAAAAGAGAAACGAAAUUUGAAUUUAUUGAGGACUAAAUGUGGUUAUUUAAAAAUCACAAAUCAUUAAUCACACAGGGGCAACAUCUAAGUUGCUUGGAUUCUUCAGUUUUGGUGCCGUAUCCGUGUCAACACGACAUGGGUGUGGGAUCCAUACCAGAUAUGGUCAAUCGAUUUUGGGUACUUUGACCCAAGUCAUCUGAGAAAUUCGGGACAGAUCUAAUGAUUUCUAUAAUCAAAACAAAAGUUAUAGUGAAAUUGAAGAAAAACGAAUACCUCGUAUACAGCAAGUUCAUCGAAUAGCUUGAAUAUAGCAAUUUCUAUGUCAGUCAUUUUCCUUCUAUCUCCUUCUAGGGUUCUAUAUUUUUUCCUUGGAUACCUUAUAAGUUUUCCACAUAAUAUCUCAUAAUUUAGACAAAUAACUCUAUUUGUAGAUUUUUGAAUUAUUUUUACCCGAACCCCCUUAAAAUUUAGAUAAUGAAGGAUCCGACCUCUAGAUCCACACCCGUACAGGACACCCGCUCACGAGUCCGAGUAACUUAGGACAAUAAUACCAUCUAAAUUACUGAUAAAAAAAGAAUCACAAAUAAUAAAGUUUCCCAUGAAUUAACUUGUCCAUAUCCAGCAUGUGAGAGGCACUAACUUUUUACCAGAAGAGGUUAAUGAAAUGUUAUUCACACUUCUUGACAAAGCAACUGAACAUAGAGAAGGGAGAUACCCUACUAAGCAACAUUAGACUUAGAUGAGCUUAAAUGGAGUGACAUGGACGAUGAGGAUUCAUAUAACCAAGACCAAUUUACUUGGAAUUGAAGUGUAGUAGUAGUCGUAGCUAUUUAUAGAUACACUACUCAGCAUAUAGCAGAAAACAAUUUGGGUUGUCAAAUGUAAUUACAACCUCGACGAGGAAUCUUAGUAGCUCAGUUGGUUGAUUACCUAUAAACUUUCACCUUGUUGGUGAGGGUUCGAUUCCCCACAUCAUAAUCCCCUCCCCCAUUUUCCCUUCCCCUACACCUACCCCCAAUUUAUUUUCUAAAAAGUAAUUACAACCUCAGUGGGGAAGCUUAGUAGCUCAAUUGGUAGGUUACUUGAACUUUCACCUUGUUGGUGAGGGCUCGAUUCCCCACAUCGUAAUCCCCUCCCCCAUUUUCCCUAUCCCUACCCCUACCCCCAAUUUAUUUUAAAAAAAGUAAUUACAACCUCGGAGGGGAAGCUUAGUAGCUCAAUUGGUUGGUUACUUGAACUUUCACCUUGUUGGUGAGGGCUCGAUUCCCCACAUCAUUAUCCCCUACCCCCAAUUUUUUUUAUAAAAAAAGUAAUUACAACCUCAGCCCAGUAUUAACAAAACUCAGGAAAAUAAAUAUAAGUGCUCAAAGAUCAUGGCUUAAAACAUUAGGCAUUCAUUAAAGUGUCAUUAGUCAUUCAUUAUUUAAGCCAUUUUGAUUCAGAUCUUUUUCAUUUUUGUAUCUGAAGUCUGAACUGAACUCAGGUAUCAUUAGUCUCAUUGUUAAGUGAACAAGUGUUUUUUUCUACUUAGGAUACAUGUUACCACUCCAACUUCUUAUGCAAUUUCAGAUGACUCCUAGCUCCAAUGGUAGAGAAAUUUUUCAAAGCUAUCUUUGUCAUUAGUUUCUUUCUUUCAGCAACUAUAUAUGUGCUUCAAUUAAUGGUAUGGUUCUGGGUCACUUUAUCAAUAAGGAUGUAUAAAGUCACGGUAUAAGGUCAUGAUUUUUGCUGGCUUGAAGUCCAAUUCAAAUUAACCUGAACAAGGGAAUAAGAUGUAAACCUGAACAAUCUCCUCUGACAUUGAAACGCAACGCGGCAAACUGUGAUCUCUGGGCAAAAUUCUAAUAUGUGUCUUAGUCUCGAUCCUCAUUUGCUCAAUAAUUUUCCCUCCUUUCCCUAGCAAACAUCCCACAUGCAUUCUAGUCACCACCAACCUUGUUACCGCACGAUUAUUCCCACUGACACCUCUCAUCCUGAACUCCUCCUCCACAUCCAUCCCACCACUGUACCCUCCUCCUCCUCCACCACUAUCACUAUCCAAAAUCCUCUCAUGUAUCAUCAGCAAUGCCUCCUGAGCUGGCGAAAACACCGGCAUUCUACCAUCAGGAUCCCUCCUCCUAGUGUCCGAAAUCUCAAUGAUACGUUCAUCAUCUCCUGGAAUCAGUUCAUGCACAUUCACCCAUGCCCCAGUAUGCUGCCUAAUCGCCUUAAUAAUACUCCCUGAUUUCCCAAUAACACCACCCGCCUUAACAUCGUGGCAUAAAAUCCGAUAAGUAGUAGUAACCAUAAGUGCAGGGUCCUGCAUUUUCCGACCUCCUCCACCUCCACCGGAAACAGGACGGCGGUGAUGAGUCGGUGCAUAAUGGUGAGGGUUGUUGUACCUCUGUUUAGUCCUGGGUAAGUUCUCGGAUUCGUAAUCCUGGUCGUAAUAGUAUCUCUUAGAUCUUGAUCUGUCCAUUUCUUUUGGGGUUUCAAAAGUGUAUCUCAGUGAAUCUCGGAAACCCCAAAUUACAAAAUUAAGCUAUUAGCGUUAGGGUUUUCUUCACAAUUUUCCAACACACACACAGCAGAACAGAGCUUUUUUCUUACUGAAAAAGUUCAAAAACCCUAAAUCAACUUGCCAUAAUCAAGCUUUUCUUCAUCAAUCUUCUUCAAUCUGUUCAUCAUUUUUAGCUUCUUUUUUUUUGUCUGCUUUAUUUACUUGCUGUACGCAGCUUUUUAUAAGCUUUGAUAAUUGAAGGUAUUUUUGGCGGUGUGGGACCCAAUACAGUGGUGGCCGUAUAACUCACGUUCACCGCUUUGACGUCGUCGUUUUUUGGAAGAGUACUUUUUUAUCGACUAUCUUAGUUUUAAGGAAAAGACGGAAGGUUCCUUCUUUGUUAGACUUGCCAGUCAUACUUGAAUUGGGGCCGCUGUUUGUUGGCCGAACUAAUUACUUCGGCCGAUAACUAACGAAUUAAUAUUUGUACUAUGUAGUUUGUAGUGUGUAUUACUACGUUUCUCACAUUAUUUUUGUGAUUAUUUUAAUUUAUUAAGUAUUUUUAUAUUUAUGAGCUACGAUAAAUGCAUGCUGAAAAUGUUUAAAAUGAUGAAGUGAAAUAAUAUGGAGAAAAUCUCGUUUAUAUUUUUUUUUUCUUGUUAGGAAAGAUUUCAAGAAUCUAAAAUUACUCCUUUUGAUUAAGGAAUAAAUAUAUUCACUGAUUGAUGACUUAACAAAAUUAGUUAAAUUUUUAAUAUGAAGCCUUGAAUCCAUUUGUUGAAAUUCAUAUUUAUUUCUAUUUACGAUUCAUUCUUCCAACUUUUUGAGGUACAAAAUGAAAUUAUAUAAACAUAUCUUAUUGAUAUAUAUUUAAAUUAUUUUUUUAUCUUCUAUGAAAUUCUUUUAUGAGCUAAUGAGUUGUUGUGUAUAUUGUGUAAGAUUUUCAUCUAAAAUAUUUGUUCCAUUUAUUUAAGCAUUUUCAAUAUUUCAUGGUGAAUAAUAUAUACAAACUAUAGUAAAUGCACAUUGAAAGAUCAAAAUGGUGAAUUGCAAUAUUCUAGAGGAAAAAUCAUAUAUACCUAUAUUUUCUAAAAUAAGCAGGAUUUCAAGAAUCUAAAAUUACUCAUUUGAUCAAGAAAAAUAAAUAUUCAUCAAUUCAUGGCGUUAAAAAAUUAAUGGUAACAUAGCUACUAUAUCUAUACAUCUUAAUUACUUAUUUCAUCAAGAAAAACAAAAAUUGACAAAUUCCUGGCGUUAAAAAAUUAAUGUUAACAUAGCUACUAUAUCUAUACAUCUUAGCUAUAUUUUUCAGAAAUUAUGACUAUGAAUUUUCUAGUAAAUCCUACCGUUACACAACAUUCCAUAGUUUCACACCUAAAUAGAAGCAUGUAUUUGUUAUUUUCUCUCACCAAAAUUUAGUCUUUUUAUAUUUCUUUCUCACCAAAUCUUACUCUUCUCUCUUUUCAGAUUAUAUUCCUAACUAUUUAGUACCUUAUACAUAACUUUUCUUCAUCUUCAAAUCAUGGUUGAUUUUCAAAGUUUCAUUUUGAUAUAUCAUUGGUGGAAUCUAGUGAUAUUAGGAAGGUGACUCAAGAUACAGGUUUGAACCCAUUGAGUUGAAGAGCGAAAGCCUCAAAACUGUACAAAAUAAGUUAAUUGAAUUUUUUCUUUAGAUACAAGUUGCUUUUGGUGUAUCGACGUUUUAGUAGGCUAUUAAAGAAUCAACGUUACUUCGUUGGAGAUAACCAUCUUUGAAGGUUUGCAAUUUUCCCAAAAUUCAUGUCAUUUUUGCUAAGUUUUUGUCGAAGUUUUCCCCAAAAAAUGUACUUUUUAUCAAUUUUGUAUUAGAAAUUUCCCAGUGACUUCUUCAAUAUUCACUCUCUAUAUAACACACAUGUAUGUCAUAUCUAUGAAAAUUGUAUUUUAAUUUGUAUGCUUAUGAUUAUAUUUAAGAACAUGUACUUGAUAUACACUCAUAACAUACAUACAAUAUACAUUUUAGAUGAUAUAUAUACAUAACAUGCACUUCACAUACAUUCAUAUAUAAUUGAUAUUUUCAUAUGUAUUCGACUUUUAUUUUUAAAAGAUGUACAUGUACAAUUAUAAUGUACUUUCUUCUUCUCAAAGUAAGUAUUGUUUUAGUUCUUUUCAUGCUCAUUAAAUAAAAGAUAUUAUUUACCAAAUUACCUUUAUUUAAUUAAUUGUUUAUUAAAAUUUGAGCACUAUUAAAAAACAUUAAUAUAAAAAUAUUUAAAUACUUAAUAACUAAUGUCUUGAAUGGAUUAUAGUUUUUUUUGGAGAAAAGACAUAAAGUCACCAUUGAAAUUGUCCCGAAUUUUCAAAAAGACACCUCAACUUUGCAGGUGUCCUAUUACCCCGUGAAACUAUCUAAAUCCACAAUAAAUAUACCAUUUUGACUAAUUUUAACACCACUCAUGUUGUCACGAAAAUAUAAGCGCGUGAAGACUCUUGAUACAACUUCAGACCAACGUAAAAUUGUCAUGUGGCACCCCAAUUUGACUUUUUUUAAAAAGAAAAACAUAAAAACCCAUGUAUUAAUUUUUUUUACUUUAUUAGGAAUAUUUUUAUUUUUUUCUAAAUCUCUUUUUCUCAUCUUCCCUACCAUCAUUAGCUUACCCAUAAUUUCUUGGGGCAUCCAUGUCUUCCUUCAUUUUUUUAAUUUUUUUUUUUUCCUUUCUGGUCAUUGUUUUUUUAAAAACUAAUGUUAUUGUGUUCAUUCUUCUUCUUCUUCUUUUUUUUUUUUUGAAAAACAAAUUAGUUCCUCCUACAAAUCAAGAUUGGGAUUUGGGAAUAGUAAAACUAUGAAAAACUUGAUUUGGGAGUAAGGAGUUGGAGAAAGUGGUGAUUUAAAUUUCAAAUUUUGACUUGAUGAUAUUUUGAAUAUUUAGAUUUAGAUUAUUUGAUGAUAUUUAUUUUCAUAAGUAAAUUAAUUGGUGAUAGUAAGUAGGCAGAAGUGAAUGUUGGUUGCUAAAGGGACACAAAGCGUAAAGAAAAGUCCAUUGCAAGACACCAACAAAGAACAUGAAAUAAAAUUUCCCAAGGAUGAAGGGAAUGGAAUAGAAGAAGACAAAAAAAGAAAAAAAAAGAUGGAAUAGAAAUUGAGGUGAAGAAGAAAGAGAAAAAGAAUAAAUGAAAAAGAAAACCAAAGAAAUCAAAUAAAAAUAAUUAAAAAUUAUUUUUAACACGUGGCAAGUGACUAUUAGUGCGUGACUUACAAAUAUUUUUGUAUAAGUGGUAUUAGGUGAAAAAUGGGGUGUACAUGCUAUUUUGAAGUUGUUCAAUUGGAUAAUAGGAUAUCCGCAAAGUUAAGAUGUGUUUUUAAAAAUUCGAAACAAUUUUAGUGGUGACUUUAUUUUUUUAUUUUUUUAGUUGUUGCUAAAAUUGAGAGGAGGAGGGAGUAUUGCAAAAAGAGGGCUUGCAGGAUGUUAUAUUUGCGAAACUGCUCUAAAAUUCCGAAAAUCAAGAAACAAAUGAUCACUCUAUGAAUAACCAAGGCAUAAGUGGAACAUUUUCAAACAUCAGGGGUCUAUCUGCCAAUAAAUUAACUUGCAAAGUUGAAAAAACAACAGUAGGAUAUCAUUUGCGUUAUCCCCUUUCAUCAGAGGGAGAAGAGCUCAAUCGAAGGGCGAAAAACAAUGGCAGCAUCAACCCUGACUUUCAGUAGCUUUUCAACACUACAAACUUUCCCCGUAAGCUCCUCUUUCUAUUUUUACUCUGUUUUAUAUUCGCCGGAAUCUUCGCCGAUUUCCAGUUUGAGUCUCCGUUCUUAAUUUGUGAAUCCGGAGAAUGAUAAUUUGUCUUCAAUGCAGAGAAUUGCAGCAGUUGAAAAUACUAAACGCGUGAACUUCUCCAUUCGGGCGCAGGUGAUAGUUCUUCGUUGCCGUCGCUAGUCUAUUUUCAGUUGUAAUUUUUUUUUUUUUUUGCACAAGUGUUUGUAACUUUUGUUUUAGUUUGGUGUACAGAGUGCGUCGAAUUCUAAAAAUGAAGGCCGUGGAGAAAGGCGAAUAUGGAGGCGAAGAAAAUUGGUGAGCUGAGGAAUUCUAAUUCUUGCGUUUUCCUGCUCGUUUCAUUCUGUUUGUUUUUAAUGUUAUUUUCCGCUGUGCACCAUUGAAAUUACCGGAAUUAGAUAUAAGAGUAGGAUCGUUUCGUAAGUACUGUGCUUGCCUUGUAUAGGCUAUAGUUGAAAGGAUUUAAGCUAUAUGCACAGUCGAUUUUUGUAGUAACUUCACUGAUUUUGGCAGGUUACUUACAUCAAGUCAUGCUUACUAUAGAGUCAUAGGCAUAGACAAUUGCUUGUAGUUAGCUUUUAAGUGAUUACAUUGCAUAAAUACGUUUUACACAGUUAACGUAUUUAGUAGAACGCUAGUGAAAACCAUAUUUGUGGUAGACAUAUUAGACUAUGCUUGAUCUAUUAUUGUAGGCUGAUAAUACUUUUCUUCAUUUUUGCUUGCUGUUUUGUUUUAAAGGUUGGACUUAUAUUUAUUUUUUUUGGUCAUUUUGGGUGCCUUGAUUUGCACGAUAAGUUUCUUGGUUAAUUAGUUUUUGAAUUCUUAGAAUUGUUACUUGAGCUUGAUUGUAUCGUCUUUAGAAGAUGGAUGAUAUCCACAUUUGAUGCCAUCUUUCCUUUUUGCUUGGGCUUUAUGUAUUCAUUAACUACAAACCACUGUAGGCAAAGUGAUAGAUAUUGAAACCUAACAGAUCUCCCGCAUCAGGGGUUCAAGCUUUCUGUUAGUACAUCACUUCUCUCCGGAUGCUAAUGCAAAACCUGACCCACUAGAAAUUGAAGGCAGGGGAAAUGAUGAUUUCACUGUAUUGCAUUUACGUGUUGAUCUUGUUUGGACCCUGCAAGUAGAUAAUACCAAGUUUGGAGAGUGUACUGUUAUCCUGACUUAGUUGUAUGUCCAAAUGAUUUAGGCUGAACACUAUAUCCCGAGUAUCUGUGGCUUGAGAUGUCAUGGUAAGGCUUCUGAUUUAAUAGGGAUUUCUUUGUAUGUAUGCGGCUAAGUUCUGACUGGGUUCUUUUUACAGUUGAUCAUGUCCAUACUCCGAUAUUCUGGUUUUGUGGUUGCUGCAAAGAAAAUUUUUUUACCAUCUGUAUAUCAUUUUUGAGCAGUAAUCUGAAUUAAAAGUACAAGUCAUUCCUUGGUAGAUGGUUCUGUCUCACGAUUUUACCUGCUAUUAGGUUUUCAUAUGAGGCCCCUUAGUAAAGAGUGAAAGCUAGCAUAUUCCCCAUAGUUUAAGAUUUUAUUUGUUAUUUCUUGAUUUGGGCAUGUCAUCCUUGCCCAUAGGCAUGCUAAUCUUCUUUAUGUCAUUCCAGUUUUAUUUGUUAUUUCCUGGUUGUUCAUGGAAUAAUGAUAUUUUUAAGGGGUCCUUUGGCUGAUGGUAUAGGAACAAUUGAUCUCAGCAUAAUUCUUGCAUCGGUCCAUCGGAUAAUAUAGUGUAUGGUCAGCCCUAUACGGAAAAAAUUAUCUCCGCAUAAAUAAAAUGCAACAUUUGGUUGGCAGUACUAAAUAAUACCUGAAUUAAGUUAUGCAUGAAUUUAAUAUUAUUUUAUGCUUGAUAGAAAUAAUAGCACAUGUAGUAGCAAUGUAGAGAUUAAACUAUUUAAAGAUAAACUGCCCUUUUAGACUAAGUAACUCAUAUGUGACAAUCUUUUCAUUACUAAUAUCACUGCAUAACAAUUAUUUCAUUAUUGAUCACAUCAUAAAGGAUUCUUGCAUUAUAAACCAAACGUCCCCAAACUUUGUUACCCAUAUUUGUCAAGGUUUGGCUUCUUGAGACAAACUUGUAGUUGUUUCAGCCUUUGCUAAAAUUUUCCUUUUAUCCAUCAAGCUUUAUUGCACAACUUUGGGGAUUUUUUAUAUUUUCUUUCCUCCGCAAAUUAGCCUUCAUCUCUUGGUUUUUCUCACUUCAUAUAGUGAAUCAUCUCUAGAGUAUCCACUAACAUUUGGUGAUCUUCUAUGGUCUGACUAGGAAUAGAGUGUAUUUAACCUUGAAGGCAUGCUUCGAUGGUGAACAGUUGGGUUUAUUGCCUAAUCAAACAUCUUUAUAGUUCUAGAAUAGAGGAUUUGAGUUGAUGAAAAAAGGGGUUAGCUCAGAGAAAGUUAUGGAGAAAUAAAUAUUUUCUUAUGUUUGAAAACCUGAGUAACAUACCUGUGUAUCUAAACUUUGUAGUGAUAACACUGAGUUAUUACUAAUCCAUGAAACUAACUCUAAAAGCUAACAGCUAGCUUACUAUAUAUAUUAAGUUAAAUAAUUACUUUGACUGUUUUGACUUCAAAAUAAUCAGUAUUCAGUAUAAUCAAAAUUAUGGAACUCGAGAUAACCCAUAUGUUAUAACUUUUGAAUUUUCUUUAAGUAAUAGAUGAACUCUCAGCAAUUCAAAGUACUACAUGAGCGUGGAAUUUGUUAUGUGUUUUUCCAGUCAGUGACUAUUGAUGGACCCCCUUACUCAGGGCUUUAUCUAUAUGUGUACUCUUGGUUGGUGGACUUCAAUCUUUGUAAGGAUGGAGGAUGGAAUCUUUAGUUCCAACAUCUCUAAGCUUUUAUGUGCAAGUGUGUUAUGUAGCUUUUCUUAGCUGAUAUUCUCUAGGAAAAACAUUAACUUUUUCCAAGCCCCAAUAAGAUAAACACAACAGUACUACUCCUUGAUAAUGGUUAACACGAUUGUCACGAGAUUGCAUACUUACGGAGAGAGGGGUAUACUGAUUAUUCUGUUGGAAAAAUAAUUCCACAGUGGUUGACUUAUCAUUUGUAAAACUUUGUACCUUUUUAGAUUAGGAUUUAAAAACUUCUAGCCUUUCUUAUUUCUCUUUCAAAUAUGAUGGUGGAAGGGCGAGAAAAGAAUCUAGUCUUCACCGUUAAUGUUUGUUUUGAAUCAUGCUGAAAAUUUGUCAUCCAUUAUACUUAUAGCCUGCAUAUUGGGCUUGAAAGUAUAUUUACUUAUUCUAAUUUUGGUUUCAGACGAAAAAAGAUGAGACAUUAGAUGCCAAAAUGGAAAGGAUUCCAUUCCUUGAGGAGCAAGUGAGGAAGAUAAGGGAUGGGGGUAAACUAUUGACAAUGGACAUUCAUAGAUUAUUGCUGAACGAGGACAACCGGUUUGAUUUUGUCAAUGAGAUCGCAGCAGAGGCCAAACAGUAUGUUGAGAACAACCGAGAUGAAUAUGGUGCGAAGAAAGCUAUCCUUCACGUGCUUAGUAAUCGUAUGAAUGAUGCUGGAGUUUAUCGCGCAGAAGCAUACAUGGACUCUGACCCCUUCAAGCCAGGCCCUGGAUAUUUGAAAGACGAACUACUAUAGAUCAUUAGUUAGCUAUGCUUUCUGUAUUCAUAUAGCACUUCUCUAGUAUAUUCACUUUCACCUGAGGGAUUUAAUGCCAAAAGAUGAGAGGUAAAAAAAUCAUAGCACUUCAAAAAAAAAAAACACUCUUUAUAAAGAUAGAAGACGAUCUGUUUCUGUAUUUAAUUAGUCUUUAAUUAUUCAUGGCACAAAGUAGUACCGUAUUCUAUUCAGAUACAUUUUCAUUUACAUAGUAGCUAAUUUCCCUUUUUAAGACAGAUAACUGGUUUCAUUGUGUAAAGCAUUACAUAUACUGACACAAACAAAAUUACCACCAGUUUUUGAAUUACUUAGAUGAUAUAAAUUGUUGUGGCACAAUUACUCAAUCAUUGGGCCACUACUUAAGGAAGUUUUCAGCCCAAAUUCUCUUGCCCAGAAACCACAAGAAGUACCCAUCUGGCUAUCAACUAGUGGUCAAUAAUUGGUUAAAAAUCAGUUAUGGAUUCUGCCUUCCAAGUCUUCUUAUCCUUGGUUAACCUUAACCAAGCAAAUUUCUGCUUACUGGGGGACGAUCUUACACUAACUUAGUCUGGUGAGAACCAAGACUCCUCCAUAUUUCAUCAAUGGCCUUAUCUAGUCCCCACUUGCAAAAGGUUCUUUUAAACAAAAUUUGCAGUUACAAAAUUGCUGCCAAAAAGAACAUAAUACAUAAACCUGUUGGUGGAGGUGGAGGUGGAGGUGGAGAGGGAAGAGGAAGAUGCUGCUCUGCAAUUGCAAUCGACGCGCCGACUCCUUUAACCAGUGUUUCUGGCAUCAGAUGGGGUUCAACUAUGGUCCAAGGUCCGCGUGAAGAGAUGGAAGAUGAUGCUGUCAUCGUUCAAUUGGAUGAUCUUGAUGGCUUCACUUAUGCUGCUGUUUUUGAUGGCCAUGCUGGCUUCUCCUCUGUCAAGUUCCUUAGGUAUGUCAAAAAUCAAUAAUUCUCGCAUAUGUAGUUGGCCCUUUUUCUGUUGAGCUGUUGAAUUGUGUGACUGUACUCUCGUCUAAAAGUCUUAAGCUUUAGGCCUUUUUAAUUGAGAUGAUCACACAAUUCAAUAUGAUAACAAAGCUGACAGAUAAAGAAAGAAUCAGACCCACAAAUGAGGUGUGUGUGUUAAAGAUAUGAUUAAGUAAGUGAUUCUUUUAUAUGAAGGAUUAUAUGAUUCAACAUAACUUACAAAGUUUCAUUUUUCUUUAUAUCGUCUUUUACUUGAUAAAGAGAUUUAUGUAGUUUCUAUGUGUCUUAAAGAAAGAUUUACUUUGAAGUUCUGCAUAGUUGGAUAACGGAUGUACUAUCAAUAGGGAAGAGCUGUAUAAAGAAUGUGUUACAGCAUUACAAGGUGGGCUGCUAUUGAACAGAAAGGACCUAAAUGCAAUCAGGAAGGCACUACAAGAAGCUUUUGAAAAUGCGGAUAGGAAACUCUUGAACCGGUAAGCUACUGCAGCAUGUAAAUGAAAAAAAAAGAAUCCAUGUAGUUUCAUAUUGUAUUCUGUAUGGAGGUUUAGAUGCUGUUUCUUUUUGGAAAAGGCUUGAGAGUAGCGAGAAGGAAGAUGAAUCUGGUGCGACAGCUACUGCUGUAUUUGUUGGGAAUGAUACACUGAUUAUCGCGCAUGUUGGAGAUUCAUCUGUGGUAAAUGAGCAUUCAUUUCCUGCUGACAAUGAAAUGCUUAUUGUUGAUAUGUUCUUUGAGAUGGAUAGGUGUUUUCUUAACCAUCGGAAUCCCCAAAUGUUAAUGCAGGUGUUGUCCCGAUCUGGAAAAGCAGAGAUACUAACCAAUUCACACAGGCCCUAUGGAAACAACAAGGUUUCUCUCCAAGAAAUCAGAAGAAUAAAUGAAGCAGGUGGAUGGGUGUGUUUCCUACACUUAGACCCCUCCCAGCGUCCCCUAGAAUAGUCGAUUGUUUUAUUCAUCUACUUCUAUUCAGCAUUCUUUCUUGAAAUACGGGUCAAAAACUCAAUAUCUACAAAUGCAAACAAGUAAAUGACUUGCCAAAAUAAUACUCCCUCCGUUUCAAUUUGUUUGUCUGGUUUUGACUUGACACGAAGUUUGAGGAAAUAAGGAAGACUUUUGAAUCUUAUGGUCUUAAACAUGACAUGUGGAAAGUUGAAAUGGCUGAGUUGCCAACAAAGGAAAGAAACAUUAUUUUUGGAACGGACUAAAAAGGAAAGUAAGACAAACAAUUUGAAACGGUGAGAAUAUAUGAGAAAGAGCAAAUUACGAGUUCAGUACUAUUGCUUUCAGGAUGAACAUUAUUCAGCGUGUGUGUUGACAUUGGAUGUAUAAUUUGUCUGCAGAUUGUCAAUGGAAGAAUUUGUAAUGAUAUUUCAGUAUCCCGUGCUUUUGGUGAUAUGAGAUUCAAGACAAAGAAGAAAGAGUACGUUCUUUCUGAUUUUCUGUUAAACUUAUAGGAAGCAUAUGCUCUAUUCAUUUGCAUAUCUUGGUUUCCCUGGAAAAAUAAAAUAACGUGUUCUUUCUGAUCAUUGCUUAUUAGGAUGCUGGAGAAAGGGGUUAAAGAAGGCAGAUGGUCUGAAAAGUUCAUUUCUCGGUAAUUUCCAUUUCUUGCUUGAGCUGCAAAUCAUACCGAUGAUAAUGCUGCAUUAGCUCAUGCAUCACCGAGAAGUACAAGCUGUCUAUUCUCAGCAUCAUUAUGACUUCUUGCAAGUAAAAGCUUUGUUUCUGUUUAUUUUUCUAGGAUUCAGUUCAGGGGAGACUUGGUUAUAGCAUCUCCAGAUGUUUUACAGGUGAAUCUUGGAUCAGAUACCGAAUUUGUACUAUUAGCAUCUGAUGGAUUAUGGGAUUACAUGAAAAGGUCUGGAAAAACAGGAUCAUUAGACACUACAUCCAAUUGAAUCUUUUAAAGAUCAUAAUCUCAUUAGAGUUUUUCGUCUUACUUUUUCAGUGAUGAAAUAGUAGAUUUCGUUAGGAACCAGCUUCGAGAGCAUGGUGAUGUUCAGGUAAGAAAUAUCAUCUGCCUAAUUAGUUUGUGUGCAAUGUUGUAGCACCAUAUAUAACUUGCCUCUUUUUCCCUCCUAACAGAUAGCCUGUGAAGCUCUUGCACGGUUAGCCUUGGUACGAAAAAUCUCUGCAUUCUGUACUUAACAAUCUCCAAACGCGCACACAAGUGUAUAUACUUAGCUCUUUGAUCUUACAUUUCAGGAUCGACGGACACAAGAUAAUGUCAGCAUUGUCAUUGCUGAUUUGGGGUAUGCACUUGAUCUUUUGCAACCAAUGUACUUUUACUGAUAAUUUCAGAAACUUAAGGUGUUGGUAGGUGACUUGAGAAUGAAAAUAAUAGUUUCUUUUAAGGCUAGAUAGUUCUUUGUACCCUCUGAGUAAAGGUAGCCGGACUAGGAUUUUCACCAACGGAAUUCAAAGUAUAAAGAAGUAAAAACACGAAAAAACCAAAGGGAUUCAACAUCUAUAACAAAUACAUGAAAAAUAAUUAUGACCUUUAUAUAUACAGUGUAAUUUCCCAACGAAAAGAGAUCAGAUGAACCCCUUGAUAUAUAGUCAAACUUAUUUAGCUGUGAAAUUCCUUUUGAUCAUCAUUAUCAACUACAAAAAAGUCAAUACAAUAAAGUUUUUGAUGAAGACAUAAUGUGAUUACACACCAUUAGAAAAGGUCAUUAAGUUGUAGUGGCUGAGCUUCUUUUUUUCUUACAUUUUUUCCCAAAGUUUGACAUGCUUUUAGUACUUAUAUUGUGGUCUACAUAUCCACAAGAUUUUUCUAUUUUACUUUUUUUUCCUAACAAUUUAGCACUAUAUAUUAUAGUAUGAUUAUAUAUCUACUUUAUAUUUGUUUCGAUAUAUCUACAGGAGGACGGAUUGGCGAAAGUUACCAGUAAAGAAACAGAAUGUUGUGUUAGAACUGGGACAAGCUUUAGUGACAAUCAGUUUUGUGUCAAUUGGAAUAUGGCUAUCAACAAUGAUUUUCCCUUAGAAGUUUGAUAGUAAUAUUAGUUAAUUGUAUAUAGUAUUUUUGUAUGAAAAGGAACAUAAAGCUUCAAUUAUACCUUGUACAUUUGCUUGUCAAGGUAAUUAAGUUAUGUAGCAUUUUAGAUAGUAUAUUCUAAAAAUAUGGAAAAUUCCAAAUUUAACUGUUGAAAUGUGGAAUGAAUAGUGAACUAACUAAGGGUCUAUGAUGACAACUUUAAUACAUAAUUCAAAUGAUCUUGGCCACCAGAAAUAUAUAUUUGUAUAGAAAAUAUGACACCCUUAUAAUGAUAAUUCUCAUUUUAAUGCUUUACAUAUAAUAUAACAAAAAAAUAUUGUACUUUUACCCUAUUUAUACAUUAUAAUUUCCUAACAAAGAGGAUCCAAUUAAACCCCUGACGCUACAUAACUCCAGCCAUUCAUCUAUGGAGGCAAAAGUCGGUUGGUUUGAAUUACAUGUAAUUUAGCUUUUUUUUCGAGAAUCACUUGGAUUUACCUUAUACAUCAUCAUAUUAUGGUUUUAAAAGUUAUCAAUAGUGAAAAAAAGUUUUCUUCUUGAGUAAACAUGUAUGCAACUUAAAAAAUACAUGUGAUUUCUGAACCCAUUGAAAUAACUUUAGAAUUUGUAUGCUAGAUUUGUUCCAUUUAGGCAAAAGAAUUGUAAUUAUAAGUGAAAUAUCAAUUAUUUAACCAAUUACUUUACUAAUAAUUACGCUACACCUAUGAAAAGGUCCACCAAUAAAUCCUUUGGCGGUUUCAAUUACACAAACCCAUGAUUAGUAGGUUAUACAGAAAUAACUUUACCGUUGCACCAAGACUCCUUCUUCGAAAAUGUAAAAAAUGUACAAACAAUUCUAAUCAACUUUCUUUAUUUCACUAUUUCAAAACUCAAACAACAUAAUAGUGCUAACAUAUAAUACUAUCUAGCUUACAUAACAGAGAGGCACAAGCCAAAACUCAAGCAACAUCUCAUCAAGAGACUUGCAAUUCUUAUUAUGCCCUGAGGCAACAAUAUUGUAAACAAAAUCUCUACACACUCAUAGGAGGAAUAAAGAUAUUGAAAUUAUGGGCUCUGGAUUCUAGAAAACGCAGCUUACUGAGUUUUUGACUAAUUAUUUAUACAUAUUUUACGUGAUUUCUUAACAUAAAAAUAUAGAAUUUGAACCAAAACUACUGAUUCUUUUGAACCCCAGUAUGCAAAGUUUCUUCAAGGGUGAUUGCCACCUCUCUUUCUAGUGGGAUCAUGCCUGGGAUUAGGUCCUGCAUAGUCAUAAUCUAACGUUGCAUCCACCACCAUCAACUUUCUUGGUAUUUCUCUCAUCCCCUGAUCAAAUUUUGCAACAAAAGUUUAAUUAUAAUUAGUCAAAUGACAUUUAAUUACUUGAGUUGUAAAUGAUUGACCUAAGAUUCUGUUUAUAUAUAUAUAUAUAUGCACUCUAACGAUAUAAAGGUUAAAGAAGGAUUUUCUUUUAUGAUUGUGGUGUCCGAGCCAGCUUUCGUGCAUAUGGACUAAUUCCACGUGAUACCUGCCACCUGAGGCGUAUCCAGGAUUUAUUGAUGAUGGGUGCAUUAUUACGAAAAGGUAGAUCUAAGAUAUAAAUUAGACUGAUUAGGUUCUUUUUACAUAAAAUCAUUAAAAAUUUAAAAUUAUAGGUCCAAAAUUAACUUUUAUCUUUCCACACCUGUUACAAAAUCUUAGAAAAAAAACUAAAACAAGAUAGAUAAAAGAUUCAAAUUUCUAACCUCACCUAGAGAGGUGCACCCAAUCAUCAUCGUACGACAUUAUAUGAUACUUCAAGAGUGGGGUCACACAUCUAUAUUGAAAUAUUUUUUUAAAAAUAUAACACUAUUAUAUAUGAUUUCGGGAGGGUACCAUGGGUUCACGUGAACCCGGUAACCCCCUCUUGUAUACGCCCUGGCCACAAGGGUAGAGCCAGCCUUGUGUUAGGCUUCGCCGGAAAAUAUUACUAUUUAUACAUGGUUAAAAUUAUUUUUUAUGUAUAUAUAGUAGAUGUUGAACCCCCUUCGAUUAGUUCGUGUGUUUAGCUUUUCAGAUUUUGAACCCCCUAAUUAAAAAUCCUAGUUUCACCACUGCCUGGCCACCUCCCACCAGCAACAGGUACCAGGUAACUCUAUCCACCAAGGCUAGGACAAAGGUUAAAGAAGGAUAUGAAUCUAAGCAAUGUAUUAUUUUCUUGUUAUAUUGACAUAAAUUAAAAUGAAAAAGAAAAAACAUAAGCUGUGAGAAAUAAAAGUUUUAAAUUCUAGCAAAUUGAAGAUUGUCUUGAUGAAACUUGUUGAGUAUUUAAAAUUGAUGAUAAUUUCUAAAUGUUGGUUAAAGCAAGUGAUAUGAAGUUAAGAGUUCAGUAUAGUUCAUAUAAAAAAAAUGACUAAUUUUCUUCGUAUAAAAUAUUUUUCUUGAAAAAUGACUUUUAUCGUACAAGUACCCUCUAAUACCUUUUGAAAUUUGUGAAUGCUGUUUAAGCCAUUGCCCAAGCUGCCUUCAACAGUACCUAAUAAAUAAAGCAAAAGCAAAAACAAGAUUAAUCAAUAUCAUACACAUUUUAAGCUAUAUGCAAGUAGAAAAUUAAAGGUGAUAAUUGUCAUUUUUAGCAACAAAAAAAAAAGAAUAAUCUAAACAACCUUAUAUGUAAGUACAAAUUACCUGAUGACACAAAGAUGAGAAAUAAAAUAAACAGAAUAAAUGCUUUGGAAGUAGGUCUCAUGGCUGUGUGCUUAUUCAAAAUUUCUGCUAUAAGCCAAAUUAGUAGAAUAGAUCAAGUUGAGAAGUGAAGGGCUUUUUAUUGUGAGGAUUGAAGAGGGUAGGGGUAGGGGUGGGGGGUGGGGGUGAUGGUGCAUCCCACCCAUUAGGGGUAUACAUAAUGAUGAUGAGUUGCAACACCUAUAUGCCACAAACAACAAGUCAAAGUUGCACUAAUAUGAUACCCAAUUUACUACAUAUCUAACAUGUUACAUCAACAUAUAUAGAGGAGCCAACAAUAUAAUAGUGCAAUACCUAAUAUAGUUAUCAAUGGAGCGGGUGAAAAUUGUAGUUUAAAUCUCAACAAAGAUUUUAAAAAAUACUACUAGAUAAUUCUUUCCAUUUACAUAAACAGUUGAUAGCAGAGUUAUUCAAGAAUUAUGUUGUUGGGAGGUAGCAAGUAUUCGAUAAAACAUUUUUCAUACUACCAACAACAACUACAAUAAUUAAUAUAUUAAUUAUGUCUCAUGAAUUCCAAUCAAGUUGGAAUCAGCUCUAUGAAAUUACACAUAAUAAAAAGAGUUAGUACUAGAAUUUCUUCGUAUUUUCUAUAGGCAUAGCUAAAUCUCUGAUAGGACAAAAAGACGCCUAACAUAUAUAUAUAUAUAUAUAUAUAGAGAGAGAGAGAGAGAGGGGCACUAGAGUAAAUGUACGUGUCGCAACAUGUCUAAAAUAUAGUAAACCCUAUACAAAUCUUGUCUUCUUAUAAUAGCCUAUUUUUCGCUAGGUCUGCAUGAAUUCAACGAUAUCUCGAAACAAAGAAAGAAAAAAACAUAGAAGCAAGUGUAACUAUAUAUGCAUGUGGACAUCUUUGACAUUGGUAUUGCAUGGCUAAAGUUGUGCCAUUUAGAGCUAAUAUUUUUUGCUCUCUCUGUUUACAUCACCUUUAUGAGAAGUCAAUGUGCUUUUCUAUAAUGCUUGUGUACCCCAAUAGCUCAUGCUGUGUAUCAAUCCAAUCCAUCUUCACAUAAUGCUUUUCCAUCUUUUCCCAUAUGUCCCCUCAUAUUACAAAAUCACUAUCAAACCCUCCAAAGUGCUAUUUAAUUGGAUGUUGCUCAACUCUUGCACUAUUCAUCAUUUGUUUUCUGUGGAAAGGACUCAUGACUUAUCUCAAACAUUUACAUAGAAAAAGAAAAUACUUAAAUAAGAGUGAAUCUAAGAUUUAAAUUUUACGGAUUCUAACCUUUUAGAAAUUGAACUUUAAACUUCAAUAGUAGAGAUGUACUCGAUAACUAUUGUACCAUAAGACUCUUUGAACUUAGGUGCACCUAUAUAAAUAUAACAUUGAUAUACAUGGUUUAGGAAGAGAAUUAUGAUGCACGUAAACCAACACUCCUCCCUUUAGAUACACCCUUGCAUACAAGCAAUAGUACUAAAGUUGGGAAUUCUAAGGAGAUGAUUCAAAAAAUGUAAGUAUGACAUAUCAAGAAUUCAAACAUGCGUUAAAGUAAGUUUUUGUGGGGAGGGGGUUGACUAGCCUUUUUACUUUUCACCGGAGGUGUACCUAUAAGUCACAUUCCCACUCAUCAAUUACGUUAUUCAGUUAACUUGCACUAAUUAUAUUGGAAUUAUAUCUAUCUUCUUUUUUGUUAUUAUUGUCAAUAAAUCUCUUCCAUAUUCAAUUAUAUUUUACGUUUGAAUAUUUAUAUAAAUGUUAUUCUGAUCUAAGUGGCCUUUUUUGUCCAUACUAAGAAGCAUUACUCGUUUCAUUUCAAAUUCAAGAAUACAUACCAAUUGAUCUAUUGGUAUGUACGCCUUUUAUUACCUUUUCUAUUCCUUAUUCUUCACAUACAAUUCAAUUCCUCUAUGGCAAAAUUUCGAUUAGUGCAAGCCUUAUGUGGCUUCCUUGGGGAAAUAUCAAUUUAAUUUGGGGAAAAGGGUCUGAAAAAUAUUUCAACUUUAGUCGAAAUUGUUGUUAUGAUACCAAACUUUAUGGAGGACCUUUUACCCCUUGCACUAUUUAAAAGUGUAUUUUAAACGUAUAUAUGUGCUCACAUGGACACAUUACUAUUUAUUGUUACAGCAAUUUCGAUCAAAGUUCGAAUAUAUUUCAGACAUUUUCCCUUUAAUUUGAGUCUCUAUCUCUUUAUUUAUUUAUUUUCAUGAUAUUGACCACAUUUAUGAUUCCUAUUUGCAUUUUAGUAAGUUGACAACCUUUGCCGCUACACUGAAGUUUUCUUAAAUAUAUAUCGUAUUUUAAGGGAAUUCAUAAUUUAUACAAUAAAUACAAUAACAAAAAUGUUUUAUUUAUACAGUAUAAUUUUUCAACGAAAAAGAUUCAACGUGGACCAUGUAGCUCUGUCAACUUCUUUUUACAGCAUCAUCAAUCCUGUUUGAUUAUUAUUACUCCGACCGUCUCAUUUUUUUAUGACACUAUUUCCUUUUUAAUUUGUCCCUAAAAAUGUUAUAUUAUCAUAAUUAGAAAUAAUUUAAUUUUAAAAUUCUCAUUUUAUCCUUAAUAAAAUGAUCAUGGUUAAACAAAUAUCUAAAAAUUAAUUUAGACCACAAAUUUGAAAAAAAAAAUCUUUUCUUUUAAAAUAUCGUAUCAAAUUAAACAAUGUCAUAUAAAACGAGACGGAGGAAAUAUUAUAUUUCCUUUCCUCAAUGGCCAAAAAGAAACACUUUCCUCAAAAGACAACUUUUCCCAAAAUUGACUUUUCCGUAGUACCAAAUAUCAAAUUAAAGUAAAUUUGUUAGUGCCCUCUAAUCCUAAUAUUUCGGCUUUCGUCACUUUUGAAAAAUCAACUAUUUUAUUUUAUUUUAUUUUAUUAUUAUUAUUUUGGGGGACAAGAAAUGGACAUUGGCCUACAAAUGAAAUGAAUGUAAGCCCCUUCUUUUAGAGGGUUGAAAUUUGAUAAAAAAGUCAUAAUGUGGAAGUGGAAGGCACUACCCAAAAGUAGACAACACAUUAAAUUAAUUUUUUCACUUAAGUCUGUUAAUCAUUCAUUAAGACAAGGUUUAAAUUAAUCAAAUGUUGAUAAUGAUGGUGUAACUUUAAUUGGGAGAAUUUGAGUACAAUUAUUAGGAAAAAAAAGGUUUUGUUCUCCACCAUGGUUCUUAGGUUGCCGGGGAACCUAAAACAACAUUAGUACUACUAAUUAAUGUUGGAUUGCCAAUUAACCACAACAUAGUAAAGUAGUACUAAUCACAUUAAAUAAUCAUAGUACUAAUCUUUAUAACAGACAGUAAAAAGCAUGACAACGUAGGAAACUAGACAUUUCUUCUUGUUCUAUGCUUUGAAGACAAUAAUGCCAGUGGCAAAACCACUUUGUUUCCAUCAGUGUUAUUUGACACUCCUUCGCUGAAAUUCUUUAUUUUUACAUUUACUUAGUACUUCUUUUGUUAAACUCCAAAUUGUCAAAUCCAAACUUGUGUACCAGGUAGAAGUACAAUUUCCAUCGAGAGUACUUACUUUUAUAAACUACUUAGAUACGUGAUAAGGUAUUGUAAAUGUCAAAGUGGUCAUGAUUCACUGCGAUUCAACCCUUUAUCACCUUAAUUCGUCAAUUAAGGGGUGUCAAUGUAGACACUAUAGUCUAGAUAUUAGAGCUGUUAAAGCACCAAGACACUGCUGAAUAUGGCAGCAGCUGUUCCUCUAGCAUGAUAACAAAUUCUUGUCCUUUAAAAUUUCGUCUUUUUUUUUUUUGCCAUUUACAUUGUUGUUUGGACUUACCUACUAAGGUAAGGAUAAGCUCACAUAUAGUUUCUUAGUACGACAGGUCAAAAUGAUGAAAUGAAAAAUAGAAUUUUACUUUUUAGAGUUUCCCCCUUCUAUUAAUACUUUAUGUCUUGCAUUUUCUCCACUUGUAUUAAGUCACAGCGUCAAAGCUUGAUUGACAAUUUAAGGUUCAUGCACAUAGCAUGUCAAUUAUGGGUCAAAAUUCCUAAAUAAAUAUGCCAUCUUCGUAGUUCCAUAUUAAUCGUUUUCAUUCCGAUCGAUCAAUCAGUCAAGACGGCUAGCAUAGUUUAUUUACUAGCAUGGAGUGGUGGAGGGGGUGGGGGAGUCGUUCUACUAAGCCACCUCACUAGAUAUUGCAUGUUCUAUUUCACAUUUUCUUCCCACACAAUCUUUCUUCUGGUAAGAGAUUGUGUUCCGCAAAUGGAACAAAAUUUUCUCCAUCAGCAUUUGUUUUUUUGCAAAUUUGGAUAUGAUAAAUAGAAGUUGAGCAAGUAGCAGAUAUCAGUUGCCUCUAGUAUCAAGAAUACUGGGGAAACGAUUUCAACAUUUCUAAACUGGACAAUCAAUGGACACAGCAACAUGUGAAUCUAUUAAGAAAAAAACAUCUUCAAUUCCCAUUGCUUUGAUAACAUGCCCUCCGAAAUGCAACCAAAUAUAUUAUGAUAUUACGAUCACAAGCAUGAUCCUUUUCUUUUAAGAGGGGAAAAAAACUGUAUCGUAACAGCAUGAAAAAGGAAGCUUACAUGCUUUCAUGGAUGCACAAUCUGCUACUGAUGUGCAAAAAUACCUACUGCCGGAAAACAACCCAGAAAGAGAAAUGUGAAGAUGCAAACACAAUUCCCUAUAUAAAAUUUUAAAACAAGUGGGUUACCCCAUGACCAGUAUAUGCAAAAGAAAUGAAUGAGAUGUAUGCAAUUUGAAAUAAAGAAAAUGCAGCUGCUUUGACCGAUGACGACUGACAGACCCAAAGAAAAAAAAUAGAUGGGACAAUAUCAAAGAAGCUUUGGCUUAAAGUAUCAGGACUACCAAAACUUUGACCUUACACAUUAUGACACUCAAAGCCCUUGGAGAAGACGGCAGCACAGGGAUGAUCUGGGGCACCUCUUCUUAGCAGAUAGACCCACGGAAAACCCAACAAACCGGCAGCCUGAUUUGUUACUUCAGUAAGUUACAGCAGACCCCUUUCCACCCCAAUACACAUCACCAGCAAAGUCACAUGCUGAAUGGAAGGACUUUCAACUCUUGAGUAGUAACCCCCUCUCCCCCUCCCCCGGCAAAACAAAACCUCGACCCAUGGUGCUGGCGCAUGAGUUAACGACAACAAGAGUGUAGAUUUCUCCAUUGUCAGAUAACAUCAAUGACAAGACUCGUGAAUGCAAUCUCGGACCCAACUGGACACAACCAUAUGCAUGCAUGGACUUACUAAAAAAAAAAGUAUGUACCAAAGCGGCCACCUCAAACUGAAAUGGCACGAGUGAUGGCCAACUUUGCCCACUCAGCAGAUUCCUUAAUCAAAUGGUCAUCUGAUGACAAGCAUUCAUUCAAGAACUCUUUGCUUGAUAAUGAUUGUUGAAUCAACGAACCAGCAUUACUGCCCAGAGUAUCUGCUAGAUCUCCUAGAACCCCAAUAGCUGUUUUCAUCACCACAUCAUCCCUACAAUUCGGAAGAAAACGAGGAUAGAUCCAGGAAAUCAGAACAAAGAUCACAUUAUUAAAUAGAGAAAAUGUACAAUGCAGAGGGAAUCAUGCAAUACUUACAUGUCUUUCUCCAUGUAAAUGCUAUCCAGGAAUUGCAGGAUAUGAGGUGCAUAUGGGAUCAGAAGCUGUGUUUUAGGGGAAUUCUUGAAGCCCUGAAAUAUCCCUGAAUAAGCCUCCAAGAUUCCAUUCCUCAGAAGAUUUGUGUAUUCUACCAUCUCAUCAUCUGCACCAGAUGUGUGGGCAGACAGCUCAGCAGCACUCUGGAGCAUUGGCAUGGCAUACAUCAAGUACUUUUCAAAAUUCUCUCCUAUUGCCAAAGCUAUGUCACCAAGGCAUGAAAAUAUUGGAGGCUUUACAGAUCGAUGCAGCUGGUUACUUGACAGGUCCUUGAGAAGCUGAGUCAUUAUACCAUCACAGUAAGGUAGGAUCUUAUCUUCCAAAGCUCUGCAUACAUCACCCACAACACCAACCGUAACAGCACACACUUGGUACUCCUCGAAAUUCUGAAGGCCCAUUUCCAGGUACUUGUAAAAUUCAGGCAUGUACUUGGCAAAGUCGGGACCAGUUGCAUAGGCUAGGGCUCCAAUGGCAAGCAUGGCUUCCUCAUGCACCGUAGCAUUUCUACAUGCAAAAACCCUGAGAAAAAGGUUCAUGAUCUGAUCUGCAUACUGCAUGAAAACAAACUUUGUUGGCUCGGAAGCCCCUAAUUUCUGAAUAAUGACCUGUAAGCAACCACACAGAAGACCUUGCAACUCACUCUGCUUCUCUCUCUCGUCAGAUGAAAGCUUCUGACCUUCGAGAGUCUGGUGCAGCUCUGUCAUAAUGAUAGGAGCAAGCUGCAAAACCAUUGGAGCUGUUUCAUCUGUUGAACACCUAACUACUUCAUUCAAUGUCUCAUAUGCCGCAGUCCUGAGUCGCGACUCACCAGCAUCUUCUCUGUGGGUAACUGUUAGAAGCUCUUGCACGAUUUCCUGGAAAUAAGGUGUCAAGGGAGAUGAUGCACCCAUAUCCUCAUAGCCUUGAGCAAGGAAAUAGAGAGCACCACAGGAUUUUUCAGCAACAUUUGGAGCAUCUUUCAUGGCCUGAAGUAGAACUGUGAUUAUCAGCUGGCAAUUUGCAGGAGUAAUAAUGGGUGUCUCCACUGUAGAACCAUGAAGAAACUCAAAUAUCCUUCCCAGGGUCCAUGCAGUUGUAUCCUUCACAUGGCUAUUAGGAUCCUUUGUCAACGCAGUAAGCAUGAAGUUCAAUGCAACAUUAACAAGAGGUGUCAACUUGUCAGGAGAAGGACCUUCCAAAAUAGAACCAAAGGCAUAUGUUGCAGCCUCUCUUUGUCUCCAAUCAGGCUUUGAAAUGUUCUCUUGGAUGAAUGGCAUAACAAGUGGAACAAUCUCAUCCCCUACAGUCCGGGCCACCAGACCAAGGCAAGUGCCUCCAGCCAUUGCAAGAUUCCAAGCACCUUCAUCCUGGUCCUGAUCUUCUUCCUGCUUAAGAAGUGUCUCUAAUAGCAUAGGCACAAGAGCAGGGAGAGCCUGCUUGAUGAAAUAAUAGCAAGGAACAUCAGAAUCUGCAGUGAAAUCACCCCCAAAAUCUUCUAAAAUAUCAAUCUCCUCAUCACAGAUUGAGCUCCAAAAUUCAAUAGCUUGAAGAGCAACAGGCUCUACAUCCUCUUUAACAGCCUUUGCUGUAAUGUUAAAGAUAUCUUGGAUGUAUGGAGCCAAUUUCUCAUAGUAUGUUGAUGAAAUGGAGACUAAACAUUCAAAGGCAGCUUGUCGAAUUUUGACUUCUGGGGAUUGAGUAGCCUCACAUACAACUCUCAUUAUAAAGUCACGCUCCAUGUCAUUGCUGAAGUUUGCUUGAGCAAAACUAAGAGCAUUAUAUAAUGCUCGGGUAGCAGCAAGCCUCACAUCAUUGUUCCCUUCUUCAGCGUUCAUACCCUGAACUACGGCUGUAAGGAUUUUAUUUACUUGAUCCUGAUCCACAACUUCGGGAGAAACUUCUUCACAUAAAUAACCCAGUGUCUCCAAAGUAGCUUGCUUGACAUGAGCAGGGACCUGGUGAAUAUUUGAAAGGAGUGACCCAAUCAACUCAGGCCACUGCUUCUGAGGAAGCUCAAUGCCAGCAACCUUAGCAAUGACUUGUGAUGCGGUUGAAUGAGCAUCAGGCACAGGAGAAGAGAGUGUCUGUAAUAAACAUGUCUUUAUCUGGGCCUUCACUGCCAUAUCAAGUGAUAGCCAUCUUUGCACAAGCUCAAAUUUCCUAUGUUGUUCCUUGGCAUCCAAGGCAUUUUUAAGUAUUAAACCAGCCAACUUACGACUGUCAACUGGCUUCUCUUCAUUAGCAAGCUCUCCAGAUAGAGACAACAAGAAACCAGGAAGAUUUUGCUCCUGAAACUGUUUUAGAGUUUCCUCGGAAUGUUUCCGCACUGUUGAAUCAACUGACUGUGCAUUAAGAAGGAUCUGGGUGACUUCCAUUGCCAUAGUAUAUCUGCAAAAACAUGAUAAGGUCCUAAUUAGAUUCCAAGGAACAUCCAAAUGAAGGCACCCGAAGUAAUGCUCCUAAAAAAUCAUUAGACAGAACGAAAGUAGAUAAAUUUAAUUAAUAGAAAAAAAACGGAAAUAAGCAUAGCAACUGUCCAUCGGAAAACCAUGUUGCUAGAUUAAUGAAGUCUUUCUUAAACGGAAAGAAAUGCAAUCUAGCCUCAACGAGAAGUUCAAUGGAACCAACCAGGAGAAUCGAGUUAGGGAUAAACAAAUGGAAAACUUUAACCAAAUCGAAUCUAGAAUAAGUAACCAUAUAUAGAAAAGUUCAACAGAUCAGAUUUACACAUCACAUAAUAUACCCACCAACAGAUUUUUUUUCUGGAUAAGGCAGUGAACACACCACCAUACCCAGACCCUGUGGGAUUACACUACCAGACAAUACAUAGCUAAAAUAAGACGGUAAUGGACCAACUUAAUUACCAAUCCAGCAAGAAAAACUUAUGGCAUGCCUAUUGCCAAUGCAAAAAGGCAACAUUUUUUCUUUCAUUAGUUAAGAGCAACAACAAAUCACAAAAAACGAGUUCUUCAACUAUCAACUGGAGAUAAUGAAAACUCACUAAGCAUUGCCAAAAACAAGUAUAAACCAUCAUAGAACCCUCAAAACCAAAUUACCUGUUUAUCAGCAUUUCCCACUACAUCAAUACAGUCAUAACUUCACCCCAAAAAAAAAGCUUUAAAACUCAAUAAAUCAGCAAAAGUAAAUCCUUAAUGAAAAUAACCCAAAGUUAUCAUUGCUGACACCACCAAACUAACUAUAUUUACGCACAAACCAAACUAGGAAGAAAAUUAACAGUUACAAUAAGAUCAAAAAGUAUUAAAUUAAAGCAGAAAUGCAUAGAUCGCAGUUCAAAUAUCAAACAUUCAUUGAAGCGUGAUAUUUUCAAAAAAAAAUGAAACAUCUUUGAAACUAAUAGAUCAAACAUCAAAUUCAGUUGAUAGAACCCUAAUCCAAAAUCAAAUUAGAUAAUAUUUGGAAAAAAACAAAAAAAAAUUGAUGAAUAACCUGAAACUUGUGAAGAUCGAACAGAGCAAAAGCGGCGCCCCCUGAAACCCUAACAGGGAGAAAAAAAAAACAGAAAGGGAGAAAGUGAAGAGAGAGAAAGAGAGACAGGGGGGAGUUCAAGAGAGAGAGAGAGGAAGAAGAAAACGCGGAUGUAAAAGCUGGAAUUCAAUUAUGCAAAAUCUAAUAUCUGUUUCAAUUAUUAUUAUUAUUAUUAUAUUAUUAUAUUAUUAUAUCAUAUUAUUUCUGCUUUUAUUUAAUUGGGUUUGCGAUCGGCUAUUGCCGCAACUAGCCAGCCUAGAUUGAGAUCAAAUUUAUUUCUUCAGUGGACCCCAUGUCAUAAGCGCGGAAAAUUGAUAGUUGGUUAGAAUUAUGCAAGUUACAUAUUAUGUAUACGAGUUUUAAAAUUACAAAUUAAAAAUCAUAUUAAUAUUCUAUAUGAAUAAUUUAUUUUUUUAACUAGCUAUUAAAUAUUGUAAAAAAUUACUACAUACGGAUAGGUUGCAUGUCUUGCCUCUUUAUAGGUGUGUUAAUAAUGAUGAAAGGGAUUGUUUAGUAGAUAAGAAAUAAGUUAUUUGUUUAUUAAUGUUGUAUAACUUAUAUGACGUUUGAUAGCUAGAUAGAAAGUAAGUUAUUCAUGUAGAAAAUUAAUAUUACGUUUGGUCGAUAAUUUAGAAAGUCGCAUAACUAAUACAUGUAUAAGUUAUGAUGAAAUUUAUAUAUUAUUUUAUAGAGGAUAGAAAGUGAAAUAACUAAUAUAUAAAUAAUUAGUCUCUUCAUAACCAAUUCCUACAUUGUUAAUACAUGUAUAACUCUAACCAACUAUCAAACGAUCACAUAUUAUUUGUUAUGCAUUACUUAAUUUGGCUCGAGUUUAGAAAAUAAUUAUCAAAGGUUAAGAUUUGAUUUGCUAAUAAACAUUUGACAAAAGAAUGUCAAAAUCAUAAUAACCCUUAGCAUAAGUUGGCUUUGUCGCUACAAAUAUGUAAAGGAUUACGAAAUCAAAUUAAUAAGGCAAGUUAGAUGUCCCACAUGAUUUUACAUACUACCAAUUUUAACUUUGAAUUUAUAAAGCAAAAAAAAAAAACUUUGAAUUUGAGCCCCUUUGGGAAAGUUGCCUUACUGGCAAGAUAUGAUUAAGCACAUGAAAUUAUUGGAUACAAUAUCAAAAUAUCAGAUUGCCAACUUGAAACCAAAAAAAACCCACUUCUCUUCUUUCCUUUUUUUUUUUUUUCCCUCCUUGUGUUUUGGGAUAGUUUAGGGAGUAUUCUUUCUUCUGUAUAUACAUGCCCAACAUAGACAAAAUACAAGCUAUAUAUAUAGUCAUCUCAAGGUUGAAAUGGAGUUUUUGUAAUCCCUUGAUUUCAUUUGACUAAUGAAGAACGAAAUGUCAAAUCGGUGAUUAAUGAGAUGAGUUAUCUCAUUACAAUGAUUUGGAUACAUACAAUAGUUGAAUUUGGUUCAAUGUUUAUAACAUUGUGUUAGAGUAGAAAUCAUGGAAUUAUUAUUUUUUGAUGUUGGGCUCUAUAUUAAAGUUACUCAUGCGCAAUUCUUACUUGAACUAGUUUUUUGUAUACCCAAAAAUAUGUAUAGCUAAGCUUAUAACAUGAUUUAAAUGAUUGAUGAAUUGAAUUGACUGAGCGGAUAGUAAAACGAAUUAAAGUAAACAAUAUAUAACAAUAAAUCAGAUACAAAUAAUCAAGAAUAACAAUAAACAAAAUUGUAUUAGCCUGAUUUUGAAGUUGUCCUUGAUGAAGGCCAUUCCAAAGGAGUUUCGAGCGUGAAGAACACUAUAAGACUUGAUAGAAAAAAGAAAUAAGAAUGUUGAUCUUUAAUUUGCUUCAUAUAUAUGUAUGUGACAAUUGUUAAACUCAAAAUUGGAUGUCCUUUAAUAUGAAGAUCAAGCUCCUUUUAUAGGGGUGAAUCCCAAGAUUUUGAUAAUCAAGAAGUAUUUCCUUUUAAUUUACAUUUUGAAUGAAUAAUCAAAUAACAUUUAAUUAUAAGAUAGGAAUUUUAUUCUAUAGAGAUAGUUCCCAUUAUAGUCCGUCAAAGACUUUGGAGAAUGCAGCAAAAAACAAACAAAUUGUUGGAUCGGUCACUUAGGCUUGGAGUUCAAAUUUCUCUAUGAACCUUCCUUUUCGUGUAUACGGACUCAUUUCUUUGUGAUUCCUUAAAAGUAGACUUCCUUAUAAAGAUUAUUUCUCAAUUGUCAAAACAUGUAAAUUAUUAAUAUAAUUUUGUGAUAGUGUAAUUAAAUAUUUUUUUGCUACCAACAUGGGUUGUGGUGCACUGGUGGAGUGCGCGAUUCGAUUUAAUCGGAGCUUCAAUGUGAACUUCAAACACCAGAUGAGAAACAAAAAAAAAACCAUUUUUUACUAAUUACUAGAUUUGUCACUAUAAAAUUUAUGUCUAAUCUUAAAUAAUAAUAAUAAUAUUAAUUAUCUUGAAAUCCUGAAUUCACCUUUCAUGUUUAGGUAUGCAAAACAUCAACACACUGUCAAGCACAAAGGCAACUGCCACCAACAAGGAGCACAUGAAUCCUACUUGGUGACUCUCCAUUUGAUAAAUCAAAACCUAUUACGAGUAUGAUACUUUGUUGAUAAAUAGUCAACAUGGUAAAGAGCAAGUUUAUAACUAGGCUUAGGAUUUCAUAGACAAAUGACAUAUGUAGUGUAUAUUCAAUUUCUUGAAAGCUAGCUAUCUAUAGUUUAUUCAACAUGUUGCGUUAGUCAGUGGCGACAAAUAUAUACACUUUGUUAAUAAAGAGUCAACAUGGUAAAGAGCUAGUUCAUAACUAGACUUUUCAUCGGUAGGAUUUCUUAAACAAAUGACCUAUAGAGUGUAUAUUCAAUUUCUUGAAAACGAGCUAUCUCUAGUUUCUUCAAUAUGUUGUGUUAGAUUCAGUGGCGGAGUCAAAAAUUUCACGAAGAGUGUUUAAAAAAAAAAGGGGAGGAGGGGGGUUACUGCUAGUGAGAUCCGAACACAUGAACUCUUAGAGAGCUGUCAAGACAUCCAAAUUUUUAUGUUCCCAACAUAAGUAUACAAUUAUAAUUUUCAAAUAUUCCUUUUUUCAAAUUUUACAAUUUUUAUGUUCGAUAACACGUUAAGAAAUCAUGCUAAUAUGUAUUGUUCAUUUUUUUUUUUUUUAUCGAAUAUCUCUAAGGACAAAAAGAAAAGAAAAAAGAGUUAAAGUAUAAGUGAACGUUCUAGCAACCUCCUGAAUACGUGGAAGUUCUUAGGUGUGAAGCGGUUAAUGGUCUACCAAAUACACCUCCUCUUAUCACCAUUCAUCACCCAUUCAAUUAAUUAAUCCAACGGUUCAGAUCUAUCCAUCAAUUAAAACAAAGCUGAUUGGCUCCUACCAUGUGUUCCUCAAUUCUAAUUGGUCCACGUCACGAAACGUGACAUGCACAAAAACAAUCAGCUCCGAAUACGUGCAAAAUGAUGUGGCAGCACCUCAUUGGCUAAAAUAUCGACUUCUCUUAUAUCUGAUUGGUCCACGUCAUCGUGAGUGACAUUGUUCGUCAAAAUUCAAAAAGAAGACCGACCUUCUUUAUAUAACAGAGAAGGAGGCUCGCAACUAUAUAUAGCAGCCGCAGGGCUUCAAUUGUUGAUCGGAAAAUCGAUAACUACCUUUAUCUGUCAUCGGAGAAGAGAAACGAAGAACACAUUGUUCGUUUGGAUCUACGAGCUAUGGCUACUGCGUUGAAGAGACGCGCAUCCUCGAUCGUUUUCGCAAUCGUCCUUUUAGGUAAGCAUUGGUAUCCUUUUUCUAUAGCUGCUUCGUUUCUGUAUACAUUGAGAUUUGAGCUAGUUAAGUUCUGUGUAGAUUAGGAGAAUGAGGAGAAUUGAACCGAGUGAACGCAACAAAUCAACAAUGAUUAACUGCAAAUUCGAUGUGUAUUACUUUUGAUGUGUUAGUUGCAGUUAGUUGUGAUAUGGCUAUGUAUAUGUUUUAGCAUCAGAUCUGCUACUUAGUUUUUUAAAAAGAGUUGCUGUGUAUGAUAUGUAUGUUUUUUUUUUUUUGAGAGAUUAUGCAAUGAGGAGAAUUGAACAGAGAGACCUAACAAAGCAACAAUGAUAACUGCAAGGUUUAUGUGUAUUAUUUCUCGAUGUGUUAGUUGUAAUUAGUUUUGAUAUGACUUUGUAUGUGUAUCAGUUCUCAGAUCUGCUACUUAGUUUUUCAAAAGAAUUGCUGUGCAUGAUAGGCCUGUUUUGUUUGAGAGAUUAUGCAAUGAGUAGAAUUGAAUCGAAGUUGAUGUGUGUUAGCUGUAGUUUGUUUUGUUAUGACUAUCAGUUCUCAGAUCUGCUACCAGUUUGGUCAUUUAUGUGUAUUUGUUUCAAUAAAACCAUCCAGAUUUUAGAGUUCAGAUUUUCGGUUAUUUUCCACUUUUGCGGCUAUUAUGAUCAUUGACAUAGUUUUGUUUGUUAAAACUGUUAUUGUGUAAAUAGAAAGGGUAACUUGAACAAUGUUAUUUGUUCAAGUGUUGUUCUUCUUUUGCUUCUCUUAAUUAAUGAUGAUAAAUCCUGAACAAUAUGUGAAAUAUUUGACCAUCCUGAGUUGUCUAGCCAGCUACAAUUUUGUGUCAACAAGUGCUUUAAUACUAAAUAUCCGACGUAGAGAAAGAAAGAAUAGAUGAUGUAGCAACUGCGUGAAGAAUAACAUUUAUUGAACUAGUUAAACGAGUAAUAACUGUACAUCCAAAUUUCUCCCAACAAUGUCUAGGAAGAUUUUUGAUCUCUGCAAAUUCUUUUCCUUUCCCAUGAUAUUUUGUCACUUCAACAAGUAAUAAUUUUAGAUCGACAGUCACGUACAAUGCACUAAUUGGGUUGUUGGGUUUGUCAACAGGGAGCUUGUUUGCAUUCUCUAUAGCUAAAGAAGAAGCUACCAAGUUAGGAACCGUUAUUGGCAUAGAUCUUGGAACAACUUAUUCUUGUGUUGGAGUUUACAAGAAUGGACAUGUUGAGAUCAUAGCAAAUGACCAAGGUAAUCGUAUCACCCCUUCAUGGGUAGCCUUCACUGAUGGUGAGAGACUGAUCGGUGAAGCAGCUAAAAAUCAAGCAGCUGUUAAUCCAGAGAGGACUGUCUUUGACGUCAAAAGACUUAUCGGGAGAAAGUAAGGCAUUGUUCUUUAUUUUGUAGUGUGAAAGUCUAUCUGAUAUAAUCAUGAUAAUGACGGCUUAUAUCUGUGACAGGUUUGAAGACAAAGAAGUACAAAGGGACAUGAAACUUGUUCCCUAUAAGAUUGUUAACAGGGAUGGGAAACCAUAUAUCCAAGUUAAAAUCAAAGAUGGGGAGACCAAGGUCUUCAGUCCUGAGGAGGUCAGUGCUAUGAUUCUGAUCAAGAUGAAAGAAACAGCAGAAGCUUUUCUUGGAAAGACAAUCAAGGAUGCAGUUGUCACUGUUCCAGGUAUCAUCAAACAUCCCCCGUUUCAGAUAGAUAAUAUCUGGUUCCAAACUUUUGUGUCAUACAAUUGCUGAGCAUAUAUGUCCCAUCUCUUUUGAAAAUGCAGCAUACUUCAAUGAUGCCCAGAGGCAGGCCACUAAGGAUGCCGGUGUCAUUGCUGGUUUGAACGUGGCAAGAAUCAUUAAUGAACCAACUGCAGCUGCCAUUGCCUAUGGAUUAGAUAAGAAAGGUGGUGAAAAGAACAUCCUUGUCUUUGACCUUGGUGGUGGUACAUUUGAUGUUAGUAUCCUUACUAUUGACAAUGGUGUUUUUGAGGUUCUUGCCACAAAUGGAGACACUCAUCUAGGAGGUAAUAAUGAAGUUCAAAGUAUUAAAAAGAACUAAUAACUUUCAUCUUACCAUCAGUUUUGUUCACAAGUUGUCUGUUGUUUCUCACAGGAGAGGAUUUUGACCAGAGGAUUAUGGAGUAUUUCAUUAAAUUGAUAAAGAAGAAGCAUGGUAAGGACAUUAGCAAGGAUAACAAGGCUUUGGGAAAGCUCAGGAGAGAAGCUGAGCGUGCCAAGAGAGCCCUGAGCAGUCAGCAUCAAGUCAGGGUAGAGAUUGAGUCUCUCUUCGAUGGUGUGGAUUUCUCUGAACCACUUACCCGGGCUCGUUUUGAGGAGCUGAACAAUGAUUUGUUCCGUAAGACAAUGACUCCUGUCAAGAAGGCUAUGGAGGAUGCUGGUCUAGCAAAGAACCAGAUUGAUGAGAUUGUCUUGGUUGGUGGAAGUACCAGGAUUCCAAAAGUUCAACAGCUUUUGAAAGAUUACUUUGAUGGCAAGGAGCCUAGCAAAGGUGUCAACCCCGAUGAAGCAGUUGCUUUUGGUGCAGCUGUACAAGGAGGUAUCUUGAGUGGAGAAGGAGGUGACGAAACCAAAGGUAAUGCAUCUUCCAGACUUAUUUUAGUCAUUUGAUACUGGAGAAUAUUCCAAGGCAAAAACUAACAUUUUCUUCUGAAUUUUGACCAGAUAUUCUUCUCUUGGAUGUGGCUCCACUGACUCUUGGUAUUGAAACUGUUGGAGGAGUGAUGACAAAGUUGAUCCCAAGAAACACUGUCAUUCCUACUAAGAAGUCUCAAGUCUUCACCACUUACCAGGACCAGCAGACAACCGUCACAAUUUCGGUAUAUACUUGAACACUAUUUUCUUCCUAAUUUGCUGAAUGUGUUGUGCAGAACUCCAGAAGAAGAUUUUUAUGGCUCUUCUGACUUGAAAUUCUCAUCUCCAGGUGUUUGAAGGUGAACGCAGUAUGGUAAAGGACUGUAGACUACUGGGGAAGUUUGACUUGACAGGAAUACCUCCAGCACCAAGGUACUUAUCCUCUACCAGUUAUGAUAGAGAGAGUACUUCAGGAGUUGCAUUUGCUUGCUUGACUAAUAAUUUUUGUUGUUUUUCAACAGAGGAACACCUCAAAUCGAAGUAACUUUUGAGGUUGAUGCCAAUGGUAUCCUAAACGUGAAAGCUGAGGAUAAAGCCUCUGGAAAGUCAGAAAAGAUUACCAUCACGAAUGACAAGGGUCGUUUGAGUCAAGAAGAAAUUGAACGUAUGGUGAAGGAGGCUGAGGAGUUUGCCGAGGAGGACAAGAAGGUGAAAGAAAGAGUUGAUGCCCGAAAUAGCCUGGAGACAUACGUAUACAACAUGAGGAACCAAAUCAAUGACAAGGACAAACUUGCAGACAAGUUAGAGUCUGAUGAGAAGGAGAAGAUUGAAACCGCCACAAAAGAAGCACUUGAAUGGUUAGACGACAACCAGAAUGCUGAGAAGGAGGAUUAUGAAGAGAAGCUGAAAGAAGUUGAGGCAGUGUGCAACCCAAUUAUCACGGCUGUGUAUCAGAGGUCUGGUGGAGCACCAGGAGGUGCCAGUGAGGAUUCCAACGAGGACGAUGAUUCACAUGAUGAGCUGUAAUUGAAUUUGUAGGUUAAUAGUUUUUUCUUGUUACCAAAUAGAUAUAAAUACUCUUUUCUUUUUCUUUUGGUUAUGAUUUUAUUUCUCUUUAUGUAAUUUCACCGUAUGAAGGGUGGAACGUAGAACAAGUUGGGAAGAAAUCGUGAGUGAAGCUGUCGCUCUAAUCUCUUUCCUCUUGUUCAUUUUUUCGUACACCUGUAUAGGGACGUGACUUUAUUCAGAAUUUAAAUUUCUUAUAUCCAUGUCAAGUAUUCAGUUUGACUAUAAUGAAUGGUCUACUUUGUUUUACAGUUAAAGUUCUGAAAAAGGCUAUCAGUCAAGUAGUUAAUAAAUCCGAGGUUUAGUCAGAGCUUAUUCGUUACUUGCCAAAAAAUUUGAUACUCUCUUGAUCUAAUUUUUAUGAUCAUUAGGCAUCUCCAACCUUAUCCUCUAUUUUACUCUUCAAAUAUAGAGUUUUUUUUAUUUUUUAAGGCAACCAACUUCAACUUAAUUUUCUAUUUUAUUCUCUAAAAAUGAAUUUUUUUCUCUCUUUAAUAUUAUAUUAUUAUUUCUAUUUCAUUCUUAUUUUCUUAUUUCAUAAUAUAAAUUAUUUCUUCUUUUUUGCAAAUAAUCACUCUAUAGUCUUUACGUAAUACAAAAUUUUAUUUUAUUUUAUAUUCUUCAUUUAAUAUAAAAUUAAAUUUUAUUCUAAAUUUCUAAAUAACAUAAAUUGCAAUAAAUAUUAUAUAUAAUACAUAUUAACGAACAAUUCAAAUAAAAGUGAAUUUAUUGAUGAAAUAUAAUUGCAUCAUAAAUAUUAUAUUAUCAUAAAUUACAUAAAUACUCAAACUUUUAAGACUAUUACGUUACUCUCAUGAAUGUUCUAUUAAUGUAUUACAGAGCUCAAAAUGAACAUUUUUGUCCUUAUUUUUUUAUGUGUAGCUAAAAUUUAUUUAAAUUAACAAUUUCAUCUUGUAUCCAAUUAUUUCGUGUACUAAUUUACUUCCCCUAUUCCAUUUUGAACUAUUGCAUCAAAUAUUUUCAUGCUCUUUAAAAAAUGUAGUUUAAUAAUUUAUCACUAUAACUGUAACACCCCGACUUUUCAAAACGUCUAAAUUAACUCGUAUCUUCGUGGAAAGACAAAGAGGGUGAGUAAUAAAUUAAAAAUGAUGUGUUAUGUGAUAUUUUAAGUGUUCAAGUGUUGUAUCUCAAGGUUUGAAGCUAGGUAAGUGGCAAAAUAAAAGUUGGCGAAAGUUACCGUAAAUUCCUUCUUAAAGAUUUCUCUGAAAUUUGGGUCAAAUGUCUUGGAGGUUUUCUCCCAAUCUAUAAAGAGUUAUGGGGCCCACAAACUAUCGAAUCGAAGGUCUACGAGUCUAGUUUCCAACGCAUCAAACCGUUCAUUCAUACGACUUCAGAAUAGAGAGAUAUUCGCAUUUUCGUGGGACUGCGCAAGCAGGCACGUGAGGUGGGGCCCUAAGUCGGUGGAUUGUUACAUAUAUCUUCUUCUUCGAUCUUUUUCUUCAUUUUUAAGUUAGAAACCAGAGAAAUUAGAGAAACCCAUUUCUAGGAUCAAGUUAAGUAUAGAUUUUCUCGACUUAAGUCCUUGACGAAAGUUGUUCUACGCGUUGGGCUCAUCAUCGUGGUAUAAUUUGUUUUAUCGAUUGCGUAGCAUAUCACAUUUUAGAGUUGGGACAGCAGGGGUUUGAAUAUAUUUGAAGGUUUUGAGGUGAAUUACGAACCUAAGAUCGAGUAUCGAGGGAGUUAUGAGUAAAAGUCGUUAGGCCACGUGAAUUUAGNNNNNNNNNNNNNNNNNNNNNNNNNNNNNNNNNNNNNNNNNNNNNNNNNNNNNNNNNNNNNNNNNNNNNNNNNNNNNNNNNNNNNNNNNNNNNNNNNNNNNNNNNNNNNNNNNNNNNNNNNNNNNNNNNNNNNNNNNNNNNNNNNNNNNNNNNNNNNNNNNNNNNNNNNNNNNNNNNNNNNNNNNNNNNNNNNNNNNNNNNNNNNNNNNNNNNNNNNNNNNNNNNNNNNNNNNNNNNNNNNNNNNNNNNNNNNNNNNNNNNNNNNNNNNNNNNNNNNNNNNNNNNNNNNNNNNNNNNNNNNNNNNNNNNNNNNNNNNNNNNNNNNNNNNNNNNNNNNNNNNNNNNNNNNNNNNNNNNNNNNNNNNNNNNNNNNNNNNNNNNNNNNNNNNNNNNNNNNNNNNNNNNNNNNNNNNNNNNNNNNNNNNNNNNNNNNNNNNNNNNNNNNNNNNNNNNNNNNNNNNNNNNNNNNNNNNNNNNNNNNNNNNNNNNNNNNNNNNNNNNNNNNNNNNNNNNNNNNNNNNNNNNNNNNNNNNNNNNNNNNNNNNNNNNNNNNNNNNNNNNNNNNNNNNNNNNNNNNNNNNNNNNNNNNNNNNNNNNNNNNNNNNNNNNNNNNNNNNNNNNNNNNNNNNNNNNNNNNNNNNNNNNNNNNNNNNNNNNNNNNNNNNNNNNNNNNNNNNNNNNNNNNNNNNNNNNNNNNNNNNNNNNNNNNNNNNNNNNNNNNNNNNNNNNNNNNNNNNNNNNNNNNNNNNNNNNNNNNNNNNNNNNNNNNNNNNNNNNNNNNNNNNNNNNNNNNNNNNNNNNNNNNNNNNNNNNNNNNNNNNNNNNNNNNNNNNNNNNNNNNNNNNNNNNNNNNNNNNNNNNNNNNNNNNNNNNNNNNNNNNNNNNNNNNNNNNNNNNNNNNNNNNNNNNNNNNNNNNNNNNNNNNNNNNNNNNNNNNNNNNNNNNNNNNNNNNNNNNNNNNNNNNNNNNNNNNNNNNNNNNNNNNNNNNNNNNNNNNNNNNNNNNNNNNNNNNNNNNNNNNNNNNNNNNNNNNNNNNNNNNNNNNNNNNNNNNNNNNNNNNNNNNNNNNNNNNNNNNNNNNNNNNNNNNNNNNNNNNNNNNNNNNNNNNNNNNNNNNNNNNNNNNNNNNNNNNNNNNNNNNNNNNNNNNNNNNNNNNNNNNNNNNNNNNNNNNNNNNNNNNNNNNNNNNNNNNNNNNNNNNNNNNNNNNNNNNNNNNNNNNNNNNNNNNNNNNNNNNNNNNNNNNNNNNNNNNNNNNNNNNNNNNNNNNNNNNNNNNNNNNNNNNNNNNNNNNNNNNNNNNNNNNNNNNNNNNNNAUAACAUAAAAGUAGAUUGUUUGAAUUAUCAUGUAAUUUUUGUGCAUACUUCAUAAUGAAAAAUAAUUAUAAUCUAAAUUACAUAUUUAAAUGACAAAAAAAAAUUUAAAAAAGUAAAUUAGAAAAAUUGUUAAUUCGGGAUGGAAGUAGUAUACUUAUCAAUAAUAUGUUUUAGAUGUUAUAUUACUUAGAAAAUAAUUACAAAUAUUAGAGACAUAAUUAAUAAUCUUAUAUAAUAUAAAUAAUAUUAUAAUAACUUUAAAUUACAUAUUUAAAGUGACCAUUUCUUUUAAAAAAUAAAAUAGAAAAUUAUUAAUUUGGGCGGAAGUAGUAACUUGUUGAUAAUGUAUUUUUAAAUGUUAUGUUACAUUAGAAAAUAAUUACAAAUGAUAAAGACUCAAUUAUUAAUAUAAUAGAAAUAAUAUUACAAUAAUCAAAAAGUAAAAUAGAGAGGUGAAUAGUAGUUCUCCAAAUAAUUGAAGAAUAGAGAGUGGUUGGAGAACCCAUUCUCUAUUUUACUCUCCAAAUAUAGAGAAUGGAGAGUAAAAUAGAGAUGGGUUGGAGAUGGUCUUAGUCUAUUAAAACACUUCUCUCUUUCUAAAAUAAAAUUAAGUUCUUAAUUUACCCUAAAACUAAGGAUAAGCAUGCUCUUCUGUUAAAAACAAAACACCUUGCUCAACCUUGGUAACGGAAUACUAAAGGGAUUAAGACCCAAAGGUUCACAGUGACUAACAUUUUAAAAUGUCUCCUUUCAUCAUAUUAAUAUUAGAAAAACUUGCAAUUUUACUACUUGUCGUGUAACUUUUAAAUAUUUAUUUUUCUUUAUUCAAAAUAUCAAAUUAAUAUUAAUCUAACUAAAAAGUAACUACCUUCAGAAGUCAAUGCUUCAAGAAUCAAGUAGUUAUGUCAGAACAAAGGAUGGCUAUUGACGGGAAUGUGUAGACAUUUUCUUAACCGCAGUUUGCAUUACAGAUUAAUCAUCUGCACGUCAUACCGGAGGUUGUGAUCAUGACAUGUUUUACAUGUAAACAAAUAUUUAAAACAGAAACAGAUAACAUUUUAACUUCUUAGAAACAAUGUUACCCCUGACAUUAAGAAGGGUAAGCAACCAAUUAGUAAACCCCAAAAGCAAAACAAUUAAUCACUCUUAUAUCCAGUGAUUCCUUUCUUCAAGUGGCAAUCUUAUUGCUCCAUUUAUAAGUGACAGCAUAGAAGCUACAAAAGAUAGCAUGCUUUACUUUACUAAAAUCUAGAAGAGAAAAUCCCUUCCUCGAAAGAUGAUAAAUAGGUGGCUACAUAAGCAUGUACAGACAGCAGUAACAUGAUCGAUCAGUAGAAAAGGAGGAAAAAAAGGACAAAAUAUGAUAUACGUUAGUUGUGGACAGUGGUCUGC